GAAUUUUUUCUUGAAUUACUUAUUGCAAAUCACAUUUAUUACUGAUAAAACAUAAAUCAUAAAUGAUAAAUCAAAAUAUGAAUUAAGAGGUCGAUGUCGACGGCGACUUGCAGGAAGCAGUAGCAACAGCAAGUUGCAGGGGUUGAAUUCGAAAUCCCAAGGCAGCAAGACGGAGGAAGGAUUUGCGUGCAAAUGGAAAAUGUAAUUGUCGAAUUGGCUAACAUGAAUAGUGGGUAAUGGAUUUGGAAAAUGCUUUUCUAUUGGAAUUUUGUUAUUUGUACACCGAUGUGAGAGGCCCACGUCCAAUAAAAAAGCGUGGACCUCUUCUUGUUAGGGGCACGUACAUUGGCAUGUGUACAUGUAGCAAAAUUCUUUCUAUAGAACCAAUGGUCCAACUCUAUGCUACAUGAAAAUAAAUUUAGGCUUAAUUUUUUAAUGAGAAUAAUACAUAAUUACUAGACCAUAAGAAUCACAUUUCACAAUAUAUAUAUACACACACACACACACACACACACACACAUACACAUACACACACAUAGCAGAGUUACUGGAGUUGCUCUUCUUACAUCGCCUUUCUGUCAUCAACGACUUUGGCCUCCAUGUGCAGUAGAUUUCCGCCCAAAAUAUCCACCUCACCAUCGGCACAGUACCACACACUGCCGAACACACAACAAUAAUGCACCACACACAGAUUGCACCACCUAUUUCACUUUCAAAUAUCACCGAAUCUUGCGUGGUUCACUGGGAAAAUACCAAAAAGAAGACAACAUAAUGGAGGGAAAAUUGAAAUGGAAUCCAGGCUUGUGGGGUGGGGUGGAUUGGAGAUAGGUGAUUUUUGGGGAAAGCAUGAAAAGAGGAUAGCUUAAGCUUAAUGGAGGGAGAACUGAAAUCUGGGCUUUUGGGAUGGGUUGGAGAGGGCGAGGUUUUUUUCAGAAGAAACCUUUGUAGAAGAGAAAUUGACUGAACUAAUUGAUGCUUUUGGGGUGAGUGGAACGAGUGGUGAAUAAAUAUGAUAUUUAAACCAAGGAAGAUAUUUUCCUUAAAAACUUUUGGUCUUUUUUUUUUGGUUGCUUUUCCAACACAGCUGACAUAUGUUCAAGUAUUUAUUUUUUGCAUUAUUCAAUCAUAAUUGUAUGUGACUUGCUUAUCCAAAAUUGCUAUUGUAAUUAUAAUUAUCUUGCAAAAAUAGCCCAUGACCAUUUUUUGCGUUGACUAUUUUUUGCAUUAAACGUGACUCUUCAUGAUCAUGUUUGUGAUCGGGUCUAUUUUCAAUGUGACUAUGACCAUGUUUAUCUUAAUUUUGAAUGUCCGUGAUCAAAUAUUUCUUAAAUGUGGCUGUUUGUGACUAGGUCUUUUUAAAAUGUGAUUGUAUGUGACCUGAUUUGUCUUAUUGUUACUGUAUGUGACUAUGUCCGUGUCAACAAUAUUUUGUGAUCUAACAUGUGAACAAUGAUUUUUUGUGACUACUUUCUUGUUAAUUGUAACUACUUGUAACCUUUUAUGUAUUAAUUAUGACUAUGUGUGAUCAAGUUUGUGUUAUUUGUGAUUGCCUGUGAUGAUAUCUGCUUUCAUUGUGACCAAUUGUUAUCUGAUUGUGGCCAAUUAUUGUGUGACUUCAACUUAUAUUAAUCAAAGACCAAUAUUACACGUGACAAAUUAUUUAUUGAUCAUAAUUUAUCCACUAACUAGUCACGACGCAUUGUAAGGUCAUAAAAAAUCAAAUUAAUUGGUUGCNNNNNNNNNNNNNNNNNNNNNNNNNNNNNNNNNNNNNNNNNNNNNNNNNNNNNNNNNNNNNNNNNNNNNNNNNNNNNNNNNNNNNNNNNNNNNNNNNNNNNNNNNNNNNNNNNNNNNNNNNNNNNNNNNNNNNNNNNNNNNNNNNNNNNNNNNNNNNNNNNNNNNNNNNNNNNNNNNNNNNNNNNNNNNNNNNNNNNNNNNNNNNNNNNNNNNNNNNNNNNNNNNNNNNNNNNNNNNNNNNNNNNNNNNNNNNNNNNNNNNNNNNNNNNNNNNNNNNNNNNNNNNNNNNNNNNNNNNNNNNNNNNNNNNNNNNNNNNNNNNNNNNNNNNNNNNNNNNNNNNNNNNNNNNNNNNNNNNNNNNNNNNNNNNNNNNNNNNNNNNNNNNNNNNNNNNNNNNNNNNNNNNNNNNNNNNNNNNNNNNNNNNNNNNNNNNNNNNNNNNNNNNNNNNNNNNNNNNNNNNNNNNNNNNNNNNNNNNNNNNNNNNNNNNNNNNNNNNNNNNNNNNNNNNNNNNNNNNNNNNNNNNNNNNNNNNNNNNNNNNNNNNNNNNNNNNNNNNNNNNNNNNNNNNNNNNNNNNNNNNNNNNNNNNNNNNNNNNNNNNNNNNNNNNNNNNNNNNNNNNNNNNNNNNNNNNNNNNNNNNNNNNNNNNNNNNNNNNNNNNNNNNNNNNNNNNNNNNNNNNNNNNNNNNNNNNNNNNNNNNNNNNNNNNNNNNNNNNNNNNNNNNNNNNNNNNNNNNNNNNNNNNNNNNNNNNNNNNNNNNNNNNNNNNNNNNNNNNNNNNNNNNNNNNNNNNNNNNNNNNNNNNNNNNNNNNNNNNNNNNNNNNNNNNNNNNNNNNNNNNNNNNNNNNNNNNNNNNNNNNNNNNNNNNNNNNNNNNNNNNNNNNNNNNNNNNNNNNNNNNNNNNNNNNNNNNNNNNNNNNNNNNNNNNNNNNNNNNNNNNNNNNNNNNNNNNNNNNNNNNNNNNNNNNNNNNNNNNNNNNNNNNNNNNNNNNNNNNNNNNNNNNNNNNNNNNNNNNNNNNNNNNNNNNNNNNNNNNNNNNNNNNNNNNNNNNNNNNNNNNNNNNNNNNNNNNNNNNNNNNNNNNNNNNNNNNNNNNNNNNNNNNNNNNNNNNNNNNNNNNNNNNNNNNNNNNNNNNNNNNNNNNNNNNNNNNNNNNNNNNNNNNNNNNNNNNNNNNNNNNNNNNNNNNNNNNNNNNNNNNNNNNNNNNNNNNNNNNNNNNNNNNNNNNNNNNNNNNNNNNNNNNNNNNNNNNNNNNNNNNNNNNNNNNNNNNNNNNNNNNNNNNNNNNNNNNNNNNNNNNNNNNNNNNNNNNNNNNNNNNNNNNNNNNNNNNNNNNNNNNNNNNNNNNNNNNNNNNNNNNNNNNNNNNNNNNNNNNNNNNNNNNNNNNNNNNNNNNNNNNNNNNNUUAAUCAAUUGUAUUUCUUUUUGUUCACACUUGACAUUUUAAAGCCUUCAUUUUAUAUUGCUAGUUUGCUAUAUUUAAGUUCAUACUCGUGAAUUUUACUACAUUACACAUUUAGCCCCUGUUUGAGGCCACAUUUUUUUUUUGGGAAAUAAUAUAUUUUGGAAUCUUGAUUUUUUUUCCAGAAUAUGUGAUUAAAAAACAGAGAAAUUGUUUUGAAUUACAUAUAAAAUUAUUUUAUGAAAAAAUGUAUAAUUGAAAAUGAGUUUUGAAAAAAUGAAUUUUAAGAAUAAUGAGACUCAUAAGAGGCUUAAUAAGUAUUUUAUUUGACAUCACGUCACUAAUAUCUUUAUUUACUUAUUAAUUAUUAGAUGAAGUUAUUGAAUUGUUAUUGCUUUACUGACUUAUUUAUAUAUAAAUUCUACUACGUCGAUGCUUUAAAAAUUUUAAUCGUCCUUAACAAAAAUUCUAGAUCCGCCCCUAGAUCAAAAAAAAUUGAAUAGAGCUCGAUUAUUGGUGAGCAAAUGAUUGAUUUAUAGAGUUGCAAUAAUUCAUAGAAUUAAUCUAUUUUAUUAGAUUUAGAACUAAAAUAAACACUUGUUUGUCUACCAUUAAAGUAGGAAAGUAAAUUUUUAAAAUAUUGAAUUUUUGGAGAAUGUAUGAUAAAAUAUUAAAAAAUGACUUUACAUCUAAAAUAUUUUAUUAUAAGAGUUUGUGGUUAAAAAUAAGUUUGAAAAGAAAAAAUGAAUUUUGAAUAAAUAGUAGAAAAACAGGGGAUAAAACAUCUUCAUUGAUGACUUUUACGCAUCUAAAACUGAAUUCAUUGUAUAAAUGAUCAUUGAAUUUUAUUUUAGGAUGCUACUUGUUCAACCAAAAUAAAUAAAUAAAUAAGCGUUUCUCCAUUUUAAAUAUGAGUGAGUAGUAAAUAACAUUUUAAAUUUGAACAAGCAAGUUGCAUUAAAUUCGAUCCUAUUUCUAUUUUUAGAGUAUUAAAUUUUCUCUUUCUUUAUCUUCAUUUUUUUUUUAAUCUUCACAUUAGUAAAAGAAACAUGGGCACUAGAUAGAACUCAUUAGAGACCAAUUUUAUAUUUGAUCAUCUAUUCUUUAUGCAUCAAUGUCUUGCAAAUUACAAUUUAUAAGUGUACCUGCAUGUCAUGUAGAAUGUUGGCCUCGAUUGUAGUAUGCACAGUAAAUAAUAGAUGUCGAGUCCACUCGUGUCUACGCAAACUAAUUCCAACGCGCUUGGACAGAUUACUAGUCAACGAUGUUUCGAAUUUCUGCGAGAGAGACGCUUUACAAUGCGAAACAAAAAUGUUCAAACACCGACGAUAUAUAUAAAUAAAAUUGUAUGAUAAAGAACGAUCAAGAACACAUAAACUCAAGAUUAAACAUUUAGCUCAAGAAAUAGAGAAUAAUAAAGCAGAGAGAAGCAAUAACUCUAGUCUUCAAUUCAAUGUAUAAUGUUGCGAAGCCCUUCAAAUGAUAGGAGGAGUGGGUAUUUAUAAUGUCAUCAAUCAAUUGAAUAGGAUUAUAUCAAUAGAUGAUCUUCAAAAGAAGUGAAUCACGAACAAGCCUCAAACCGAACCUACGAACUACAACUGCUUCAGUAAGCGAGCUUCGAUAUUUGGGCUUCACCACACUGGAGAGGAGCCUCAUCUUUUUUUUUUUUUUUGUGGGAUACCACGUAGGCUCCUUGUGGGACCUUGGUGAGGAGGUGUAAUAUAAACUGUGAUCCAUAAAAGACAUUAGAAAUGCUCUAAGGGGCAAUAAAAAUAUUCACUAUUUUAACCAUACUCUCAUGUUACACACAUUAAUAAUAGAUACUGAGAAAGUAUCAAUGAAGUUGACAGCGACAAGCCAUAUAAAAACUCCAUGUGACCUCGUUGUAUGGGUUGAGAAGACUUAGGCCUAAGCUUAGCAACAAAUUUAAUCCCACCACAUACUAUACUUGUUUGGCUAACUUGAUUAAUCUUUGUUUGGUGAAUUUUCACCACAUUUUAAUUCAGUUAAAGUUCUCAAUAUUUAGUCAUUAUAAUACUUACAUUCCUAACAAUUUUUCGUAACACAUUUUGUAUUUUAUAACAGUUUAUAUCCAAAAGAUCCAUUGAAGGGUAUAAAACUACUUACUUUCCAUCAUUUAAAAAAAAAAAAUACAAAAAUACAAAAGUACAAUAAAAUAUAUUUUCCCUCAGGGGAAACAAUAUAUUUUGUCAAAAAUCAUUAUCAAUGACGAGAUAUGUUAAUACGAUAGAAAAGGUUAGGAAUAUAAACAUUGCAACAAAACAAAAAUUGAGGAAUAUAAGUGCAAUAAAAUGUGGUACAAUAAAUAAAAAUUUUGAUGUUAAUAUAACCAUCCGUAUAUGAUGAAAGAUUUUUUUUUUUUUUGUCCAAAAAUGUACUUGCAAAUAAUUUAUAGCCACUAAUAAAUCCUUAAAUUAAUAUUGGAAGUUACUAAUAAGGUAAUCAAUACUUUACGUGUGGAACUUCAAAAUCAAAGUGAAAUAUAAAUCCAAUAUUACAAUCGGUCCACGGUACCAACUUUGUGACCCACGCUAUAAAUGGCGAAAACACAUCAUAAUGGUUAAAAAUGUGUUUGGCUGUAAAUAUUGAUACAGUUUACAAGUCUAUCAAACGAGAAAUAUUCUAAAAAAAGAAAGAAAGUAAUUUUCAUGAAGGGUGCCAUUAUUUAUAUUCACAGUUUUUAUAUAUGCAUCUCACUCUAUAUAUAUUCAUAUUAAAAUUUUAAAAAAAUACUAUUUUUAUCCACAUCAAAUUUUAAUAUUGUCCUUAUUAAAUUUAUUCAUUUAAACAUUAUAAAUCCAUACAAAUUUUAUAUAUUCAUCUCACUAUGAAUACAUUUUUAAUACAAUUUCUAAAAUUAAAAAAAAUCACUUAUUCAUCUAAUUAUUAUCAACAUUUAAUCUGACUCUUACUUUUUAUUUUCUAUAUUGUUAUGUCAGUGCAUUAAUAUUUUAGCCAUAAAGGUUAAAAAAUUUCUUUUCUUAAAUUUAUAGGAUUCUAUCAAGAGUAUACUACUCAAGCAACCAAACAAACCUCCUAAAAUCAUAUGUUGAUAAUUUUUUUAUUAUUAUUAUUUCUUCUUUUCUUUUUUUGUGCUUAUGAGUUCAUAAUUUUGGUUGUUUGUAUUUUGGCUGAUAAUUUUGAGUUUAUUUCCGUUUGUAAUGUAAGAAUAUUUGGACAGGUAUUUAUACAUAUUUUGAAAUUUUUCAUUUAUUUUUAUCUGUCAAACAAAUACUUAAAAAAGCAUUAAAAAAAUAUUUUAUUUUUCAUAUCAUGAAAGAAUUAUAAAUCUAAUAAUGUGUUGAUUUUUUUUUAAUUUCAAUUGAAGACGUUAUAUAUUUUAUUAUUAAGGUUUUAUAAUUUUAGAUGAAGAUUUUUAUUACUAUUUUUCUUUUUUUGCUUAUUAGCUGAUAAUUUUAAAUUUGAUUCCUUUUGUUAUGUAAGAAUAUUUGGACAAGUAUUGAUACUUAUUUUGAAAUUUUUCGUAUAUAUUUAUCUGUCAAACUAAUACUUAAAAAAGCAUAAAAAAUUAAUAUUUCAUUUUUCAUAGCAUGAAAGUAUUAUAACUCUAACAAUGUGUUGAUUUUUUAUUUUUUUUUAUAUCCAUUGAAGAUGAUAUUUUGUGAUUAGGGUUUCAUGUUUUAGCUGAAGAUUAUUAUUAUUAUUAUUAUUAUUAUUAUUAUUAUUAUUAUUAUUAUUAUUAUUAUUAUUAUUAUUAUUAUUAUUAUUUAAUUUUGGUUAUUUGUGUUUUGAAAGAUAAUUUUAAGCUUGUUCCUUUUUGUAAUGUAAGAAUAUUUGGAUAUAUGUUGAAACUUAUUUUGACAGUUCUUGUAUAUUUUCAUCUGUCAAGCCAAUACUUAAAAAGAAUAAAAAAUAAUAUUCCAUUUGUCAAAUCAUGAAAGAAUUAUAACUCUAAUAAUGUGUUUUUUUUUAAUUCCGUUGAAGAGGAUAUUUUAUUAUUAGGGUUUUAUGAUUUUAGUUGAAGAGUUUAUUUUAUUAUUAUUAGAACCUUAGUUAAACACAAAUUCUAAAAGAAUAUAAAAAUGUUUAAAAGAGUUUAUAAAAUAAAGAUUAGUGCAUGAAGUUAGAACGAUAUAUUUUUAUUUAAUUAUAUAUAUAUAUAGAGGUAAAUUUACAUAAGAUAAAAAUAAUAAUAUAAUUAUAUAUAUAAAAGUGGAUAUAUAUUGUGUGUGAAUAUAAAUGGCGAUACCUUUAAUGAAUAACGACUUUAAAUGUAGGAAAAUUUACAAAAAUACAUCAUCUUGUAUAUAAGGUGUAAUUAUACUUUGUAUAGUGUAUUUUAGAUUUUUAAUUGUUCUUAAAAAUAUAAUUUGCUGCAAAAUUUACAAAUAUGUCAUUGCAAUAGAAUAGCGAACAAAAAUACACUUAAUUGAAAUAACAAAUCACGCUACACACACACACAUAAUGUUUUUUUCUCUUUAAAUGGUGAUUUUUUUUAUGUAAGAGAUUUAUAAAAUUUAUUAUCUUAUUUUUCCGAACUCUAAUAUCAAACUAAUAAAAAUAAAUUUAGGUUGUUAAUAAACUAUUGAAAAAUAAAUAUAGAAAAUAAUUCAUUUGAUUCUUCCGACAUUGUAAAACAAAUAAAAAAUUUUAAUUGCUAUACUUUGAUUAAUAAUAUUUGCUCGAAGAAUAAAAACUAUACAAUUACGAUAACUUCUUAUAUUAAUUGUUAAUUUGUAGAAAAAUCCACCUUAAUCGUUUAAGGCUGGGGUAAUUUUGCAACUCAUAAAAUUGUUAAAAAUACAUGAGUAAUUUUAUUGUAUUUAUCACGGACGAUUCUCUCUCUCUCUCUCUCUCUCUUUUUCCAGAAACCUUCGUGGAAGAGAAGAAUAUUUAAAUAUAAUUAGUAAAAAAAAAAAAGCAGUGAAAAUACUCGAAAAAGAAUGACAAUAUAUGUAGAGAUAGAUAAAUAUAAAUAAAUUAAAUUUUAGAUGACACGAAUUAAUAUAUGAACUUUUGGAGAAUAAAAAAAAAAUUAAAAUUGGUAUGUAAAGGUUGCAUAAUAUAACACAAAGGUGUGAAUUUUUUAUUUUCGAUUGUCGUCGGUAUCUUAAUCUAUUUACUUAUUUCAAAUGGCAAAACUCUAAGGGUUUUUAGCAAAAUUAAUUUUUCGAUACCAUAUUGUACAAUAAAAUAUGCAAAGUUAAAAAAUACAGUGUGUAAUGUGUAGAUAUAACAUAUAUACACGGUUUUUAAAUGCUUAUAACAAGUUAUUUAUCUUACCUAAGGACGAUCCUGAGGCGAGGCUAGUGAGACCUAUGCCUCAGGCCCAAAAGCCGAGGGGGCCUCAUUUGGUCAAAGAUUUUUUUUUUUGGUUAAAUAUUAAAUGAAGGAAAAGGGAAAAAAAUUUCAUUUCCUUCUCCUUUCUACUCCUACGACCGAUUGCUCUGCCUCUGACACUCCAAUAGGACCAGCGACAGCAGGUGGCUUUUUGUCAUCUUUUGUUCCCUCUACUCUUUCACACAAAUUACAAGAGAACAAACGACAAAACAACUAAACAAGCUGACCCCUUUGUCAAAUUUCAACCUUAAUCGACUACACAAGCUCUCUGUGAUCUUGUCCUGCAAUUUGGUGAGAGAGACAAAGAGUCAAUGGUUAGCAUCUGUCUGUUAUCAUAUAAAUUUCCAUUUUCUUUAUUUUCUCUUUGGAUGUUAAAAAUUCUUUGUCUUGUAGCAUUUAUGUAUAAGGAUAUAAGUCUACUGCUCUUAAACUUAUGUUGUAUCUCUUAUUAUCACAUUUUUUAACCUUAACUUUUAGGAAAUAUAUCAGUAUUUUGAUUAUAAUUGCAGCCCUGUAUAUGAUCCUUGAGUAUUCUAAUUUUGCUGCUUUUUGAGACCCAAGAGAAUGAGGAGUUCUUAAUGCACAAUUUGGGCUUCGUGAGAAUGAAAAUUUAUGAAGGUAGACAGUAAUAGUUGCCACAAAGAUAAAUUUGUUAAUAUGAAGUAAACUUUUCUUCGAGGGAAUGUACUUCAGUGUCUUAAUUUGUUGGUUUUGCUAUUUUAUAAUAUAAAUCUUUUGUAUAAUAUAUUUGUGUUGUUGUUUUAAUAAUAAGUUUUAGGUUAGCAAUAUGUUGCAUAAUAUGUCGUUGAAUUUUGCAGUCAUGUUGGGGGGCCUAAUUUAUGGGCUUCGCCUCGGGCCCAGAUCUUACCGAAUGUGUACAUGAAACGAUAAAUGGGUGUAUAUAAAAAAUAUGUUUGUCAAAGUUAACAUUUGCCAAACUUGCACAAAAUAGUAUCAAUCAUGUUACUUUGCCUAAAAAUUGUUGACAUACUACAUGAUCAAUACUCAAAAAUAGGGGGCCCACUUUUUUUGGACUUUUUAAUCACACGGAAUCCACGUGCAUGUGAGAGGAUGUCAAGCAUUGUGCCAAAUUUUUUCAGGCAAAAUAGUUUAAUUCAAAUAGUAUUGCUCUGGUCUACGGAUGAAUUUCAGGUGAUUCAAUCCCAAGUGUUUUGAGAAUUGAACUGGUCAAAUAUCCAUUAAGAAUUGUGAAAAUGAUUAUUGGCUCUAUAACAAAGGAGGAGCUAAAUCAGAACAGAAUCGAUUAAUUAUUGAUACUUCCAAUUUUAUUUUAUUUUAUUUUUUUCCAGUUUCAUCCUUUAUUCUUGAAAUUAUAAAACUCUCAAUUUUCAAUUCAAGCAGACAAGUUACAAUUAUUGAGAGAGUAUUAAAAAAAGGUGCCCACCCUUGCUCCAGUCACAGCAUGGCUAUAGUUUCUGAAAAACUUUUACCAUUUUCUUUACAGAUUAUUUGACAGAUAUUGAUAUGAAAUGUAUUUUGGCCCCUAAAUUAGGGUCAAAUGCAUGCACCUCAUCAUCACCUAUCAAAUAAUCUGUAAAAAUAUUUCAACACAAAAAAGCUUUAUUGAAGUUUUUAUUGAUCCUCUGUCUUUCGAAUAAUGUUAUUUGUACGUAAAGACUUACAUAAUAAUUAAAUACAGAUAAAGUGUAAAAAAUAGUGUGAAUUUUAAAAUUUUUUAAUUAAUUGAAAAAAAAUUCUGAUCCAAUAAUAUCUUAUUGCAUCAUGUGUGUAUAAAGAGUAAAGUUAUUUAUAGUCUUUCAUUGCAGUAGUCGUCCUACGUGGCAUCCUAUAUGACGGUUUGUGUUUUGAUGUAUUAAUUUGAUAAUUUUUUUUGUCAUAUAUAUCAAAUCACUAACCAUCACAAGCGUGUUACGGAACGAUUACGAUAAUAAGUGAUUGCAAAUAAUAUUAUUUAUAUAUAAAUUAUUAUGUACAUUAAUACAAUUAGAGUGUGUUUGAUUGACAUGGAAAAUAUCAUUUAGAAAAGAAAAUGUUUUCCAUCUUUUGUGGAAAAUAAAAACCACCUCUACCCAAGGAAAAUGUUUUUCUUAAAAACAUGGAAAAUUAGGCAUAUUUUCAAAAGUUGGAAAAUAUUUUCCAUGGAAAAAAUAGCAAUCAAACACUCCAAGUAAGAAUUUGGGUGGAAAAUUGAUAUUUUCCAUGGAAAAUAAAUGUAAUCAAACACACCCUUAUUGUCAUUUAGGACCCUUUGCGCACUAAACUCGCAGAAGCCAAUCAGGGCUUUUCCCUCUAAUCCUAAACAUAGCCCACUACAAUGGGCCCACCAAAACUUGAAAACCCGAAGAUGUCCCCCAAUACAUAACUAGGAUCAUUUUAAAUUACAGGGGCAGUUUUGUCUUUUAGGUCAAGCUACAUAAAUUGAAGUCAAAAGACACAAUUCUCAACUCUGUACGCUUCGGCUCUAUUUUUUGUUUUCGUUUUGAUGAUAAUGGCGUCAAUCUCUUCACCGCUGUGUCAAUUCCCGUGUAUGGCACUUCAAAGAACCUCUCAGAACUCCAAAAUGAUUGCUUCGUCUCGGAUAAAUUCUAUCAAUAUCUCUGGGAAAAACCCCGUGCAGAAGUUGAAGAGAAAUUAUGCAAUCACGGCGGUGCUUCCAGGUCUAGAGAAGGAUCCGAGAGAACCGGGAUUGGCUGUGAUAGUGGAGCCACCACUAAAGGAACCAACGGAAAUUGAGAAGCUGAAGAAAAAAUUGAUGGACUCAUUCAACGGGACAGAUAGAAGAUUGAGCGCCUGUAGUGAGACUAGGGCUGAAAUUGUUGAGCUAAUCACGCAGGUUGAGGCAAAAAAUCCAACUCCGGCUCUGAUGGAGGCGUUGACUUUGCUCAAUGGAAAAUGGAUUCUUGCUUAAGAUCUACCUUAAUUUUUCUUUAAUAUGAAGCUUUGCGUUCUUGUUUUUGUUUAAAAAAUGCUUAAUUUAUUAAAUUGUCUAAGAGUUACUUUCAACUUGCAAAUGAAUCAAACGUCAAAUACUCAACGUAUUUCCAUUUUUUUAGGUUUUUAAUUUUAAUUUUUUCUACAUCAAUUUUUUAAGUCUUGCACAAGAUGGUGUGUCAUCGAUGCAAGAAAAAGAAAAAUGCAGUUUUUGCAUAUGAUUUCAUACAAAUCUACGGAUCAUUAACAAAAAUCAGUUAUUGAGUUAUGAUGUGUAUCUCUUUUAGAAAAGUUUAAUAGAAAUGAAUUUUCUCUCUCUUUCAUAAUGUUAUUAUUAUUAGAUAAAUGUUUUCAAGCAACAAUUUAAUGUUUUCUUAGACAUCAUUAGUAUCAUUUGCACUCUAUAAAUUACAUACGCAAAUGGAUACAAUAGCAGAGAGGAUCGUACUUUGAAACCAUACAAACACCUUCCUAUGCUAUACAUUCAGACCUACUUCACGUCGACGUUAUAGAAGGAGAUGUAGGACGACUCAGUGGUUUUCUCAGGUUCAAAAAUAGAUUGUGACAUUGAAUCCAUGUCCGACGACGAGUGGAGUUUCGAAGAAGACGUGAUGCAGCAGUUAGAGGACAUUACCACGUGGGUCGAAUAUUGACGAUUUGUGAAGCAUGUUGUUCGCGAGUACUUGGCACCGAAUGGAGCAAAUCAAUAUUUAUUCCCGACUAAGCGGUGUGGCUACAUUUUUAUGCUGCAGAAUAUGCAUAUCCAUCUCCAAACAUGUUUUCAAGAAUUUAGGAUGUGUUCGUCCAUGUUCAUGCACUUCACACACAUUCUUCGUGAUCAGUACGGUAUAUUGAGUAGCACGAAUAUCGACGUGUACAAGCAAGUAGGAAUGUUCUUGUACAUACUUGUACACGAAAAAUGAUAUCGACAAGUGUAAACUAUGUUCGGUCACUCGCUGCAGAUCAUAGCGCACUAUUUUAAGACGGUACUGCAUGCAUGCUUGGAAUUCACUGUUAUAAUGGUAAAACCAGAUCUGACAUACAACGGAGGUGCUGCCCACCAUUGGUCCCAUACAGAGCGCUACCUUCUAUUCCAGGUUUGUGACACUCAUUCACGAAACAUUUUUGGGGUUUUCAUUGAUAUGGUGACGUAAAUUAUGAACUUGACAAUAGCUGUUUGUGAUCGUGAAAUUGCAGGACUACAUUCGUGUAAUUGAUGGGACACAGGUCAGAGCUGUAUUGCUUAGUCGCAGAAGGGAAAAUUUCUUAGGAAGAAAGGGUAUUCUGAUGCAGAACGUGUUGGCAGCCUACGAUUUUAACCUAUGUUUUACGUUCGUGUUGUCAGGAACCACAGGGAACACGCAUGACAAUUGUAUAUUGACCCGAGCAGUGCAUAGUCCAAAAAUAAGUUUUCGCAACUAGCGAACGGAAAAUAUUACCUUGUGGACUCAGCGUUCGCACACAGGCCUGGGUAUAUGGCAUUAUAUAAGGGCUCCGACAUUAUAUAUCAUUUCCAAGAGUUCGGGAGCUCAGCGAGAGAACAACAGCGUCAUUUUCAUAAUGCACGCGAGCGAUUCAAUUUCCACCAUUGUUAAUGUCGAAAUGUUAUCAAGUGGGCGUUCGGUGUUUGGAAAUAGAGAUGGAAUAUUCUAGAUCGAAUGAUAGCUUAUAAUAUGAGAGUGCAAACUGUUGUAGUCGUGGCCUCAAUGAAAAUUCCUAACUUACUUAGAAGAAACGAUCGGCUCGACGAGGAUUUCCAUGGAGUCGAAGAAGUGAACGAUGUGAAGUUGAGAUCUAACUUUCUAAUGAACAAGGUAAAAUUGUCGUUGAUCUGGAUGUAAUAGACGCGGAGGACAUGUCGUGGCAACAAUUGCACGAUUACAUGGUAUAGACGCUAUAUUAGUAGUCGUACGUUGGGGACGAGAAGAAAUUUUUUGUUGUGUGUAUUUUCUUUUUUGUGUAACCUGUCUUCAUUAUGUUGAUGUCUCAAGUGUCGAUGAUGGGGACGUUAGUCGCUGUCAAUUAGAAGUUGUCCACCAACAAUUACGAACCAUGUAACAUGUUUGUUUCCGUAUUAAUAAAAUAAUCGUCUCCUGUUUGUAGAAUUGUCUAUCAAUUUGUGAAAGUGACAUGUGUUAAAGAUAUUGCACCACGUGGCCAAAAUUGUUUACUCAUCUUCAAAGGCAUUUGUGGAAUUGUUGAAAUUAGGUAAGGUUGAAUCCAAUGGUUGAUGGCAAAUUGCAGGAUGAAUAUGUUAGAAACAUUGAUUAUCUUCUUACUGGGGCCCACGAAUGGCAGCAAUAAUCUGGAGAAAAUAAGAUGAGAAUGGGGGUCAAACAAGCUCUAUAACUAUAGAGAUGUGAAUCCUAGAAAGGUAUACCUAGGGAAUGAUCAUACACACAAUGUGAAAAGAAUAGGUGAUUGUGCUAUUAGAAUACAUAAUGGCAUUAUCAGACCCCUUAGAGGUGUUAGGUAUGUCCGAGCCUAGCAAAAAAUCUUAUUUCCUUAGGCACUCUAGAAGAAAAAGAUUAUGAGUUCAGAUCUCAUGUUGGUACUUCAAAGAUUUUUAAAUGGUCUCAAGUGGUUAUAAAAGGUCCCAAGAAAAAUGGAUUAUAUGUCCUUCAAGAUGAAGCCUUAAAUAGUAAAGAGUCAGUAUUAUCUUCAGUUUGUAAAGAUAGAUCAGACCUUUGUCAUAAGAGGACGUGACACAUUGGAAACAAAGGGUUAAAAUAUCUAAAUGACUAGAAUUUACUUGGUGAGGAUAGUAUUACAUCUUUACGCUUUUGCGAGACCGAUGUUCUGUGAAAUUCACACAUGGUUAGCUUUGGGAUAGGUGAACACGGUAAUAAGAGAUCAUUGGACUACAUUCAUUCAGAUUUAUGGGGUCCUGAAAAACAUCCCACACGUGGAAGGAAUAGAUUUUUUUAAUCCAUUAUUAAUGUCCACUCGAGGAAAGUUUGGGGUGCAUCUCUUUAAGUCCAAAUCUGAAACUUUUAGUAAGUUUAAGUCAUGGCUUGCGUUAGUUGAAAAUCAAAUGGGAAAGGGUGUGAAAACUCUUAGGACGGACAAUAGUUUAGAAUUUUACAACUUUGAAUCUGAUAGUUUUUGUAAGGUAAAGGGUAUAACGAGGCACAAGAAUGUAAAACAUACCCCCCUAAACAAAAUGGGGUGACAGAGAGGAUGAAUCGAACUUUAUGGGAUAAAGUCAGAUAUAUGAUGAUUAGUUCAAGGUUGUCCAAAGGUUUUUAGGGUAAAGCCGUGCAUACUGCUGCCUAUUUGAUAAAUAGGUCACCUUUUAUUUCUAUUAACUACAAGACUCUCCAAGAGUUGUGGUCUGGAAAAAUCUCAGAUUUGUCACGCAUUAGAUUGUUUGGUUGUGUCGGUUGAUGGCAAAUUGGACAUUAGGGCUACAAGUUUGUCAUGUUAAGUUAUCCAAAAAGAGUGAAAGGAUAUAGACUAUGGGUUUUAGGUGUGAAAGGCAUUGAAAUUAUUAGUAGUAAAGAUGUGAAGCUCAAUGAACUUGACAUGUCUUGCCUUAAAAACACAGACAUAUAAAACAAACAAACUAAGGUAGGAGAAUCUUUUACUGAAAAGAAUAUGGAAUUUGAAGUGAAGAAAUUGGAUAAGAAUCCAAAGGAUAGUGAAAUCCAAACUUAGAAAGAACCUAAUCAAGAAGCAAUAAUAGAACAACUUGAACUUGAAAUUCCUGAAACUAUUGUCCCUAAUCAAGAAACAUCUGGAAGUAUUAAUUUGGAUGAUUACCAAUUAGUAAGUGAUGGAGAGAAAAGACAAGUGAGGCCCAAUUUGAAAUAUAUCUCUUCCAAUUUGAUAGAAUUUGUCCUCGUUUCAGGUGAAACCUUAGAGUCAAUUGAACUGACUUUAUUUAAGGAAGCUUUAAACUGUAAAAAUUCUGAAAAUUAGAAAAAGGCUAUGAAAAAGGAGAUCUAGUCUCUAAACAAAAAUGAGACUUGGAAAUUGAUUGAAAAAUCAGAAAAUCAAAAGGUAAUCAUUGUAAAUAGAUCUAAAAGUUGAAAGAAGAAAUAGGACCUUUAACAUAUAAAGCUGGUUGGUUACGAAAGUGUUUACUCAAAGAGAGGGGAUAGCCUAUAAUGAGAUGUUCUCACCAAUCAUUAAGUAUAAAAUUAUUAGGUUAGUCUUAACCUUGGGUGGUCAAUAGGAUUAGGAGUUGGAGCAACUAGUUGUUAAGACGACUUUUCUUCACGGGUAGUUGGAUGAAUUGAUUUAUAUAUCUCAACCUCAAGGGGUCGAGGUGAGGGGAAAAUAUGAACUUGUGUGUUUGCUUAAAAAGUCCUUAUAUAGUCUUAAGCAAAGUUCUAGGCAAUGAUGUAAAAGAUUUGAUGCUUAUGUGCUUAAAAUUGGUCUUAAGAGAAGUGAAUUUGAUACAUGUUUGCAUUUUUAAUAACUCUAAAACAGACUAUGAAGUUUAUUUAUUGUUAUAUGUGGAUGACAUGUUGCUUUGUAGCUUUAGUAAAGCUGAAAUCAUUAAGAUAAAAACGUUUUAAAGUCGAAAUUUGACAUGAAAGACUUGGGAGAUGCAAGAAAAAUUCUUCGCACAGUUAUUAAAAGGAAUAAAGCUGAUAAUAGGAUGACUAUUAAUCAACAGUCCUAUUUGGACAAAGUGAAAAUCAAAUUUGGUGUGAAAUUUGCUAAGUCUGUCAAUAUGCCAUUACCUGCACACAUGAAUUUAUCAUCUGCACAACGCCUUAAAACAGAAGAAGAAAUGCAUGAAAUGAGUAAUGUUCCUAUGUUAAUGCCAUUAGGUCUAUGAUGUAUUCUAUGAUUACCAUGAGAUCAGACCUUUCAUAUGCAGUUAGUUUUUUGAGUAGGUUUAUGUCUAACCCAAGUAAACUUCAUUGGACUGCACUUAAAUGGCUGUUGAGAUAUCUAGCUAAAAAUUUAAAAAGAUUAUUAGUGUUUAAACGAAAAAUGAAAAGUUAGAGCUUAAAUGAUGUGUAAAUUCUGACUUUGUGAGGGAUAAAGAUUAGGGGAAAUCUACCACUUCAUACUUCUUCACUUUAGGUGAUAAUUAUAUCGCAUGGAAAUUACAGUUACAACCUAUUGUUGCACUCUCCAGCAUUGAAGUAGAAUAUGUUGCAUUAACUGAAACUGUAAAAGAAUGCAUGUGGCGAAAGGCCUUCUAUGUGAAUUAAAUUUCUUGAAUGAUAAUGCUAUAAUUUUUACUAAUAUUCAAAGUUCAUUGAUGUUGUUUAAAAAUCCUAUUUAUCAUUAAUGCUCUAAACAUGUUGAGGUGAAGUAUAACUUCAUUAGGAAGAAGUUAGCUUUUGGUGAUUUUAUUUUGCUUAAAAUUGCAACUGAUGAUAUUACUACAGAUGUUGGAGCAAAAGUACUUUCGAUUGGUAAGUUCAACAAAUGUUUAUCAAUAUUGAGUAUUGAUAAUGUUAGGAAAAUGUGUAAUUGACAAUCUGUGACCAAAGGACCUAUUUGUCAAAAUUGUAAAGUCAAGGACCAAAUUGUAAAGGUCUAAUAGUUCAGGGACUAAAGUUGCAAUUUAGCAAAGUUCAUAGCAUAGGUCUAGGGUAAAGUGGGAUGCUUUGAAGAUACAAAUGGCGCGUUAAUUUCGCUAGAGUUUCGCCCUGACCUCGCUCAAGCCUAAAUUGCAGAACACACGUCGCUAGAGUUUCACUGAGCUGUCGCUCGAGCGAAGGUGCAUCGCUCGAGUUUUUCCAGCACCUCGCUCAAGCGACGGUGUUAUCUGGCCUUUGGUAAUUUAAUACCUCGCGAAUUUUUAACGCUCCAUAUUACCAAAUUCAACCUACUAUAUAAACAAAACGUCCGAUUUUCGUAAAUGACCUUUGGCAAACAUUCAAACAGGAAUUCCUCUCAACUUCCAAAGGAUUAAGAACCUAAUAUUCAUUCUUUUCAUCUUUUAAUUCUCAUGGUUCUUUGAAUAAAAACAUCAACCCUCUUAAAACCAAAACACCCUUUCAUAUCUCCAUAUCAACUUCCAGAAGAUCGUCAGUUUGAAGAUCCGGGAAGGGAAUUGCUUGAAGAGCUGGAGUGCUUGGUGAUUCACGAGAGGUAGAAGAUAUUCAAGGUUGGGAUUUUGACGUAGAUCUGCAAAAUCCAGGAUAGCUGUGGUCGAUACAGUAAGGAGGUCAGAGUAUUGUUAGAAUCAAUAAUGUCUGACGUACUGUAAGUCAAUAUCUUCUAUAGUGGAUCUCUACUGGCUUGUGCCCGAAGUUUUUACCCAGUUGGGUAUUCUUCGUCAACAUUUUGUGGCGUUUUUACUAGUUUUUGUUAUUUACUUUUCAACCGGCAAUUCAAUUUAGGUAGAUAAAGUAUGUGAAUGAAUCUGGACAAUGCAUAAUUUAUGUGACUUGUUGCAUAAGUUAAUUAAUUGCCUUAAUUCCGCAUAAACACCUAUUCACCCCCCCUCUAGGUGUUGGUUGGGUCGAACUAUAGCUUUUUCAAGUGGUAUCGGAGCUAAAUCUCGAGUCCUGACCCAUAGUUGUCUAGAUGAGUCAAUCACUGUCUGUACCUCCAUUUUUCGAUAGAAGUAAUUAUGCUUAUUGGAAGGUUAGAAUGCGUGCUUUUCUUAAGUCUUUAGAUGAGCAUGUUUGGGUAAGUGUGCAAAAUGGUUGGAAACCUCCCUCCGCUACCGUUUUUGGAACUAUUAAUCUAACUGACAUAUCACUGUGGACUAAGGAUGAAAUAGUUGAGUGUAAUUGGAAUAGCAAGGGUCUUCAUGCCCUGUUUAUGGCCGUGUGUUACGAAGAGUUUAGGAGAGUGUCAAUGUGUGAAACUGCUAAAGAGGUUUGGGACAUUCUUGAAACUACACAUGAGGGAACUAAAACGGUAAAGAAUUCUAAGUUACAAAUGCUAGCUUCUAGGUUUGAAGAAGUGAGAAUGAAGGAUGAUGAAACGUUUGACGAAUUCUGUGCUAAAUUGAAUGACAUUGUUAAUUCUAGCUUCAAUCUAGGUGAGAGAAUUUCCGAGUCUAAAAUUGUGAGAAAAGUGCUUAGGUCCCUGCCCGAGAGAUUUAGGCCUAAAGUCACUGCCAUUGAGGAAAGUAAGGACCUAGAUGAAGUUAAAAUUGAAGAACUGGUAGGAUCCCUGCAAACUUAUGAACUCACUGUCACACAACCUAAGAAAGGAAAGUCCAUAGCCUUAAAAUCUAUCAAAGAGGAUGAAUCUUCUGAUACUGACUCACUUAGGGACGAUGAAAUUGCUUACUUUGUUAAGAGAUUCCAAAAAAUUCUCAAGAAUAGGAGAAAGCCUUAGGAUAGAAAAAGUGGAGCCCCUAGCAAUUUUUCAAAAGAAAAAAUUGAAAAGUUUACCAAUAAAGGGUCUAGUGAUAAGUCUCAUUUGGUUAGGUGCCAUGAGUGUCAAGGAAUAGGUCACUAUAGGAAUGAAUGCCCUAGUUCUAAGAAGAACCAAAGAAAAGGAAAAGGUAAGGCCUUAGUUGUCUCACUUACAGAUAAUGAAUCUGAGACCAGUGAUAGGCAGGAAUCUUCUAGUAGUGAGGACGAAGGAAACUAUAUGGCAUUUGUAUCGACUGUUAAGAGUGAAUCUGACAAAGAAAGUGACAAGGUUGAGGAAGAACUUCCUAACGAUAACCCUAGUAAUGAGGAUGAGGAUGACAUAGACAUACAAGAAGCUUAUCAACUUUUGUUUAAAGAGAGUCUUAAAAUCAAAAAGGUCAAUAAAGCCCUACUCAAAAAUGUUGAUAAACUUGAAAGAGAAAAAGAGAAACUUGCUAGUAAUCUUCAGGAUUCACUUAAGAGUGGUAGUGAGUUAAAGUGUGUCAAUGAGAAGUUAGAGGACAAGAUUAAGACUUUGACUAGUGAAUUGGAGAAAUAUAAUGCUCAUUUUUAAACUUUCAUAAGUGGGACUAAGAAAUUGGACAAUAUUUUGGGAAUAAAUAAGCCUGCAGGAGAUAGAAAAGGUCUAGGAUAUGUUGAGGGUAACACACAUAUUACUAGACCAUCUAAGACUAUGUUUGUUUCAGCCUCUAAGAAAGCUAAUGCUGUCGGCAGUUCAAAAAAGGGUAAGAAUGUUCCGAGAGAACAGAGUCAUCAAUCACAUAGGAACUUCAAUCCCAGAUACCCACAGACACGUACCUUUGAGCCUAGGUUCAUUCCCACCUGUCACCACUGUGGAGCUCUAGGACACACUAGGCCUAGAUGUUAUAAGUUAGGCAAUGAGCGUAAAAAUCAUAACAUUCCUAGUCAGGUUAGCUUUCUGUCUAAUCAGGUUAGUCAUUUGACUGAGAUGCUUGCUAAGCUUACUAGGAGUACUUUAUCAUCUAAGAAAGUUUGGGUCAAAAAAGGUGAUCUAGCUAGACAUUCAGGUCAAGAAAACUGUUUUGUUGCUCAUGUUGCAUUAAAAGCCCAAAAUUACAAUAUGUGGUAACUAGAUAGUGCAUGUUCUAGGCAUAUGUGUGGUAAUAAAGCUUUGUUAACUACUCUUGAUGAAUGUAAUGGUGGUAUGGUUACCUUUGGAGAUGGGGGUUCUGCACCUAGUCUUGGCAAAGGUAUUGUACAAAUGCAUGGAUUACCUGUGAUCUCUAAUGUGCUUUAUGUGGAAGGCUUAAAGUCUAAUUUGUUAAGCAUUAGUCAGAUUUUUUAUGAUGAUUUUGAGGUUAGCUUUGUGCAAAAGAAAUGUACCAUGUAUGAUUCGUCCGGUGGGGUGGUCUUUGAAGGGGUUAGAACGUCUGACAAUUGUUAUGGAGUUUUGCCUAAUUCUAAUUAUGUGUGUAGGAGUGCAAAAAUUGAUGUGAGUGAGCUCUGGCACAAAAGGUUAGGUCACUUGAAUUAUAAGAGUCUAGUACAGCUAGCUAAGAAGGAAUUGGUUGAUGGUUUGCCUAAGAUAAGUCCGAGUGAAAAUGUUGUGUGUGGACCAUGUCAACUAGGUAAACAGCUUAAGGGAAGUCAUAAAAAGACUUCUAAAAUUCUGACCAAAAGACCCCUGGAAUUGAUACACAUGGAUUUAAUGGGACCAUCUAAGACUGAGAGUCUAGGAUGUAAGCGAUACAUUAUUAUUGUGGUAGAUGACUUCUUGAGGUUCACAUGGAUAGAAUUGUUUAGGGAAAAAUCUGAUGCAUGUGAUCUUAUAAAGUCUCUGUGUAAGCGGCUUAGUAAUGAACUCAAUCUCAAAGUGUCCAGAAUGCAUAGUGAUCAUGGAAAAGAAUUUGAAAAUUCUAAUCUUGAGAGUUUUUGCAUGGAUGAAGGGAUAUUGCAUGAGUUUUCUUCCCCUAUCACUCCUCAACAAAAUGGGAUGGUUGAAAGGAAGAAUCGUGUUCUUCAGGACAUGGCUAGAGCCAUGCUUCAUGGAAGGUGACUAGCCCUACACAUUUGGGGAGAAGCUGUUAACACUGCAUGCCACAUAAUCAAUAGAGUCUACCUUAGACCCAAGACCGAUCAGACUCCAUAUGAAAUUCUUAAGGGUAAAAAGCCUACGAUUAAGUACUUUCGUGUGUUUGGGAGUAAGUGUUAUAUUCUACGUGAUAGAGGGAACUUGGGUAAGUUUGAAUCUAAGAGUGAUGAAGGAGUUUUCUUAGGAUACUCUAGAAAUAGUCGAGAAUUUCGAGUAUAUAACUCAUGAACUCAUGUUGUGAUGGAGUCAAUCAAUGUUGUGAUAGAUGAUGCUGUGCGUGAGGGGGAGAGUGUUGAAAAUUGUGAUAGUGAUGGUGAUCUUAUAAGUUCUAGUGAUCCCACUGAACCACCUAUGUCUGAAUCAUCUCUUAGGAAAACUGAAACACCUGAAAAGGAAACACUUCCACAAGAUCGAGAUAAAAAUCCUAAGGAACCAUCGACUAGGGUUAAGUCUAAUUAUUCUAAGGACAAUAUCAUUGGGGAUCUAGAUGAAGGUAUGAGACUUCGUAGGAGAGUACUGAACAAUCUAGCUUAUACCAGCUAUGUCUCUCAUGUAGAGCCUAAGAAAGUUGAAGACGUUCUUAGUGAUGAGUGUUGGGUGAAUGCGAUGCAUGAGGAACUCAAUCAAUUUGCUAGGAACAAUGUGUGGAUCUUAGUUCCCAGACUUGAAAAUUGUAAUGUUAUUGGUACUAAGUGGAUCUUUAAGAAUAAGACAGAUGACCAAGGUACUAUAACUAGGAAUAAGGCUAGAUUAGUUGCUCAGGGUUAUACUCAAGUUGAAGGAAUUGAUUUUGAUGAAACUUUUGCCCCUGUUGCACGACUGGAGUCUAUUCAGAUUCUGCUUACUGUUGCUUGUACCUUAGGGUUCAAGUUAUAUCAAAUGGACGUUAAGAGUGCCUUCUUGAAUGGACUUCUUCAGGAAGAAGUCUAUGUGGAACAACCAAAAGGAUUUGUUGAUCCUAAGUUCUCCCACUAUGUCUACAAACUCCACAAAGCACUUUAUGGUCUGAAGCAAGCUCCUAGAGUUUGGUAUGAGAGACUUACUUCAUACCUUGAGGAACAUGGAUUCUCUCGAGGUGGUGCAGAUAGGACCUUAUUUAUUAGACAUAUUGAAGAAACUAUCACCAUUGCUCAGAUUUAUGUCGAUGACAUUAUUUUUGGGUCUCCUCUUGAGUCUCUAAUAUAUGAGUUUGCUGAGUGUUUGAAGCAAGAAUUUGAGAUGAGUAUGGUUGGGGAGUUGAGUUAUUUCCUUGGACUUCAGGUGAGACAGACAGAGGAUGGACUGUUCAUUUCACAGUCUAAGUAUACUAAGGAUCUAGUUAAGCGCUUUGGGUUAGUAAGAAGCAUACUAGGACACUAUGAGUACUAGCUUGAAGUUAGGUCGUGAUCCUUUAGGUAAGUGUGUAGAUCCUUCCCUAUAUCGAAGCAUGAUAGGUAGUCUUCUCUAUCUCACGACUACUAGACCUGACAUUGCUGCUAGUGUUGGAAUGUGUGCUCGAUUUCAGGCAGAUCCAAAAGAAUCACACUUAAGCUCUGUUAGACGCAUCAUUAGAUAUGUGAGUGGUACAGUUGAUCUAGAGAUAUUCUAUUCUAGGAAUUAUAUUAUUGAUUUGGCUGGUUACUCCGACGCCGAUUGGGCCGGGAACGCAGAUGAUAGGAAAAGUACGACAGGGGGUUGUUUUUACAUGGGGAGCAAUCUCGUAGCCUGGUUAAGUAAGAAACAGAAUUCUAUAUCUCUAUCCAUGGCAGAGGCCGAAUACGUAGUUGCUGCACUUAGCUUCUCUGGAUGAAGCAGAUGCUGAGUGAUUAUGGGAUUAGUCAAGGGACCAUGACUGUUUUCUGUGAUAAUACAAGUGCUAUAAAUAUUUCUAAGAAUCCCAUUCAACACUCUCGAACAAACCAUAUUGACAUACGACAUCACUUCAUUCGUGAGCUUGUUGAAUCACAUGUAGUCUCCCUCGACCAUGUCUCUACUGAUAAUCAAUUGGCUGAUCUACUUACAAAACCACUAGAUGGAUUGAGGUUUGAGUCGCUUCGGACGGCUGUUGGAGUUUGUUCACCUAUCUGAUCGUGGAUUCAUGCAUAUUUAUGCAUUCAUCACAUAUGCACCUAGUCACUUCAUAUCUUGCAUGUGAUCUGUGUGUGUGUGAUGCAUUUUUUAUUGUUAGUUUGUCGUUUAGUCUUCUUUUGUGUGUUAUAUUUUUGUGUUUAAAUAUGAAAAUAAAAAAAAUUUAAUUAAAAAAAAAAUAAUAAUAAUAAAUAAAAAUAAAAUGGGAUUUUUUUUGUGUGUGCCUUUUAUGUGACGAUAAUAGCUUUUGCAUUAAAAAUCAAACUCUAUUUUUCAUCAUAUGUACAAGUCUGAGGUUCCAUCAUCGUUCUCUUUGUCUGUGGAGUUCUGAGUAUAUGACUCGUCAUUCAUUUUUGCACAGCACACACUGUAGUCCUGUGAGUAAGUCUUGACCGCAUGGGUGAGACUUGGGAUGGUGUUUUUCUGUGAUUGGGGUUAUGUGUCCAUUUGCCUUGAUCUGGGACUAGUGUCACCUAAUCAUAUUGUCUUUCCCCACUUUUAUUUUGUUGAACUUAUGACUGUCUUCGGAGCCUAUUUGACUCGAACAAUUAAUCCUGAGGGGUUUCUAACUUGGUGCCCUAUGGUCAUCUGACCUGGGAGUCACCGGCCCAAAGUUCGUUACCGGGGUCAUUUAUGUCGCCUAAUGGGGAUAGCAUUGCACUUAAAUUCUUUUGCUAAAAAAAAAAAAAAAGGGAAGAAAUAUGGAAUCAUACGGUUAGGGGGAGUAAAAUUGUGAUAAUCGCAAUAUUUGAUAUAGGUCCUCGUGGAAUUGGAUUCGACUGUCACUUGGUAGACAUACACCUCUAUCUGGUUGUUUUCACGUGUCCUUUCUCACUAAUUUAAGGUUUUGAGCCUCACUUGCAUGGACUACGUGGCACUUUUCACGGUAAUAUUCUGUAUACACUUUACUCCACGGGAUUUUGAACUAUGUGUGGACUUACGAUUUGUCUAUGUGCUGAAUGUCGGGGUUGUGACUUUAUGCUUAUUGUUGGUAUAGUUACAUAAUUGGUCCCAUGCUUUUUUUUUAUUAGUUUCUCAUGCUCUGCACUUGUCUUAUUUUUGAAAAUACACGAUUUGGGGCUAAUUUCGUCAUUUCUUGAUAAUUGUGUUCUUUUUCUCAAAAACACAAAAUUAUCCAAAAAAGAUGGAGACCAGCCAAUCAAUGAGAAGGAAUAUAGGAGUCUUGUUGGAAGUUUACUGUACUUGACAGCAACAAGACCAAAUUUGAUGUUUGCGGCAAGCUUACUUUCUAGAUUCAUGAGUAAGCCAUCACAAACACAUUUUGGAGUUGCCAAAAGGGUCCUUAGGUAUAUCAAAGGAACAAUAAAUCACGGCAUCUAUUUUGCUGGAGGAGUUGGCUCAAAUUUGAUUGGAUAUUCAGAUAGUGAUUGGGCAGGUUCCGUGGAUGAUAUGAAGAGCACGAGUGGUUAUCUAUUUACACUUGGUUGGGGAGCAUUCUGUUGGAAUUCAAAGAAGCAAGAAGUAGUGGCACAAUCCACAGCAGAAGCUGAAUAUAUUGCAGCAUCAUCAGCUGUAAAUCAUGCCGUUUGGUUGAGGAAAAUUCUUAAUGAUCUUGCGAAAGUCAAGAUGAUCCUACAACUAUCAUGGUGGAUAAUCAAUCAGCCAUUGCUAUUGUAAAGAAUGCAAUUGAUCAUGGAAGAACCAAGCAUAUUAAAGUGAAGUUCCAUGCUAUCAGACAAGCUGAGAAAGAAGGAGAAGUUCAUCUACAAUAUUGUCCAGGUGAAUCUCAAAUUGCAGAUAUGUUCACUAAAGCAUUGCCCAAAUCCAGGUUUGAAGACUUAAGAUUGAAGAUUGGAGUUUUACCCAAAAGCUUCAAGGAGGAGAAUGUUGAUUAUUGAAGAUUUUUGGUUUUCUCCACAUGAUGAAAUAUGAAGAGUGUUUGAGCGGAAGAUGAAGAGUGUUCGAGAGGAAGAUGAAGAGAUGGAUGCAUUCACCAUCAUUAUUAGUCAUUAUUAAUGGAUGCAUUCAUCAUCAUUAUUAGUCAUUAUUAUUCUUCUUAAUUGUGUGACUCUUAGUAGUCUUAUACUAUCCUAUAAAUAGGUUUGUCAUGUACUCAAAUCAAAUAAUUCAUAUAUAAAAAAAAAAGUUUCUCUCAAAAUAUACUUUGUUCUGUUCUUAUUACUGAACUGAUCCGGUCUUGAUAGGAUCUAUCCUUUAUUACUGAACUGAUCCGGUCUUGAUAGGAUCUAUCCUUAUUUUCGCUGCAUACUAAAAUCACAAUCAGAACAAACAGCCUCUAACAAGGUGUUCAUACAUGCAACAUUUAGGUGAAAGCGGGACGAUGACCCUAAGACGUUGAGAGCUUGAUUCUACCAAAUUUUGAAGUCAACACAAUCAAUACAGAACUCAAUCCCACUUCAAUCUUAACCUAAACAACGCUAUUAACAAAAAUUCAACUUUCCAUUGGCAAAAAAUUGACAUCCAAUCCGAUAACAAGCAAACUGUAAGAAGGGAGGAAAAAUGACUCUAAAAAGUAAAGUGAACAUUUUAUUCCAAAAUAAAUGUGCCAAAAUUAAAAAUGAGUGAAUUGGCGAAGAGAGCUACGAAUUUCAGCACCAACGAUGAUUUGAUUCCAUUAUUUUCUUACCGUAAAACUAGCUGUUUGAUUUGAGGGAGCAAUUGCCAAUCAUGGCUUCUUGCUCUGUAAAUACAAUAAAAUUCAACGCAAAGACAAUUUCAUUGAUGAACCGAAAAUAGAGUAAAAUUCAACACAAAUAUUGGACUGAUAGGAUAGAGAGUUUUCAACAGAUUCACUAGCUUUAGCUAUUAGCUCAUAAGUUUACAUGAACGACAGAGAAUUUUUAAGCUAAUCACUACUUAAACAAUAGCAAUUGGACCCAAAUUAGGGGUGUUUUCCAUGGACUUCAUGGCUUCAAAUCUUGGUUCUUUAGCCUGGAAUUUGAGGCCAGAAUAGAGCUUCAUGUAGUCCUCAAACACGAAUUUUGGGUACAACUCUUUAUUCUCUCCUCCCUCUGUCAAUUUCGAUGCUGGAUAGAUCGCAGCAUCACUUCUAGGAUUGUAGAAUGAUGCAAGGGACAUUCUAUUUCCAUCUGUUUGUGCAAUCACUCUGUGCAUCACACUCUUGUACUUUCCAUUUGUAAUCACCUUUACACAAAGUCGGAAGGAGUUAAGCCUUAAUCCCAAUUACGAGACCAAUAAUAAGAAAACAACGGAAUAUAAAAACACGGGUAUUAGUAGCUUUUACUGUUGGGCAUACCUCGAGUUGGUCGCCAAUGUUGAUGACAAUGGAGUGGCGCAUAGGUGGCACAUCAACCCAUUCGCCAUCUUUAAGAAGCUGGAGGCCACUUACCUUGUCAUCCUGGAAAAGUAGGAUGAUGACACCGGCAUCAGUGUGUGCUCGAAGUCCUUUGAUGAGAUCCGGCUGGGGGCAUGGGGGAUAAUUGCUGACCUUGGUUCCAAAGUUAGGGCCUUUAGAACCAUAGAAUGCCUUUUUCAUAUAGCCUUUCUCUAGUCCAAGAUUUUCACAAAGCAAAUCAAGAAGAUGCUCAGCCAAUUUCUCUAGUUUUGCAGCAAAUUCCUUCAUUAUCUUCCUGUUAGCAUUCAUAAAAUAUUCAACUAAGAUCAGAAAAAUCCCAGAUUAUAUAAAAGUUAGUCAUGAAAACUGAUUAAUUAACCUGUAUUCAUCUUCAAGAUCAGGGACUUCUGCUAUGUUUGAAUCAGGGAGAUGGCGGAGGAAGAAGGUACUUUCCCAGUCUAAAUCAUUGUGUUGACACAUAAAAAUUCAGCCCAAAUCGAACAGCCCAAGGAGUAAAGCCCAAUUGGAGGAUCCCCAAAUCAGAUAGCCCAAAGAACGAAGUCCAAUCGAACGAAUCAAGGUGAAGGCCCAAAUAAGGGGGCCCAAGAAUGCGGUAACGCCAUCGCCCAAGUUUGCAAGUCGCCCAGAAUCUGAACGAAUAGAGUGUCAUACGGUCGCCCAGAGCUGUUAUUCUAUUCUCGCCAAAACCUUCAAGUCGCCCAAGGUAUCAACAAACAUAACGCAUCGUGGUUAUCAAGAAAUGCAGUUAUCAAGGCAGUUGUUAAAGUAGCCCUAUCACGUCCCACGACUCAAGGAAUUCAAUCGAAAACGGUUGAACGAUGAAAGGUAAUGACAGCAGUUAAAAGGCAGUUUCAUGACAAAAUGGCCACUACGGAGAAAGUGGGUAGUUAUAGGACGAUCAAGCAGUUUUAGAGUAGUUAAUCACAAAGAGAUCGUCUAUGAGGUAUAAAAGGGAGAAAGAACAUAGAAGCAAUGGACCGAAUCCAAAACUCUCGAACAGAGAAUAUGUAAUUUUCAUUUCCUUAACUUUUAGACUUAAAUACUUUUCUUUCUGUAACUCGUGUGCUUGCGCCCCUUGGAGGCACGCUGUUUUUCAUUUCCAAUUGUAAAGUUCAUCGCCAAUAAAAGAACACCCCUUUUUAGGACUUUGUCUCAAGAGGUUUCGUCCCUUACACAAUCGUCUGAUCCUUUUUAAUUGUUAGCGACUUAACCCGCGCGAAACAAUUUGGCACGCCUAGUGGGACAGUGGUGUUAGGUGUUGAAAAUACAAAAGGUGAAACAAUAUGCCUCAGAGAUCCGACAAGGAANNNNNNNNNNNNNNNNNNNNNNNNNNNNNNNNNNNNNNNNNNNNNNNNNNNNNNNNNNNNNNNNNUCGUUGAACAGGUAAAUCUUUGAAGUAUUCAUAAUAUGGAAAGAUUUACACAAAAUAGAAAUGCACACUAUGACAAUAUGGCCAAACAGCUAAAGACGUUAAACGAAAUAAUGAAUAAGUUAGUAGGCCAAAUAUGUCAACCGGCUAUACCUCUUACAAACCACUUUCAAACCAGGACAAUUGUGGGACAUAACCCCUCUAUCCUAAAUCCGAAUCAAGGGGUAGAAUCGCUUUCUGGUCCCUCUACUUCAAACCAAGGGGGUACUACAGUGCCAAAUCAAAACAAUGGUAGUGGCAUGCCUAACUUGGGGGGUAAUCCAAAUGUGAGAGAUAAUGUCCUAAACAAUGGACAGAAUAUUCCACGUGGUAAUGAGGGAACAGAUGUCCAGGCUAACGGUAAUGGCCCUAAUUAUGGUAAUUUUGUUGCCAAUCAAGGACCAAACAUCGGACCUCAUGCAAAUCAACCGGUUAAUCAGCCUGUGGGAAUUCCAUAUGAUCCCAAUGUCAUGCUGAGGAACCAGAUUAUGGAAAUCGUGCAGGAUCAGAUGGCUUUUGGGGUGCGUCCUCUCAUUAGGCCGACGUACACAAAACCAUAUCCUGAUUUGGUAGACCAAGCAUAUCCAUGGCCUAGAGGGUACAAAGUGCCAGAAUUCUCACUGUUUACCGGUUUAAGAGAGGUGUCUACUCUAGAACACAUAGGGCGAUUCACGUUGCAAAGUGGUGAUGUAACCGAUUACCAUAAAAUGAGACUUUUCCCUAGUUCGUUAACAGGAGUAGCUUUCUCCUGGUUCAUCAACUUGCCAGCGAACUCUGUUCAAACAUGGCAACAACUGGAACAGUUGUUUCACGCUCAGUUUUAUAAAACUGAGUCUGAAGUCACUUUGGCUGAUUUGGCAAAUCUACGUCAAAUGCCAAAUGAAUGGGCAGAAAGUUUUCUCCAAAGGUUCGAAACCGCAAGAAGCAAGUGUUUUAUACCUCUGCCCGAAAAAGAAUUUGUCAAGAUCGCACAAGGCUGUUUGAGCUUUGAUUUAAAAAAGAAGUUUUAGGACAAGGAAUUUCCUGACCUUUUCCAGUUGAGUGCGAAUGUGAUUAGGUAUGAACGACUGAUAAGAGAAGAAGAACAAAUGAAAAAUUCCAGUAAAGGGACUUAUUACAAAGACCUAAAUUUUGACGUUCAUACCAUCGACGACGAAUCAUACGAUCAGGCCGAAAUGUGUUUGGCCGAAUUGGUNNNNNNNNNNNNNNNNNNNNNNNNNNNNNNNNNNNNNNNNNNNNNNNNNNNNNNNNNNNNNNNNNNNNNNNNNNNNNNNNNNNNNNNNNNNNNNNNNNNNNNNNNNNNNNNNNNNNNNNNNNNNNNNNNNNNNNNNNNNNNNNNNNNNNNNNNNNNNNNNNNNNNNNNNNNNNNNNNNNNNNNNNNNNNNNNNNNNNNNNNNNNNNNNNNNNNNNNNNNNNNNNNNNNNNNNNNGGAAAGAACCAAAAAAGGACGAAAACGUUCUGUGUGCAAGGUGUAAAAGGGAAGUAAAUGGAGACAUGGAGAAAUCAGGGACAUGGCAGCAUCCUCAUCGCCUUGCCUUCUUCCCAAACAUUCAGCCUGGUAGAGGGCGAGGUACAUCAUUCUAUAGAGGACCGCCUUUUGAAAGGCAGUUCAGACCAGCAGAUACUGGAAGAACAUUUAGGCUGCAACCUCGCCGGUCAAAUGUAUGGCAUUCAUUCCAGUACAGUGUAGGAAGGGCAAUACCCUUCGAUGAGAUGACUAGGACCCAACAAAGGCGUUUCCAGCGAAACUACGGACGGAUGAUGAGGCAGCAACAAGGAAUGCCACAUCCUAAAGCGCCUCUACUACUCAAGGUAGCCAAUCAAAACAUCCUCAAAGGUAGUAAAGAGACUGGUACAGAUGAAUCGACGAAGGAAUUGCCAGAAACCUCUUCUAGGAGAUCAAGGUUUGAGAGGGACAAAAAGGAUGAAGAAGAUCCAGAUCAGCCUCUUGCUAUCCAAUUCGGUACGUUGCCUCCUGUCAUGGCCAAUAAUUACCUACUGGCCAAUGAAUUCAAGAAUAAAGAAAAGGAAGAAGAGAGGGAGGACAACGAAGGAGAAGCCUGCAUGCUGGUAUGUGAAGAAGGCCAGACUUCUAGAGAGGCCUACAACGAUGAAGAGGAUGAUGGGAUGACAGACAUUGAAGAAGAAACCGAUCUAGAAGCAGAAAGGAAAAAGAGGAGAGUAUCGCGCAACACUUUGUUUAAGCAACUACAGCAAGAGGGAGUUCGCGAAGUAGACUUGUUGGGGGAGCCAUCUGAGCGUCCUUUCGACUUCUACGUACUAUACGGGACACCCAAAAGGAAGAAGAGAGUACCUCGCUCUGAAAAGUAUGGGUCACCUCCAAGAAUAAUGCCCCCUCCCACAGGUUGGAUAACUGAUGAGGAAACAUUAGAAAAAAGUAAGAAGGAAAUUCAGGAGACAGAGGAUCAGCGUGACAUACUACACGUCGACCUAUCACAAGGGGAUAAUUCGACAAAAAACAAGCCAGAGGUAGAAAUAGAGGUUGCCGAAAAGGUUGUUUUUAAACGGCCAGCCAUGAAAUUGACAAAACACCUGAGGCCAUUAUACGUUAAAGCUCUAGUUAACGGCGUCCCAGUGGCAAAGGUGCUUGUCGAUAAUGGAGCGGCUAUAAACACCAUUCCAUCCAGGAUGAUGAGAAAGUUCGCAAAGACAGAGGGUGAUAUGAUUCCUACAGAAGUCAUCCUCACUAGCUUCAAUGGAGGAGCAACUUCAGCUAAGGGAGUUAUGCCUUUAGACAUAACUAUAGGUACGACUACUAGGACCACUAUCUUCUUUGUAAUAGAUGGUCCUACUAGUUACAAUGUGCUCCUAGGAAGAGAUUGGAUACACGGAAGUCGCUGUAUACCCUCGUCGCUCCAUCAAUGCCUGAUUUUUUGGAAUGACAAAGGCGAAGCAGAGGUGGUACAGGCCGAUCAUAGGCCUUUUGUCGCGGAAGCGAACUCGGUGGAAAAAUUCAUGUACGAAGGAAACUAUGGACCUGUCAGAGUAGUACAAGACGGGGAAGAAACUCAAGUUGUCGCGCAAAGCGAAGAACCAUUCUCAAUGGACGCACUCACUGAGAUGUUCAAACAGAUGAGGCCAAAUAUAGUGGCCCUAGAAGAGCCAGUGAUUGGCAAAAGAAUAAUCAAGGAAUCUUAAAUGGAUUCUGAGUUACAAAAGCAAAUGGCCGAUAUUCAGGCCUUCAAAGUCAGAUGAUGGCUUUCAAUAAGGAAUGCAAUGACAAAGCGAAGGAAGAGACUGCCCUAAAAGCGCUGAAGGACAAGUUGGCAGUAUUCGAGUUAGAGCAAAGCCUUAGCCGAGAAAUCAACAAGGUGAACUGUUUGGAAGAGGAAGUACUUACAAAAGAACCGGACGACGAAGUGAUGCGGAUUCCCAAACCUGGAUACCCUCAAGCGCAAGACCCUCUGAUCAAAGUAAAUAUUGGCGAUGAAGGAGAAGAUCACCCAACGUUCAUCAGCCAGAUGCUCGACCAAGAGGUUAGUAACAAAUUAAUCGCUUUGUUAAAAGAGUACAAAGAUUGUUUUGCUUGGAAAUAUGAACAAAUGCCUGAUUUAGAUAGAGACUUAAUGGAACAUAGAUUACCAACUAAGCCUAAUUUUAAACCUCAUAGGCAACCUCCUAGGCGUUUUGCUCCUAAUGUACUCCCUGAAAUUAAGAAAGAGAUAGAGCGAUUAUUGAAAGUAGGUUUUAUAAGAACAACCAGAUAUAUUGAAUGGUUGUCGAAUAUUGUGCCAGUACUAAAAAAGAAUGGUAAACUAAGGGUGUGUAUAGACUUUAAAAAUUUAAACAUAGCUACACCCAAAGAUGAGUACCCAAUGUCCACGGUGGAUUCCUUAGUAGAUUCAACUGCCGGACAUGUCAUGUAUUCUUUCAUGGAUGGGUAUUCAGGAUACAAUCAAAUCUAUAUAGCUGAAGAAGACAUACACAAAACUGCCUUUAGAUGCCCUGGGUCUCUAGGAUGUUUUGAAUGGGUGGUUAUGCCUUUUGGCCUAAAAAAUGCAGGGGCAACUUAUCAAAGGGCUAUGAAUUUAAUCUUUCAUGACAUGAUAGGCAAGUUUGUUGAGGUGUAUGUGGAUGAUAUAGUGGUCAAGUCCAUUAAAGAAGAUGACCAUUUCGAACAGCUAAGAUGUUCGUUUGAACGAAUGAGGCAAUAUAAGCUAAAGUUGAAUCCCUUGAAGUGUGCAUUUGGUGUUAAUGCAGGGAACUUUCUUGGUUUCUUAGUACACAAGAGAGGGAUUGAACUUGAUAAAAAUAAAGCUAAAGCUAUUUUAGAAGCCAAACCACCUAGCAACAAAAAGGAGUUGCAAAGGUUUCUAGGCCAAGUAAUUUUUCUAAGACGCUUUAUUUCUAACUGUGCAGGGCGAACUAAAGUUUUUUCGCCGCUAUUAAAGAUGAAAAGUCAGGACGAAUUCGUCUGGAAAGAAGAACAUCAAAAGGUUUUUGAAAGCCUGAAGAUAUAUCUAUCAAGUUCGCCAGUGUUGGUGUCACCAAUCCAAGGACGGCCGAUGAAAGUGUACGUGUCGGCUGAAAAAGAAUCAAUAGUUGGAAUGGUCGCGCAGGAAGACCAAGUUGGUGAAGAAAGGGCAAUUUACUAUUUAAGUAGACGGUUAACGAAAUGUGAAUGCAAUUACUCUGCUGUUGAAAAAUUAUGUCUCGCAUUGUAUUUCACAUGUACAAAACUAAGGGCUUACUUACGUCCCAUAACCGUUUAUUUAAUUUCUAAAGUAAAUUUAGUCAAGUAUAUGUUCUCGCGCCCUAUUUUACACCAAAGGGUAGGCCUUUGGACACUAGCUUUAUCAGAGUUCGAAAUACAAUAUAUACCUCAAAAGGCAGUCAAAAAUUAGGCUUUGGCUAACUUUCUAGCCGAUCAUCCAUGCCUUGACAUGCCUGAAGAAAUCGAAUUAGAAAUCAAUUCGUUCGAAUUAAAACCUUGGGUGUUGUAUUUCGAUGGGUCAAAAACCUCUAAAGGUGCAGGAGUAGGGGUAGCAUUGAUUAAUCCUUUAGGAAUUUGCUACAAGUUUGCAUUCACCUUAGACAGAAUGUGCACCAACAAUCAGGCCGAAUAUGAAGCCUUAAUUGUAGGCCUAGAACUAAUGAUAGAUAUGGGAGUAAGAAAUGUGAUCGUUAAGGGCGAUUCUCAAUUAGUGAUACAUCAGUUGAUCGGUAAUUUUAAAUGCCAAAGUGAUUCCAUUAUAAGUCAAUAUAAAAUCGCCCAAGAAUUAUUAGAGGAAUUCGAUCAAGUAGAAUUUCAAUGCGUUAAUAGGAUAUAUAAUGACGUGGCGAAUGAGUUAGCUCAAAUGGCUUCAGGGUACUCAAAGGUCUUGAAUUGAAAGUCUACUUGUGAGUAUGGAACCAUAUUGCCUGUAACUCAAAGAAGGACGAGAAAAAUUGAACUUCACUGUAUACAAGAUGGAGAUGCAGUGGAUUGGAGAACAGAGAUUAAAAGGUUCCUUAAAGAACCUAAUGGAGGGAUUAGUAGGAAAACGAAGCUUUUCAGGGUUACGUAACAAGGAAGCAAAAGAUGAACAGUGAAUCGUAAAAGAGAUGCAAAAAAUAUGAGGCGUGGUUUGGUAGCAGUGAAAUGGCGUGUUUGGGGUUUAUAAGGGUUUGCAAAACGAUGCACUUUUUCAAGUUAUAGAAGGAAACAAUGAUUGAAAUUCUUGGAAAUUUCAAACGUUGCUGGAAACAUGGAGUGAAUAUGGCAAAAUUCAAUAAUUAUUAUUAAUUCUGCCAUAUUGGGGGUUAAUUGUUGACACAUAAAAAUUCAGCCCAAAUCUAACAGCCCAAGGAGUAAAGCCCAAUUGGAGGAUCCCCAAAUCAGAUAGCCCAAAGAACGAAGUCCAAUCGAACGAAUCAAGGUGAAGGCCUAAAUAAGGGGGCCCAAGAAUGCGGUAACGCCAUCGCCCAAGUUUGCAAGUCGUCCAGAAUCUGAACGAAUAGAGUGUCAUACGGUCGCCCAGAGCUGUUAUUCUAUUCUCGCCAAAACCUUCAAGUCGCCCAAGGUAUCAACAGACAUAACGCAUCGUGGUUAUCAAGAAAUACAGUUAUCAAGGCAGUUGUUAAAGUAGCCCUAUCACGUCCCACGACUCAAGGAAUUCAAUCGAAAACGGUUGAACGAUGAAAGGUAAUGGCAGCAGUUAAAAGGCAGUUUCAUGACAAAAUGACCACUACGGAGAAAGUGGGUAGUUAUAGGACGAUCAAGCAGUUUUAUAGUAGUUAAUCACAAAGAGAUCGUCUAUGAGGUAUAAAAGGGAGAAAGAACAUAGAAGCAAUGGAUCGAAUCCAAAACUCUCGAACAGAGAAUAUGUAACUUUCAUUUCCUUAGUUUUUAGACUUAAAUACUUUUCUUUCUGUAACUCGUGUGCUUGCACCCCUUGGAGGCACGCUGUUUUUCAUUUCCAAUUGUAAAGUUCAUCGCCCAUAAAAGAACACCCCUUUUUGGGACUUUGUCUCAAGAGGUUUCGUCCCUUACACAAUCGUCUGAUCCUUUUUAAUUGUUAGCGACUUAACCUGCGCGAAACACAUUGAUAUCAGAUUGAACAGCUUCAAGCCCUUUACUCGCCAUCAUUUCCUUAAAUCUUUGUUCCAUGCAUUUUCUGUAGUGCUCCUUUGUCAGCCUCUCUACAGCGUCCAUGAAUUCGGGAGAAAUCCCAUGAUUCACCAGCUUAAUUACAAGAUCAUCAACCGUUAAUUUUUAGUACAAAUUUAAAAAUUCUUUUGGUUUUAUGUAUUAAUAACAGAAUUAAUUAUAUAUUUAUACCUCAAAGAAACCCCAGUUUUCACAAGCAUCUUUGAUCUUCUCCAUUGUUGCAGCCCUUUCUUCUCCAUUGAGAUUCUCCAUGUUAAUAACUGGAAAACUUGCCAUCUCUCUCUCUCUAGUUAUUCUUAUCCUUCUCUUGCUGUUUUGAGUCUAUGAAUCACAGUGUUAAGGGGGAAACCUCGAGGGUAAUUUAUAGUGGUUUCCAGGAUAUGGUACCAGUACUGUACAAGAAAUAUAUAGCAGAAGAUUAAUCCAAAUCAAAUAAGUAAGAUUAUCCUGACAAGACUGGUGGAACACGUUCGUGAUCACAUCUUCAUGGACCCAUACCAACUUUAUUAUUAGCAUGGUCUUUGGCUUUUUUCGUAGGCCAAACCUCCAUGUGAUAUGGGACCUAACUCAAGUUUUUCCCAUGCACGCUUGUAGUUCGUAGGGCUGCUUGAUGAAACUGCCUGUCAACUUUCUAACCAGAACCUACAGUAAUUCUUUAAGUUUUUUGAUUAUUUUUAAUACACGUGUUUGAUGUUUUAAGUAAUAUUUGUGCGCAGAAAACUAUUUGUACAAUACUUGAUCUGGAAAGAAUGUUGAAGAGAAUUGACGUUUCAAACUGAAAAUUCACUUUUAGAAAAGUAAAAGGGUUUAGGAAAUUAUGUUUGAUUUUGUCAUCUAUGGAAUUGCUUUUUUCUUCCGUCUUAGCCGUUUCUAUUAUUUUAAUGUUUUAAUUCACCAUAAAAAAAAAUGCAUAUGGUUUAAACAUAUUAGUAAAUCAUGAAACCCGUGAUUAAGAUUUGUUUUCUACAGAAAUAUUGGUUUUUUUUUUUUUUCCUUUUUGCCUAGGGAGGUAAUACAUUAUUAUUUAUGAUUUUUUUUAACUAACUAUAGAUGUGGCAACUGGCAUGUUUUAUUGAGAAUAAAAAAUAAAACAUAAUACGUACAUAAGAGAGAAAACAUCAAGUUAAAGAUGUAAAACGAAUAAUCGAUUGAACUUUUCCAUCUCGACGCAAGGAAUAAAAUAUAAGAGCUAAAUAAAUAGUAUAUUGGUCAAAGACUACAUGAUUUGAACUUAAAGAGCGAUGAAAAAAAAAGCGCAGUCUGAUCAAGUCGUAUCAAAAGUUAUUCAAGUUGCGAAUGCAUCUUGAAUACCAAUUAUUUAUUGCUGUAAAUUUUGUUUAAAAUUUUUUGGAACAUAAAAAAGUUUAUUGUUAAAAAUAAAAUAAUCACUGUCGACGUAUAGGCAGCCAAUAAAUUAUUUCCCCACAUUGACCCUUAAAUUUUUAAUUUAAGGGUCCGUUUGAUUGUAAAGAUGGAACUGAAUUGCCUAGAAAACGAAUACCAGAGAAUUGAAUUGCUUAUAAUUGUUUUCCUGAAAAUUGUAAAUUAUUGUGUUUGAUUGGAAUAAUUUUUCACGUGGAAAAUGUUGAAAUAAAAGUGUUUUUGGUGGUCGUUUGAUUUUGUUUUACAUGAAAAUUGUCAAUUAAAGGGAUAUAUUUUACUAGUAUUGGGGAUGAAAUUUGUUUCCAUUGCCAACACAAAAAAAAUAAAAAAAAAUCAAGAAAAUCAUCUAUCUUUUGGUAUUCGUUUGAUUUUGUUUUAUAUAGAAAUUGUCAUUUAAAGAGAAAUAUUUUUUUACAAUAAUUCUUAGAAUUUGUUUCCAUUGCCAACAAAAAAAAAAGGCAAAAAAAAUGCUACAGUAAGUAGGAAAUUGUGGGAAAUUGGUUUUCCCUAAAAACCAAAAAAAAUCCAAACUUCAAGAAAACCAAGAAUUCGAAUUCCAUGGAAAAAAAAUGUAUCAAACACCUAAAGUUGGAAAUUCCAAUUCCAAUUCCAUCUUCCAAUUUCAAUUACACCCUAUCAAACACACCCUAAUAGUUAGAUUAAACCACUAACUUUGACAAAUCAAUUCAGAUAUUGUUUUUAUUAUAAUUACAGUAGCCUCAAUUUUAUGAGAAAGUAGAUGUUUGAAUUUUGAGUUCAAUAUUUGUCUCUUAUUAAAUGUGAAUACUAGAAUUAAUAAUUUCAUCAAAGCAAACCAAACUCUAAUCCUUGCAUGUUUGACCAAAUCAAUAUCUAAUCUAGCCCCUGUUUGAUACCCAUUAAAUUAAAUUACAUUACAUUCCAUUUUUCUCUCUCCUAUUUUCAACCAUACAAUCUUUCAUAAAAUAAUAUUACACGUAAAUCGAAAAAUUUUCCUUCCUUUUCAACCACUUAUUUUUCUAAAAAAUAUAUUCCCCCCAUUUUCAUUUUUAGGUAAUGGGGAUCAAAUAGGGGCCUAAUGUACAUUUAGAAUUUAAUCACAUUAUAAAUGAGCAUUUAUCAAACCUUAUUUGACAAGUAGUAUUUUGCUUCUUUUUGAGUUAAAGAGUAUCCUCAAAAAGACACUUGUAAUGGAACGAGACUCAAGUUUAUAUUUUGUACAAGUUAAUCUGGUGAAGUCUCGAUGUUGAUUAAAAAUUACAUUAUAUUGGGAUUUAAUUUUAAGAGUAGCAGCUGUUAGGGUAGAGUUCCAUUUAUAAACCCCAUCAGUUCUUACCAAAUGUAAAAUGUAUGGAACUGAAUCUUCCAAGAGAUUUCAUGGAAGUGAGUUUUAGCUGAAAUUCUGAUGGAGAUAAGAGAAUGGACAUGGUUAAGCCUUGUAAAAGAGAGAAAGUUGGUGGUGAAUUAUGAUUGGGCUUUUCCAUAAUUUUCUUUUCGUAAAAGGCUCUGAUUGAACAGACCAAAUUAACUCUUCUUGUAAUAUCAACCAAUGGAAAUUUAAUUUAUACUAAUUACAGAGUCAUGGAUAAAAAAAAAUUAAAUAUUGUAUUCUAUUUAAUGUACAAAUAAGUUAUAACGAUUACUAAAAUAAAUUAUCAUGACAAAUUUUCUUCAUCUCUAGCCAAGUCUAGUUAAAACGGGACUAUACCACGUGAUGUUUAUGGAGUAAUUUUUUACUGUUGACUGAUAUAAAAGUCAAUAAUACGGUAGCAAAAAAUUAAUAGACACCCAAAAAAUGCGAAUUUAAUUAAGAUAAAAAGAAACCGUUUUUCUUUUUUCUUUUUUCUUUUUUUAUUUUACCGGAAAAAGGAAGGGAUUCUACCAAAAUAUUACAAGAGUUAACUAACAUAUAAAAAUUAAAAGUAAUUAGUGGUUGGUGUAGAGAGAAGCGGGAAUCACGUCGGCAACAAAGAUUGAAUUAGAUUAUUUUCCAGUUUAUCUUAGGUUUAGCAAAAUGGGAAUGCUAAACAUAAGAAAAAGGGAAGUACAAAUGAAUAAAUAUAUCCUUUGCUUCUUGUUAUAUAAACACAAAGUCCUUUUAGGGGUCUCUCCAUGAAAAAGAGAUUGAAUAUUAAAUGAUCCGUGCUACUUGGACAGGUACCUGUCCCCUGUUUAAUCGACCAAUAGGGGGUGCCACAUCACCCCCUAUUUUCACAGGUACCUAUUUGAGUAGAAUUACUCAUAUUAAAUUGGACGAGCCCCACUACUUUGGUUGCCUACCGUUGAGCUUGGCUCGAGAAGCAAAUAGAGUUGUGCUCGAUUUGGAAUAAGUCAAGUACGAGUUGGUUUCUCAAUUGAGGUGUGAUUCAGUUUGCGUCAUAAGGUCUCGUCUAUCAGAGGCGGAGGUAGUGGGAGACAAUACCCAACAAUGUCCGCCAGCCCAUGUAAAUUUGUAAGAAAAAAAUUUUAAAUUUUGGCCCAACCAGCCCAGCAAUGUCCUCCAACCCGUAUAAAUUUGUAAGAAAAGAUUUUAAAAUCUUGGCCCAGAUAUUAGCAUUAGCCCAGCUCUAAUUUAAAUCUCAACUCAUGUUCAAUACUCAAUUAUUCAAAUUAUAUUAAAGACACUGCAAUUAUUAAUUACUCUUUUCAAGACAUUUAUGGAGUGUGAAUAUUUUAUUGUCAAAUUAGAUAUUCUAUUUAAUACAUUUUUGACUAAAAUUUAUCAUAAUUAUUAAGUAAAUUUUAUUAUAGAUAAUCUGUAUUGAUUAAAUGUAAAAGUAAAUUACUUAUUUUAAUAGUUAGAGACACUACAUAUUUUUCUAAAUUGUGUAUGUUUUCAUUCAUUGCUAAUUCAUAUUAAAAAAAAAAACUUAUUUUGAUCAUAAAGUAGAUAUUUAGAUGAAAAUAAAUAACUUACUAUAGAUUUGAUAUUGACAAUAUAAAAAAAAAUAUGUUAAAACUUAUUUAUUUAUAAAGUAAUUUAUAUUGAUAAUAAAAAGAAUAUUUGUUAAAACUUUUAGUUGUUUGGAAAGAUUGGUUGUCAAAGUUACUAGAAGAGUACUGAUUAAGUAAUUUUUUAAAUGUUCAUUGGUGGAUAUGUAUUUUUGCUUAAUUCUAUCAUGAUUCGGUUAAUUUAUAUUUUUUAAGGUAACCAUCGAUUUUCUAUUUGGUAAAAAAAUUACAAAAAUUUAGUGAAAUAUCUUAAUUUGAGACAUCUAAACUUUUAUAUAUUUCAUUAAGUUUCGUAUACUUUUUAAUGUGAACGUCACAAAAAUAGACUCCGAAACUCAAUUUCUUGUAGCGUAAAUUCAUUAAAAAAAAUUAAAUUUCAACCUAUCCUAACAUUAUUUUCUGGGUCCGUUCUUGGUGUGUAUAUAUAUGUGCAACAUACAACUCUCAAUUGUAUUGUGCUUUUCAAAUGUGCUUGUUUCCCCUUGGAAGGUAUACCAAUCCAACAGCUAUGUCUAUUAAACUCUUAGGGAAUAAACCAGUAAAUAGGUUCUUAGAAUGAGCUCGGGAGUGACUCAUUCCACUUAACUUACCUCAAGGAAUUAAUGGUUGAGUAUAUAUUGCCCCUGUUUGAUCCCAAUUUUUGUAAGAAAAUAUGUUUUGGAAUGUAAUUUUUUAGAGAAUGUAUGGCUCAAAAAUAAAGAAAAUUUUUCAAUUUACAUGUAAAAUUAUUUAUAGAAGAAUAUAUGAUAAAGAAUAAGUUUUUAAAAAAUAAGGACUGAACAUAGACUGUAUCAUGAAUUUCAAACGAAAUUUACGAGGUCUAUUAAGCCCUUGUUUGGUCUCUAUUUUUUUCAAAUUUUAUGUUUGGAAUAGUGUUUUUUUAAAAAGAAUGAAAAAAUUUGGAUUUACGUGUAAUAUUAUUUUAUGAAAUAUUGUGCAGUUAAAAAUAAAAUAGAGGAAAAAAAAUGAAAUGGGGGCUAAAUUACAUCAAUACAAGACGAAGAAGUUUCUUGGGCCUUGAAAUAUCUUGUGGUAUAAAAUGGUUCAUUCUACCAAUAAUUAUUUUCCUUGUUUUUCACGAGUGUUUUGACUCAUUCAUGACCACUUGAUUUUAAUUAGUUUAAAUUAAAAAAAAUUCAAAAAAAAAUAAAAUUUGAUAUAUUAUUGCUAAGUACCCAUUUUAGUUAGUGUAAUUUUCAAUUGAGGCCAGCAAUUAUUUUCAUCAUAUUAAAUUGACGGAUUAAAUGUAUUCCGAAGAUUUUCCAAGUUUAAAUGAAAGUGAGGUUAAACCAAUUGAAAUCACAUGAAACUUCACGAAACGGUGACUUGCAUGAUAGAGCGGACAAAAGAAGCUACCCCUAUUCACAGAAUCACAAUCAUAAUAAGAUGGUUAAAAAGAUUGUCACGUAAUCGAGUUAAUUAAAUUAACAAUUAAGCUACUCGUACACAAUGGCGAAUUUAGAAUUGGAGUUCAACUAAAGCAGACGUUGACCGUUGACUAUUGACCGAUGAUAGUCAACGUCCAUAAUAUCGUGAAAUUGAUUAGAGACUGUGGCGGAACUAGAUACACUACUAAAACUGGAUAUGGACUUUUGUUUUUGUUGAAAAAAUCAUUCCACUAUCUAUAAAAAACCCUAAUUUGCAGUUCAAUUAAAAUUGGUUCAAAAACAAAGAACACGUACACCUUGAAAAACAAAGCCCCAAUAAUCAUUUUUCAAUUAAAAUUAAUUAAACAGACAUCAAUAUAUUAACAAAGUCAAUUAAAAUUGGUUCCAAUUUAUCAAUAAAAAAUUUUCAAAAUACUUAUAAUCUACAAAAUUCUCCAAUAAUAAUUUGAGUAGGAACUAGGUAGGAAUUUUUUUUCUUGACACGUACUGAUAAAACGUAAAUCAUAACUCAUAAAUGAUAAAUCAAACUAUGAAUUAAGAGGUCGGUGUCGAUGGCGACUUGCAGGAAGCAGUAGCAAGUUGCAGGUGUUGAGUUCGGAAUCCCGAGGCAGUAAGAGGGAGGAAGGAUUUGCGUGCAAAUGCAAAAUGUAAUUGUCAAAUUGGCUAACAUGAAUGGAGGGUAACAGAUUUGGAAAUUGCUUUUCUAUUGGAAUUUUACUAUUUGUACACCGAUAUGAGGGGCCCAUGCCCAAUAAAAAAAGUGUGAACCCCCCCUUGUGAGGGGCACAUACACCGACACGUGUACGUGUAGCAAAACUCUUUCUAUAGAACCACUAGUCCAACUCGAUGCUACACAAAUAAAUUUAGGCUUACUUUUUCAAUAAACAAGAGGCUCAAAAAGAGGCCCAAAACUUAAAAAAGGCCCAAUUCAUAAACACGUGUCAUCUUCUUUCUAGCUUCUUCCAAGUUUCAUUUUCGCCUCUACAACUUAAGUUUCCUCCUCCCUGGCUGGCGGGCUUCAGGUGGUAACUACAAAUUCAAAUGGUGCCAGGACAAGCGGCAUACUAGCUCUCCAAGUUCUAGCUUCGCCACUGCUUAUACUCCCAUUUGUACACCUUAGUUUUACACUCCCUAUGUAUCAAAAAUUAUGCCAUUGAUUGAAAAUUGUGUUUUUAAAAUAAAUGCAUCAAAACUUGCCAAUUCAUGUAGUUGUAAAUCAAGGUGUUAACCUUGAUGUACGUAUAGCAUGAUUGUUAAAUUAAUACUCACCGAACUUACCUCAAAUGACUUCUUCUUCACCCAAAUUAAAAAGAUCAUAUUUUGAAAAAGAUUAACCAUCCAUCAAUCAUACAUAUUACAUCCGUCCACAUGGACAAAAAAUUCACGUGGAUGGAUGGAAAUCCUAAGAGGCAUUGACGAAGUCUAUGUGGACAGAUUGAAUGGUAUGAGCAAUGAAUGGAUAACAUUUUUUAAGUACAAGUGAGCACUAAAUAACUUUAUUUUCUUUUUUCUUUUUCUUUUUUAAAUUUUGAUGGGCAAGUAAUAACCUAAGAUAAAGUUCAAUAAGCAUUGAUUUGAUUAACUCAGUUUUAAAUGGUUAUCUUUUUUAAUUUAUUUGAUCUAAUUUGACACAAAUAAUAAUAAAAUGAAAAUCAAGAAUUUGUAAAAUUUUAAUCCCUUUUCAUUAAAUUUUAUAAUAUUACUUGUGGGUAGAUUUCUAUAUUUAUUAUAUUGAUACUUGUUUAAUCAAUUGUAUUUCUUUUUGUUCACACUUGACAUUUUAAAGCCUUCAUUUUAUAUUGCUAGUUUGCUAUAUUUAAGUUCAUACUCGUGAAUUUUACUACAUUACACAUUUAGCCCCUGUUGGAGGCCACAUUUUUUUUUUUUUUUUUUUUUUAAAAAAAUUUUUUUUGGAUUUUUUUUUUUUUUUUUUUGCAAAUAAUGUAUUUUGGAAUUGUAUUUUUUUUUUUUUUUAGAAUAUGUGGUUAAAAAAUAGAGAAAAAAAUUUGAAUUACAUAUAAAAUUAUUUUAUGAAAAAAUGUAAAAUUAAAAAUGAGUUUUAAAAAAUGAAUUUUGAGAAUAAUGAGGCUCAUAAGGGGCUUAAUAAGUAUUUCAUUUGACAUCACUUCACUAAUAUUUUUAUUUACUUAUUAAUUAUUAGACGAAGUUAUUGAAUUGUUGUUGCCUUACUGACUUAUUUAUAUAUAAAUUUUACCACGUCGAUGCUUUUAAAAUUUUAAUCAUCCUUAACAAAAAUUCUAGAUCCGUCCCUAGAUCGAAAAAUUUUGAAUAGAGCUCGAUUAUUGGUGAGCAAAUGAUUGAUUUAUAGAGUUGCAAUAAUUCAUAGAAUUAAUCUAUUUUAUUAGAUUUAGAACUAAAAUAAACACAUGUUUGUCUAUCAUUAAAUUAGGAAAGUAAAAUUUUAAACUAUUGAAUUUUUGGAGAAUGUAUGAUAAAAUAUUUAAAAAAUGGCUUUACGUGUAAAAUAUUUUAUUAUAAGAAUUUGUGGUUAAAAAUAAGUUUGAAAAGGAAAAAAGAAUUUUUAAUUAAUAGUAGAAAAAUAGGGGAUAAAACAUCUUCAUUGAUGACUUUAACCCAUCUAAAACUGAAUUCAUUGUAUAAAUGAUCAUUGAAUUUUAUUUUAGGCUGCUACUUGUUCAACCAAAAUAAGGAAAAAAAAAACAUUUCUCAAUUUUAAGUACGAGUGAGUAUUAAAUUUGAACAAGCAAUUUGUAUUAAAUUUGAUCCUAUUUCUAUUUUUAGAGUAUUAAAUUUUCUCUAUCUUUCUCUUCAUUUUUUUUUUUAUCUUAAUAUUAGUAAAAGAAACAUGGGCAGUAGAUAGAACUCAUUGGAGACCAAUUUUAUAUUCGAUCGUCUAUUCUUUAUGCAUCAAUGUCCUGUAAAUUACAAUUUAUAAGUGUAUAUGCAUGUCAUGUAGAAUGUUGGCCUCGAUUGUAGUAUGCACAGUAAACAAUAGAUGUCGAGUCCACUCGUGUCUAUGCAAACUAAUUCCAACAUGCUUGGACAGAUUACUAGUCAACGAUGUUUCAAAUUUCAACGGGAGAGACGCUUUACAAUGCGAAACAAAGAUGUUCAAACACUGACAACAUACAUAAAUAUAAUUGUAUGAUAAAGAACGAUCAAGAACACAUAAACUCAAGAUUUAACAUUUAGCUCAAUUAAUAGAGAAUAAUAAAGCAGAGAGAAGCAAUAACUCUAGUCAUCAAUUCAAUGUAUUGUUGGAAUUUAGUGGUGUUAAUGAAAUCGGAUUAUCGUAUACCGUAUAUAUAGUUUAGAUACCGAUUUUAAGCAUACCGUAUAUACAGCUUGCCGUAUAUACAUCUUAACGUAUUUGCAGUCUACCGUAUUUGCAGGCAACUUACCAUAUUUGCGGCCUACCUUAUUUGCAGCUUACCGUAUAUGCUGCCUACCAUAUAUGCUUUUAAUCGUAUUUGGCAGUGAAUUGAACACAGAAUUUUCACAAGGUGUUUGUUUUCAUUCAAUAAAUUAGAUAACACAAAAUCAAACACAAUUUCAUAUAUUGGUUCGUAUAUACAAAAUAUUAUCUAAAUUGUGUGAACAAAAGCAAAUUAAUCUACUUAAACAAGUAUAACAAAUUAUAUUAUUUGUAGAGAUGCAAAAAGCAAUAUAAAUUCAAGAAACAGAGAUUUAAACUGGAAAAGCUAACUAAAUCUGGAAAGCAUCUAAAUCUACAAAUAACGAAAUGCACAGAGAUUCAAACUGGAGAGUAUAUAAUUCUGAAAAUAAACUUUUAACCCGAGGCCUAUGCAAGCAUAGUUUCCUUAAAACAGAUUCGUCCUCUCACCGUGCAUGGUUGAGUUUUAAUUCGAGUAUCUGCUUCUCAUGAUACAACGGUAAUACAGCAGAAUCUAAGCACCGCAGACACCACUCCCACGAACUGUUCCAGUGUUCAAACUGUAUCACCACCAAUAUGCAGACAGAAACUCAAAGUAUGUAUGCGGACAAAGAACGACUAUGCAGAGGUUUUUCUCUUGUAUUUCCUGUGUAUGCAGUGGAGGAGCUUGCUGAAUAAAUAGACUGUAAUGGAGACUUCAAGGCCAGGAGUUACACCAUUAACUCGGCAAUGAAUAUUGGAGUUUUGAUUGUUUUAAGAUUUAAACGGUGGACUAUCAAAAGCAGUCAAUUUUUGCUCCAUUCGGUCCGAUAUUCAUGUACGCAAGUCACGCUCGCACACAAGUUCAAGGCUCGAUGUACAAUUUCAAUCCUUGAUUUACACCCCUUGCGCGCACACGUAGAGAGAGCCUCUUUGUUUUACAUAAUUACACACCUUCCCAAGUAUAAUCCUAUAUAAAGUGGUUCAUACUUUCUUCAUUUUCCUAUGUGGGAUUAGUUCCAUUUUUCCACAUAAACCAUUUUCCAAUAGUCAUCUUUGAGCUCCAAUUUCUCAUUCAUCAAUUUUGACAAAUAAAUAUAUGGUUUUGAUACUCUCACGAAGGAGAAUAAGGAUCAACUUCGAUUUUCCAAAUUGGACCAACGGGUCUCACUCAAAUUUUACGCCAAAAUAUCCACUAGUCCAUUUUUUCCAACAUGUAUAAUGUUGCGAAGCCCUUCAAAUGAUAUAAGGAGUGGGUAUUUAUAAUGUCAUCAAUCAUUUGAAUAGGAUUCUAUCAAUAGGUUAUCUUCAAAAGAAGUGGGUCACGAACAAACCUCAAACCGAACCUACGAACUAGAACUGCUUCGGUAAGCGAGCUUCGAUAUUUGGGCUUUGCCACACUGGAGAGGAGCCUCAUCUAUUUUCUUGUGGGAUACCACGUAGGCUUCUUGUGGGGCUCUGGUGAUGAGGUGUAACAUAAACUGUGAUCCGUAAAAGACAUUAGAAAUGCUCUAAGGGGCAAUAAAAAUAUUCACUAUUUUAACCAUACUCCCAUGUUACACACAUUAAUAAUAGAUACUAAGAAAGUAUCAAUGAAGUUGACAGCGACAAGCCAUAUAAAAACUCCAUCUGACCUCGUUGUAUGGGUUGAGAAGACUUAGGCCUAAGCUUAGCAACAAAUUUAAUCCUACCACAAACAAUACGUGUUUUGGCUAACUUGCUUAAUCUUUGUUUGGUGAACUUUCAUCACAUUUUGAUUGACUUAAAGUUCUCAAUCUUUAUUCAUUAUAAUACUUACAUUCCUAACAAUUUUUCAUAAUACAUCUUGUAUUUGAUAACAGUUUAUAUCCAAAAGAUCCAUUGAAGGGUGUAAAAUUACUUACUUUCCAUCAUUUUUUAAAAAUAAAUACAAAAGUAUGAUAAAAUAUAUUUUCCCACAUCUUAAAGCAUGGAAACAGUAUAUUUUGUCAAACGAGAAAUAUUCUAAAGAUAAAGAAAGUAAUUUUAAUGAAGGGUGCCGCUAUUUAUAUUCACAAUUUUUAUAUAGGCAUCUCACUCUAUACAUACCCAUAUUAAAAUUUUAAAAAAAAAUACUAUUUUUAUCCACGUCAAAUUUCAAUAUUGUCCUUAUUAAAUCCAUUCAUUUAAACAUUAUAAAUCUAUAUAAUUUUUAUUUAUUCAUCUCACUAUGAAUAUAUUUUUAAUACAAUUUCAAAAAAAAUCACUAUAUUCAUCUAAUUAUUAUCAACAUUAAAUACAAUUCCUACUUUUUAUUUUCUAUAUUGUCAUGUCAGUGCUUUAAUAUUUAGACAUAAAGGUUAACAAAUCUCUUUUCUUGAAUUUAUAGGAUUCUAUCUAGAGUAUGCUGCUGAAACAACCAAACAAAUUCCUCCUAAAAUCAUAUAUUAAUAAUUUUUUUCCUUAUAGGCUCAUAAUUUUGGUUUUUUGUAUUUCGACAGAUAAUUUUGAGUUUAUUUCCUUUUGUAAUGUAAGAAUAUUUGGACUGGUAUUGAUACAUAUUUUGAAUUUUUUUUUUAUCCGUCAAACCAAUGCUUAAAAAAGCAUAAAAAUAAUAUUUCAUUUUUCAUAUCAUGAAAGAAUUAUAAAUCUAAUAAUAUGUUGAUUUUUUAUUUUUUAAAAUUUCCAUUGAAGAGGAUAUUUUAUUAUUAGGGUUUUAUAAUUUUAGAUGAAGAUUUUUAUUACUAUCAUUAUUUUUUUUAUUUUUUGCUUAUAAGCUGAUAAUUUUAAAUUUAUUUCCUUUUGUAUGUAGGAAUAUUUGGACAGGUAUUGAUACUUAUUUUGAAAAUUUUCGUAUAUCUUUAUCUGUCAAACUAAUACUUAAAAAAGCUUAAAAAAAUAAUAUUUCAUUUUUCAUAUCAUGAAAGAAUUAUAACUCCAAUAAUGUGUUGAUUUUUUAUUUUUUUAUUUUUAUUUCCAUUGAAGAUGAUAUUUUAUGAUUAGGGUUUUAUGUUUUAGAUGAAGAUUAUUAUUAUUAUUAUUAUUAUUAUUAUUAUUAUUAUUAUUAUUAUUAUUAUUAUUAUCUCUUUCUUAUAAGCUCAUAAUUUUGGUUAUUUGUGUCUCGGAAGAUAUUUUUAAGUUUGUUCCUUUUUGUAAUGUAAGAAUAUUUGGAUAUAUAUUGAAAUUUAUUUUGAAAUUUCUCAUAUAUUUUCAUCUAUCAAACUAAUACUUAAAAAAGCAUAAAAAAUAAUAUUCCAUUUUUCAAAUCAUGAAAGAAUUAUAACUCUAAUAAUGUGUUAUUUUUUUCAAAAAAAAAAUCCGUUGAAGAGGAUAUUUUAUUAUUAAUUAGGGUUUUAUGAUUUUAGAUGAAGAUGUUAUUUAAUUAUUAUUAAAAUUUUAGUUAAACACAAAUUCUAAAAGAAUAUAAAAAUGUUUAAAAGAAUUUAUGAAAAUAAAUAUUAGGGCAUGAAGUUAGAACGGUAUAUUUUUAUUUAAUUUUUAUUUAAGUAAAUUUACAUAAGAUAAAAAUAUAUAUAUAAUAUAAUUACAUUUUUAAAAGUGGAUAUAUAUUGUGUGUGGAUAUAAAUGGCGAUACCUUUAAUGAAUAACGACUUUAAAUGUAGGAAAAUUUACAAAUAUGUCAUUGCAAUAGCAUAGCGAACAAAAAUACACUUAAUUGAAAUAACAAAUCACGCUACACACACAAAAAAUGUUUUUCCUCUUUAAAUGGUGAUUUUUUUGUAAGAGGUUUAUAAAAUUUAUUAUCUUAUUUUUCCAAACUCUAAUAUCAAAUUAAUAAAAAUAAAAUUAGGUUGUUAAUAAACUAUUGAAAAAUAAAUAUAGAAAAUAAAUCAUUUGAUUCUUCCGACAUUGUAAAACAAAUAAAAAUUCUUAAUUGCUAUACUUUGAUUAAUAAUAUUUGUUCAACGAAUAAAAACUAUACAAUUAAGAUAACUUCUUAUAUUAAUUGUUAAUUUGUGGAAAAAUCCACCUUAUUCGUUCAAGGUUGGGGUAAUUUUGCAACUCAAAAAAUUGCAAAAAAUACAUGAGUAAUUUUAUUGUAUUUAUCACGGAUGAUUUUUUCUUUCUUUCUUUGUUUUGUUUGUCCUUUUUCUUUUUUUUCCAGAAACCUUCGUGGAAGAGAAGAAUAUUUAAAUAUAAUUAGUAAAAAAAAAAAAAAAAGCAGUGAAAAUGCUCGAAAAAGAAUGACAAUAUAUGUAGAGAUAGAUAAAUAGAAAUAAAUUAAAUUUUAGAUGACACGAAUUUAUAUAUGAACUUUUGGAGAAUUAAAAAAAAUUAAAAUUGGUAUAUAAAGGUUACAUAAUAUAACACAAAGGUGUGAAUUUUUUAUUUUCGAUUGUCGUUGGUAUCUUAAUCUAUUUACUUAUUUCUAAUGGCAAAACUCUAAGGUUUUUAGCAAAAUUAAUUUUUCGAUACCAUAUUGUACAAUAAAAUAUGUAGAGUUUAAAAAUACAAUGUGUAAUGUGUAGAUAUAACCCAUAUAAACGGUAUUUAAAUGCUUAUAAUAAGUUAUUUAUCUUACCGAAUGUGUACAUGAAACGAUAAAUGGAUGUAUAUAAAAAAUGUUUUGUCAAAGUUAAGAUUUGCCAAACUUGCACAAAUUAGUAUCAAUCACGUUACUUUGCCUGAAAAUGAUUGACAUGCAACCUGAUCGAUACUCAAAAAUAGGAGGCCCACUUCUCUUGGACUUUUUAUUCACACGGAACCUACGUGCAUGUGAGAGGGUGUCAAGAAUUGUGUCAAAUUUUUUUCGGACAAAGUAGUUUAAUUCAAAUAGUAUUGCUUUGGUCUACGGAUGAAUUUCAGGUGAUUCAAUCCCAAGUGUUUUGAGAACUGAACUGGUCAAAUAUUCAUUAAGAAUUGUGAAAAUGAUUAUUGGCUCUAUAACAAAGGAGGAGCUAAAUCGGAACAGAACCGAUUAAUUAUUGAUACUUCCAAUUUUAUUUUAUUUUAUUUUUUUUCCAGUUUCAUACUUUAUUCUUGAAAUUAUAAAACUCUCAAUUUUCAAUUCAAGCAGACAAGUUACAAUUAUUGAGAGAGGAUUAAAAAAAGGUGCCCACCCUUGCUCCAGUCACAUGCCUGCAUGGCUAUAGUUUCUGAAAAACUUUUACUGUUUUCUUUACAAAUUAUUUGACAAAUAUUGAUACGAAAUGUAUUUUGGCCCCUAAAUUAGAGUCAAAUGCAUGCACCUCAUCAUCACCUAUCAAAUAAUCUGUAAAAAUAUUUCAACACAAAAUAGCUUUAUUGAAGCUUUUAUUGAUCUUCUGUCUUUCUAAUAAUGUUAUUUGUACGUAAAGAGUUACAUAAUAAUUAAAUACAAAUAAAGUGUAAAAAAUAGUGUGAAUUUUAAACUUUUUUAAUUAAUUGAAAAAUUCUGAUCCAAUAAUAUCUUAUUGCAUCAUGUGUAUAUAAAGAGUACAGCUAUUUAUAGUCACUCAUCGCAGUAGUCGCCCUACGUGGCAUUCUAUAUGAAUGUUUGUGAUUUGAUGUAUUAAUUUGAUAAUUUUUUCUUGUCACAUAUAUUAAAUCAUUAAUCGUCACAUACGUGCCAUGUAAUGAUUACGAUAAUGAGUAAUUGCAAAUAAUAUUAUUCAUACAUAAAUUAUUAUGUACCUAUAAUACAAUUAUUGUCAUUUAGGCCCCUCUGUGCACCAAACUAGCAUAAGCCAAGCAGAGCUUUUCCCUCUAAUCCUAAACAUAGCCCACUACAAUGGGCCCACCAAAACUUGAAAACCCGAAGAUGCCCCCCAAUACAUAACUAAGAUCAUUUUAAAUUACGGGGUAGUUUUGUCUUUUAGGUCCAGCUACAUAAACUGAAGUCAGAAGACACAAUUCUCAACUCUGUACGCUUCGGCUCUGUUUUUUGUUUUCGUUUUGAUGAAAAUGGCGUCAAUCUCUUCACCGUUGUGUCAAUUCCCGUGUAUGGCACUUCAAAGAACCUCUCAGAACUCCAAAAUGAAUGCUUCGUCUCGGAUAAAUUCUAUCAAUAUCUCUGGGAAAAACCCCGUGCAGAAGUUGAAGAGAAAUUAUGCAAUCACAGCGGUGCUUCCAGGUCCAGAGAAGGAUCCGAGAGAACCGGGAUUGGCUGUGUUUCGCGCGGGUAAUCGCUAACAAGUAAAAAGGGAUCAGACGGUUGUGUAAGAAACAAACCUCUUGAGAUAAAGUCCCAAAAAAGGGUGUUUUAUUGGCGAUAAUUUAUAAUUGGUACCAAACAGAAUGCCUCCAAGGGGCGCAAGCACACGAGUACUGAAAGAAAUGUUUAAGUUUAAACUAAGAAAUUGAAAUUACAUAUUCUCUAUUUGAGAGUGUUUGAUUCGGAGUCCUUUUCUCUGUCUUCUCUCCCUUUUAUAUUCCCUUGAUGAUUUUUUCGUGACAAACCGUUUGAAAACUGCUUGAUUGCUUUAUAACUACUCACUCUUUAUGGUGGCUAACUUGUCGCGGAACUGCUAUCUCUAACUGCUGCCACUACUCUUCGUCGUUCAACCGUCUUCAACGGGGUUCCUUGAAUCGUGGAAUGUGAUAAGGUUACUCAAUAACUGCAUUUCUGGAUAACCGUAACAUUUCAUGUUUGCUAAGAUCUUGAGCGAUUCGAAGGUAUGGGCGAGAAUAGGGUCAUCGCUCUGAACGACUGUAAGGCACUCCAUUCGCUCAGAUCUUGGGCUUCUUGCAAGGUUGGACGAUGAUGUUACUGUGUUCGUGGGCUUCCACUGCAUUCAUUAAUAAUCAUGUAUGGGCCUUUAUCCUGAAUUGCCUAAUUGGGCUUCAUUCUUUGGGUUAUUUGAUUUGGACUGCACUUUUAGUGUGUCAACAAUUACCCCCCAAUAUGGCAGAAUUAAUACUAAUUAUUAAUCUUUGCCAUAUUCAUUUUGUGUUUUCCGGCAACAUUUGAAAUUUUCAAGAAUUUCAAUCAUUAUUUCCUUCUACAAUCUGAAAAAGUGCAACGUUACAAACCCUUAUAAACCAAAAGGACUCGCCAUUUCAUUGCACCACUCGACCACGUCUAUAUUUCGCGCUUCUUCCUCGCUAUUUUACUGUUCAUCUUCUUGCUUCUCUGCUACGUUUCCCAGGCAAACCUUGUCAAAACUGUACUUUGUUUCCAAUGGCAGCUCCACAAACCCAACCUGAUGACUUUUUUAGCUUCGAAGAUUUCCAAAAAAUCCUUACUCAGCCAUAUGUAAAUCCGAACUUCCUUGCACUAGCCAAUGUCGAACUCAAUGAGUUCUAUUUGGGCCCAUCAUUCAAUAACGCCGAAGCCACCGAACAAGUGGCGGUGGGCCAGCUUUUCCCUUGCACUCAAGGCCCUCCGUUCCUAAAUUCUUUGCCGUUGAGGCCGAUUCGCAAAAAGGUAUUCGCACUUGGCCUAAAUCAGACGUUGUUUUCCGUAGAUGACAUGCUCGCCUUGUGGGCUAUGGUCCUACCAAGGCAAUUUUUUAUUGUGCUAGGAUUUUUGAUUUAUUAGAAAUUGCUCUUCAACCCCCAAUUUUUGACCCAGUGUUUUUUCUUAUUGCUUUGAGUUUUUGGUCUUUUGAAUAUAAUACCUUUGUUUUCCCUCUUGAUCCCAUGUCUAUUACUUUAAGGGAUGUUGGGGCCCUAGUAAAUCUUCCACCUUUGGGCGAUACCAUUUUCCCUGUUAUUUUGAUUUUCGGUGUUGCCCCGAAAUUUGACAAGAAACUCACCGAGUCCUACUCUAGCCUGCAAGGCUUUUAUAAUCACUCAAGCGCCGAACCUUCCCAUGCUGAGCAUGUGGCCUUUCUUCAAAUUUGGCUAUGUAAAUAUAUUCUCUGCGUGCCAAGUAUGAAGCCUUCCAUGAGUUACUUACCCAUAGCGCAUGAAUUGGCGCGUGGUAGCCCUUUGAAUUUGUGCUCCUUCUUUUUGGCUGCCCUUUAUGGAGGCAUGGCUUCUCUUCAAUUUCAAUUGAAGAAUGGUGCAUCUCCCACUGGCAGUGGGCCUCUAUGGUUCACUCAACUGUAGUUGAGAGCAUAUUUCCCAUCACUUGGUGUUCCAUUCAUUUCUCUUCGUUCUGUUAGCUGUUAUGGGCUAGCCAUUAACCCAUUGAGCCCUGUAAAUAUGUUCAGUAGGGACAUUUUUUCAUUCUUUUAUACCUUAAAUUCAAUUCCUUCCUUCUUCCCUUUUCCUGCUCAUUUGACUCCAGAUUAUGUGUAACCUCCAUCCACCCUGGACAGUGCGAGCGCCUCUCUGCUCGUUUAGGUUCAAUUUUUGCCUGGGAGGGAGUUGUUCCAUGAUAUUUUAACCGGAACCAAUGCCAAAGCUGGGGUUGAAAUAUAUGCUCCCCAAUUUUUUGCUCGCCAACUUAGUUUUGGCCAAACUUGGCCUGUUCCUCCUUGCUAUUCAAAAAAUUUGAUAGACCGCUUUCACACCAUUAAUAAGGCAGAGGCACAAGCUAUAAAUGCUCGCAACAUUCUCUUGACGAGUAAAUUUUCAUUAGCCCACUUCAAUUCUAGCCGUGACAUCCAUCCCCUUUUUAAACAACCCUGACCAUCAGUGAAGCGCAGAUUGUUUGUAAUUGAUGCCAAUCGUCCUUUCCAUUCACUGGAUUCCACUUCUCCUAUUUUGAUAACCCCUGUGUCCAUUAGGAAUCCUUCCUCUCCCGCUCGUGAUAAACAAUCUAUUCGUCCAUCUACUUCUCUACCUACCAAGGCUACUGUAGCUAAGAGUGCCUUAAGCCGCAAACGGCCAGCUUCAGCAUCUUCCGUUUUGGAGGAUGAUGAUGAUGACACUCCUCUCAUCUUUAGGAGAAAGGUAAUUGAAUUCUGUUUAUUCACAAACAUAUCUUUCUAUGUGCUAAUGGUUUAUUUGAAACCUUUCUAUAUGCUAAUGGUUUACUUGAAUUUCUCAGAAAAGUUCAGCCUCUCCUUUGAAGGCUUUAGUGUUGGCAACUCCUGCUCUAUCAUCCUCUACUGAAGAUGCUUCGUCCAAAUCAGCUGAUGAAGGGACUAUGUUUAAAGAGAAACCUUUAGUCCCGAAACCCUCAGUCCCGUAACCCUCAUCACAACUAAUAGAAGAGCCACAUUCUUCCUAGGGCGCCAACCCCCCAAUCAUCAAACCAGAAGUAAUGCAUUUUUUGAUGUUUUACUCUUGCUUGUGCUAUUGAUUUCUGAUUUGUUACUUCUUGAAUUCUGCAGAGGCUCCCAUGGGUCUGCCCGUUGUGGUAGAGUCUUCUCGCCCAGAUAAGGGAAAGUCUCCACAGGUGGUGGAGCCAACUGGUGAUAUGCCACUUCCCAAAAUUGCUGAUGAGGUAACUUUUCACUUCACUUUCAUUUUCGCUUCGUUUAUUGUAGUGAAAGCCCUCAAUAUUCACAUUUUUCUUUGCAGGGUGCUGAUGACAUUGUGCGUUCCAUUCAGGACUUGUUCACUUCCUAGGGGCAAGUCAAGACGUCUCGCCCUACUUCAACUGGUUGUCCUUCUGCUUCUUCAGAGGAAGAUAUGAAGUUCCUUAAACAGUCAAUAUUUGAGUAUGUAUCUUUUAUGGACAUCGGUCAGGCUAGUGCUGCUAAACACAAGGAUAAGCUUGAGCUAUUGAGUGCGAAGUUGGCGCAAGCACCGACACUUCUGUCGCUCAAUAUUUCUGCUGAUUUUAAAGCGACGUUGAAGGUUGUCCACUCUGACAUCCUCUCCUUGUUGGCCAAAAAUAUUGAACUGAAGGCUAGGAGUACUCAAUAUCUUCGUGCUGCAUCUGAAAGAGAGUCUUUGCUUCUAGAGAUUAACAAAGCCGAGGAUGAAUUGAAAGAAAUCUCUUCCGAAGUUAUGCUCGAAGACUCUCUGAUGACAAGUUUGGCUGCAGAGAUGAAGGAGCUUCAAGCAAGGAUGGACGACUGUAAGGUGAGAAUGACAGCUAAAAAACGUAAUGCUUCCCAAGGAAUUGAGCGAACCAAGUCUUUGGUUGAACAGUACAAAAAACUGGAGGUUGAUGACGAUUUCGUAGCUGAAUUAAAUGUCGAUUCUUCUCAGCAGAGCGAGGAUUGGGGGAGGCUUAGGAAAAGAAUUCGAUCAGCCUGUGGUGAAUUGUAAUUAAGAUAUCUAAUGCCUUAAAUUUUCCUUUUGUAACUUCGUAUCAACUGCCAUUGCUAAAUUUAAAUGUAACAGCAGCCAUUGUUAGUAAUGAAUGACUAUUUUGACUACUUGAGUGCUAAUUGACGUUGUCCUUAAUCAUCAACCCCCCAAGCAUUUAACUGCUUUAUGAUCAGAUUCAUAUACAUUCUCUCUUGGUAUUUCUGUCUCUUUUCCCAAGACUUUGGGCCACUUGACUCCAAUUACUAGGCACGAAUGUGGCUGUUCAUAUUCUGUCUCUUCACCUUCACGCCCCUAUAAAUGCACGUAUAUUUCGUACUUUUCAUUUUCAUUUCCAUUCUUUUCUUCAAAAACUAAUUUGCUGCCAUCGUUUGGCAUUUCAACAAUCGAUCCAAAAUUUUCGUCUUCCAUAGAAAUGGAUCUUUUGAUCCGCCCAUGUUUUGAUGUCCCCUUUGGUAUGGGAGAUAUAGGAAAUAUUUUUUGGCUAGCAAAGUUCUUCCCAUCGUCUCCAUGUUCUUUAUAAGGAGUUCAAUGAUGGAAGAUAAUUUUUGAGGAUACAUGUCAAGUCACCUUGCUUGCUGAGAGUGCUUCUCAGUCUCCUUGCUCGUUAUUGCAGCGAUGCAAUUAGGCAGGCGAUGUGAGGGUGCUUUUCCUCCCUUCUGCUUGCUAAGAGUGCUUCUCGACCUCUCUGUUUACCUUUACAGCAGUGCGAUGAGGAUGACAAUCAAGGCCAGUUCACCCUCUUACUUGGUGAUCGACCAAGAGAUUAGUUUGCUCUCAAUUGUAGCUUAUAGAGCAUUUAGUAUUUUGUAUCUCGCAAUUUGUAAUGAAUGUUUGAUAAUAAAGGAAUUUAUUUGAACCUAUUUCAUUCUAGCCCUUUUUAUAAACGAUCGUUCAACCCGAUUUAAUUACGUUUUUAUUUGUUCACUUUCCCAUAAGAAAGGAACAUUUUUUUUAAAUAUUUGUCAUUAAUGAACCUCAUGUGCUUGGUGCCAUCUAAAUCUUCCAAAUGAUAGGCUCCAUUAGGCAACACACUAUUUACUUUAUAUGGCACUUCCCAAUUGGGCGACCACUUGCCAUAUUUUGGAUCUUUGCUAUCCAAAGGGAGUAUUGUUUUCCAAACCAAUUCGCCCAGGCUAAAUGACUUGGCUAUAACUUUUUUACUAUAAAACUUAGCCAUCCUUUGUUUUUGAACUUGCAAUCUAUCUAGGACGCCCAACUUUAAUUCGUCCAACUCCAAUAAGUUUUGAACUAGUGUUUCGGUAUACUCAUCAUCACUUAACUUAUGUUGUAAACACACUCUGAUCGAUUGCACGUUAAUUUUCAUAGGCAAAAUGACCUCCUGUCCAUAAGUAAGUUGGAAAGGAGUAAUUUUGGUACUUGAUCGAGGCGACGUCCUAUAAGCCCAUAAGGCCUUGUUUAGACAUUCGUGCCAAUUUCUGGCAUUUUCAUCUAUCAUUUUCCUUAUGAUAUUUUUUAGAAUCUUAUUAGAAGAUUCUGCUUGUCCGUUGGAUUGAGCAUAAUACGAUGUGGAGUUCACUACUUUAACUCCAAACUCGCCCAAGAAUUUAUUCACUUGAUCUUCAUUUAAAGAAGUUCCAUAAUCUACCAUCAAAGUUUGUGAAAUCCCAAAUCUAUAAAUAAUAUGAUCACGGAUAAAUUCUAUAACACUCUUUUGGGUGAUUUUUUUUAAAGGUAUCGCUUCUACCCACUUAGUGAAAAAAUCAGUUGCAACUAUAAUAAGGGUAUGUUGCUUGGACGAUAGGGGAUAAAUCUUCCCUAUUAGGUCUAUCACCCAACCUUUGAAUGGUCAAAGUUUGAUAAUCGGUGUCAUUUCUCUUGCUAGCAUCCUUUGUAUUGGACCAUGCCUUUGGCAUACUAGACAACUCUUUGCAUAUUGAACACAUGAUUCUCCCAUCUUGGGUCAAAAAUAUCCAUUUCAAAUAAUUAACUAUCUCAUCCUUUGGCCAGCUUGAUGAGCUCCACAUAUCCCUUCAUGUACCUCAGCCUUGAUUGUCCUGACUUCUUGCAAACUUACACAUUUUAGCAAUAUACCAUCAGAGUAUUUCUUAAACAACUCUUCAUCUAUCAGUGUAUAGUUUAGCAAACGCAACUUCAUUUUUCUAUUAUCUCCUUUAUUAGGUUCUUUAAGGAACCUUUUAAUCUUAGCCCUCCAAUCUAUUGCAUCUCCAUCUUGUAUGCAAUGAAUUUCAAUCCUUCUUGCCCUUCUUUGGACUACGGGCAAUAUUACUCCAUAUUCAUAAAAAGAUUUCCAAUUUAAAACAUUUGAAUACCCUAAGGCCAUCUGGGCCAACUCAUUUGCUACGUCAUUAUAUAUCCUAUUAACACAUUGAAGCUCUAUUUGGUCGAAUUCUCCCAAUAACUCUUGGGUGAUUUCAUAUUGACUUAUAAUGGAACCACUUUGGCACUUAAAAUCACCAAUCAAUUGGUGAAUUACCAAUUGAGAAUCGCCUCUAACGAUUACAUUCUUUACUUCCAUAUCUAUCAUUAAUUCUAGGCCCACGAUUAAGGCUUCAUAUUCGGCUUGAUUAUUGGUGAACAUCAUAUCUAAAGUGAAUGCGAACUUGUAACAAAUCCCUAAAAGAUUUAUCAAUGCUACUUCUACUCCUGCACCUUUAGAAGUCUUUGACCCAUCGAAAUACAAAACCCAAGGUUUUAAUUCGAAUGAAUUGAUUUCUAAUUCAAUUUCUUCAGGCGUGUUAAGGCAUGGAUGAUCGGCCAAAAAGUUUGCCAAAGCCUGAUUUUUUAUUGCCUUUUGGGGUAUGUAUUGUAUUUCGAAUUCUGAUAAUGCUAACGUCCAAAGGCUUACCCUUUGAUGGAAAAUAGGGCGAGAGAACAUAUACUUAACCAAAUUUACUCUAAAAAUCAAAUAAACGGUUACGGGCUGUAAAUAAGCCCUUAAUUUCGUACACGUGAAAUACAAUGCAAGACAUAAUUUUUCAAUGGCAAAGUAAUUACAUUCACAUUUUGUUAACCAUCUACUCAAGUAGUAAAUUACCCUUUCUUCACCAAAUUGGUCUUCUUGCGCAACCAUUCCAGCUAUUGAUUCUUGUACAGCCGAUACAUACACUUUCAUUGGCCGUCCUUAGAUUGGUGACACCAAUACUGGUGGACAUUGAUAAAUAUGUCUUUAGGCUUUCAAAAGCCUUUUGAUACUCUUAUUUUCAGACGAAUUCGUCCUGAUUUUUCAACUUUAAAAGCGGUGAAAAAGUUUUAGUUCGCCCUACACAGUUAGAAAUAAAGCGUCUUAAAAAGUUUACUUGGCCUAGAAACCUUUGCAAUUAUUUUUUAUUACUAGGUGAUUUGGCCUCUAAAAUGGCAUUCGCUUUAUUUUUAUCAAGUUCAAUCCCCCUUUUGUGUACUAAGAAACCAAGGAAAUUUUCUGCAUUAACACCAAAUGCACAUUUUAAGGGAUUCAAUUUUAGUUUAUAUUGCUUCAUUCGCUCAAAUGAACAUCUCAAUUGUUCAAAAUGGUCCUCUUCUUUAAUGGAUUUGACCAAUAUAUCAUCUACAUACACUUCAACAAACUUGCCUAUCAUAUCAUGAAAAAUCAAUUUCAUCGCCCUUUGAUAAGUUGCUCCUACAUUUUUCAGGUCGAAAGGCAUAACUACCUAUUCAAAACAUCCUAGAGACCCAGGGCAUCUAAAGGCAGUUUUGUGUAUAUCUUCCUCAACUAUAUAAAUUUGAUUGUGUCCUGAAUACCCAUCCAUGAAGGAAUACAUUAUGUGUCCGGCAGUCGAGUCUACUAAAGACUCUACCGUAGGCAUUGGAUAUUCAUCUUUGGGUGUGGCUAUAUUUAAAUUCCUAAAACCUAUGCACACCCUUAAUUUACCAUUCUUUUUUUGUACUGGCACGAUAUUGGACAACCAUUCGACAUACCUGGCUGUUCUAAUAAAACCUAUUUUUAAUAAUCGCUCUAUUUCUUUCUUAAUCUCAGGGAGUAAAUUAGGAGUAAAAGGCCUAGGAGGUUGUUUAUGAGGUUUAAAAUUCGGCUUGGUUGGUAAUCUAUGUUCCACCAAACCUCUAUCUAAACCAAGCAUAUAUUCAUAUUCUCAAGCAAAACAAUCCUUAUAUUCCUUUAAUAAAGCGAUUAAUUUAUCACUAACCUCUUUAUCAAGCAUCUGGCUGACGAAUAUUGGGCGAUCUUUUCCUUCAUUGCCAAUAUUCACUUUAAUCAGAGGGUCCUGUACUUGAGCGUAUCCAGGCUUGAUGAUCCUCAUCACUUCAUCAUCUAAUUCCCUUAUGAGCACUUUUUCUUCUAAACAAUCCACCUUGUUGACUUCUCGGCCAAUAUUCUGUUCCAACUCGAACACUGCCAAUUUGUCUCUCAAUGCUUCCAAGGCUGCUUCUUCUUUCGUCUUGUCCUUACAUUCUUUAUUGAGAGCCAUUAAUUUGGCUUUGAAGGCCUGAACAUCGGCCAUUUACCUCUAUUGCUUACAACUCAUUUAAAACUCGUUGAUUACUUUUUUGCCAAUUACGGGCUCUUCUAGGGCCACUAUGUUUGGCCUCAUUUGACUGAACAUUUCAGUGAGUGCAGCUACCGAAAACGGCUUUUCACUUUGUACAACAAUUUGAGUUUCUUCUCCAUCUUGAACUACUCUGACAGGUCCAUAAUUUCCUUCAUACAUGAACAUUUCCACUGAGUUUCCUUCUACGACAAAAGGCCUAUGAUCGGCCUGCAUCACUUCAAAAAAACCAGGUAUUGAUAGAGCGAUGAGGGUAUACAACGACUUCCGUGUAUCCAAUCUCUUUCCUAAUAACACAUUGUAACUGGUAGGACCAUCUAUUACAAAGAAAACUGUGAUCCUAGUAGUUGUCCCUAUAGUUAUGUCCAAUGGCAUAACCCCUUUAGCUGAAGUUGCUCCUCCAUUGAAACUUGUAAGGAUGACUUCCGUUGGAAUCAUAUCACUUUCUGUCUUUGCAAAUUUUCUCAUCAUUCUAGAUGGAAUGGUGUUUAUAGCUACUCCAUUAUCAACAAGUACUUUUGCCACAGGUAUGUCGUUAACUAAAGCUUUAACGUACAAUAGCCUCAAGUGUUUAGUUAACUUCAUAGCUGGUCUCUUAAAAAUAACCUUUUCGGCAGCAUCUAUUUCCACUUCCUAUUUGUCCUCUGUCGAGUUAUCCUUCGUGAUAAGUCAACGUGCAGUAUGUCGCACUGAGCUUCUGUUUCCCGAAUUUCCCUUUUACUGUUUUCUAAUGCUUCUUCUUCGGUUACCCACGUAUGGGAGGAGGCAUUAUUCUUGGAGGUGACCCAUACUUUUCAGAGUGAGGAACUCUCUUUUUACUUUUGGGCGUCCCGUACAGGACGUAAUAAUCGAAAGAACGCUCAGACGGAUCUCCCAACAAGUCCACUUCACGAACCCCCUCUCAAUGUAGUUGCUUCAACAGAGUAUUGUGCGAUACCCCUCUCUUUCUUCUUUCUGCUUCCAGAUCAAUUUUCUCUUCGAUUUUCGUCAUACCAUCAUCUCCUUCAUCAUCGCAGGCCCCUCUAGAAGUUUGGCCUUCCUCACAUUCCAGCACACAUGCUUCUUCUUUGUUAUCCUCCCUUUCUUCUUCUUCUUUCUCUUUGUUCUUGAACUCAUUGGCUAGUAAGUAAUUAUUAGCCAUGAUUGGAGGUAACGUACUGAACUGAAUAGUAAGGGGCUGAUCUGGAUCUUCCCCAUCCCUUCUAUCUCGCUCAAACUUCGAUCUCCCAGAAGAACUUUCUGACAAUUCUUCCAUCGAUUCGCCUGUACCAGUCUCUUCACUGUCUUCAAGAACAUUUUGAUUGGCUACCUCGAGUAAUUUAGGCGCCUUAAGACGUGGCAUUCCCUAUUGUUGCCUCAUCAUUCGUCCAUAGUUUCGUUGAAAAUGCCUUUGUUGGGUUCUAGUCAUCUCAUUGAAGGGUAUCACCCUUCCUGCGUUAUACUGGAACGAAUGCCAUACAUUUGGUUGGCGAGAUUGUGGUUUGAAUGUUCUCCUAUUAUCUACUGGCCUGAACUGCCUCUCAAAAGGCGGUCCCCUAUAGAAUGAUGUAACUCGCCCUCUAUCAGGCUGAGCGUUUGGAAAAAAAUUAGGGCGAUGGUGAUGCUGCCAUAUCCCUGGUUUCUUUGUAUUUGCACUCACUUCUCUUUUGCAUCUUGCACACAGGACGUCUUCAUCCUUUUUGGGCUCCUUCCCUUUGAUACGUUCAAAGACACUGGGAUGUAGCCCAAGGUCCUCUUCCUCGUCAUUUAUAAUCAAUUUGAAUUCUGGCAACUUGUUUUUGAAACCAGUCGUCACCAUGUUCACCCCAAGUGGCUAUGGAAAAGGGUUUUCAUCCAUUGCCAUCUUCUUCUUAUCUUCAAACGUAAUUCGUCCUGAUUCAAUGGCGUCCUAUAACAUAUUGCGAAAAACCAAAUAGUUGUUAGUCAAAUGUGACCAUGCAUUAUGCCACUUACAAUAUUUUUUACCCUUAACUUGUUUAGGACUUGGCAAUUUAUGUUUAUCGCUCAGCUUUAUCUGUUUAUCCAUAUAUAGUUUAUCAAAUAUAAGGUCAGCUUUGGUUACAUCGAACGAGAACGUUCUAGCCUUUUUGUUUUUAUCUUUUAUAGGCUCAUCCUUGCCCGACAGUCUAGGCUUAGCCAUUAUAGGACAAGUAUACGUAUCUCCUUUAAUUAAUUCGGCCAAACACAUUUCGGUUUGAUCGUAAUAUUCGUCAUUAAUGGUAUGGACAUCAAAGUUUGGGUCUCUAUAAUAAGUCCCCCUGCUAGAGUUUUUCAUUUGCUCUUCUUCUCUUAUUAAUCGUUCAUACCUAAUCACGUUUGCGCUCAAUUGAAAAAGAUUAGGAAAUUCUUUGUCUUGAAAUUUCUUUUUCAAAUCAAAGUUUAGACAAUUUUGAGCGAUUUUGACAAAUUUCUUUUUGAGUAAAGGUACAAAACAUUUACUUCUUACUAUCUUGAACCUUUGAAGGAAACCUUCUGCCCAUUCAUUUGGCAUUUGACACAGACUCGCCAAAUCGGUCAAAGUAACUUCAGACUCAGUCUUAUAAAAUUGAGCAUGGAACAACUGCUCCAAUUGUUGCCACGUUUGAACAGAGUGCGCUAGCAAAUUGAUGAACCAGGAGAAAGCUACUCCUGUUAAUGAACUAGGGAACAGCCUCAUUUUAUGGUAGUCCGUUACUUCACCACUUUGCAGUGUGAAUUGCCCUAUGUGUUCUAAAGUAGACACCUCUCCUAAACUGAUAAAUAGUGAGAAUUCUGGCACUUUAUACCCUCUAGACCAUGGAUAUACUUGCUCUAACCAAUCAGGGUAUGGCUUUGUGUUAGUCAGCCUAAUGACAGGAUGUACCCCAAAAGCCAUUUGAUCCUGUACUAUUUUCAUAAUUUGGUUUCUCAACAUGACAUUGAGGUCAUUUGGAAUUCCUACAGGUUGGUUGGUCGGUUGAUUCGCCUGAGGCCUGAUGUUUGGUCCUUGGUUGGCAACAAAGUUGCCAUGAUUUAGGCCAUUGUUGCCAUUAGCCUGAAUAUUUAUUCCAUCACUGACACGUGGGCAUUCUGUCCAUUAUUUAGGACAUUAUCUCUUAUAUUUAAGUUACCCCCUAAGUUAGAUGUACCAUUACCACUAUUCUGAUUUGACCUUACACCAUCCCCUGGUUUGAAGUAGAGGGACCAAAAGGUGGUUCUAUCCCUUGAUUUGGACUUAGGACUGGGGGAUUAUAUCCUACGAUUGUCCUAGCUUGAAAGUGAUUUGCAAGAGGCACAACUGGCUGACAAAUUUGGCCUACUAACUUAUUCAUUAUUUCAUUCAAAAUAUUCAGUUGUUUGGCUAUGUUGUCAUAAUGUGCAUUCUCAUUCUGGGUAAAUCUUUCCAUAUUAUGAAUAUUUUGUAGAUUUACCUUAAUGAUAUCCUGUGUGAGUUCUCCAAGUAAUGCACGCAUGGUUCGAGGACUCAACUCCAUCAUUGGUUCGUAACGACCGUAACUGUUCUGACUUUGUCCCUCUGUUCGUGGAGAGCUAUGCUGCUCCUCAUAUUGCUCGAUCACAGACUGGACUCCUCCUUGACUUGCUGCUUCCUUAUCAGAUUUGUGAAGCAUAUUGUUUCACCUUUUGUAUUUUCAACACCAAACAUCAAGGUCCCACUAAGCGUGCCAAAUUGGUUCGCGUUGGUAAUCGCUAACAAUUAAAAAGGGAUCGGACGAUUGUGUAAGGAACAAACUUCUUGAGACAAAGUCCCCAAAAGGAGUGUUUUAUUGGCGAUGAUUUAUAAUUGAAACUAAACAGAAUGCCUCCAAGGGGUGCAAGCACACGAGUACUGAAAGAAAUGUUUAAGUUUAAACCAAGAAAUUGAAAUUACAUAUUCUCUAUUUGAGAGUGUUUGAUUCGAGGUCCUUUUCUCUAUGUCUUCUCUCCCUUUUAUAUUCCCUUGAAGAUUUCUUCGUGACAAACCGCUUGGAAACUGCUUGAUUGCUUUAUAACUACUCACUCUCUUUAUGGUGGCUAACUUGUCGUGAAACUGCGGUCUCUAACUGCUGCUACUACUCUUCGUCGUUCAACCGUCUUCAACUGGGUUCCUUGAAUCGUGGAAUGUGAUAAGGUUACUCAAUAACUACUUAAAUAAUGCAUUUCCUGGAUAACCGUAACAUUUCAUGUUUGCUAAGAUACUAGGCGAUUUGAAGGUAUGGGCGAGAACAGGGUCAUCGCUCUGGGUGACUGCAAGGCACUCCAUUCGCUCAGAUCUUGAGCGUCUUGCAAACUUGGGCGAUGAUGUUACUGUGUUCAUGGGCUUCUACUGCAUUCAUUAAUAAUUAUGUAUGGGCCUUUAUCCUGAAUUGCCUAAUUGGGCUUCAUUCUUUGGGCUAUUUGAUUUGGACUGCACUUUUAUUGUGUCAACAGGCUGUGAUAGUAGAGCCACCACUAAAGGAACCAACGGAAAUUGAGAAGCUGAAGAAAAAAUUGAUGGACUCAUUCAACGGGACAAAUAGAGCAUUGAGCGCAAGUAGUGAGACUAGGGCGGAAAUUGUUGAGUUAAUCACGCAGGUUGAGGCAAAAAAUCUGACUCCGGCUCCGAUGGAGGCGUUGACUUCACUCAAUGGAAAAUGGAUUCUUGCGUAAGAUCUACCUUAAUUUUUCUUAAUAUAAAGCUUUGCGUUCUUGUUUUUGUUUAAAAAAUGCUUAAUUUAUUAAAUUGUCUAAGAGUUACUUUCAACUUGCAAAUGAAUCAAACGUUAAAUAUUCAACGUAUUUCCAUUUUUUUAGGUUUUUUAUUUUAAUGUUUUCUGCAUCAAUUUUUUAAGUCUUGCACAAGAUGGUGUAUCAUCGGUGCGAGAAAAAGAAAAAUGCAAUUUUUGCAUAUGAUUUCAUACAAAUCUACGGAUCAUUAACAAAAAUCAGUUAUUGAGUUAUGAUGUGUAUCUCUUUUAGAAAAGUUUAAUAGAAAUGAAUUUUUCCUCUCUUUCAUAAUGUUAUUAUUAUUAGAUAAAUGUUUUCAAGCAACAAUUUAAUGUUUUCUUAGACAUCAUUAGUAUCAUUUGCACUCUAUAAAUUACAUGCGCAAAUGUAUACAAUAGCAGAGAGGAUUGUACUUUGAAACCAUACAAACACCUUCCUAUGCUAUACAUUCAGCCCUAUUUCCCGUCGACGUUACCGAAGGAGAUGUCGGACGACUCAGUGGUUUUCUCAGGUUCAAAAAUAGAUUGUGACAUUGAAUCCAUGUCCGAGACAAGUGGAGUUUCGAAGAAGAUGUGAUGCAGGAGUUAGAGGACAUUACCACGUGGAUCGAAUAUUGACGAGUUGUGAAGUGUGUUGUUCGUGAGUACUUGGCACUGAAUGGAGCACAUUGGUAUUUAUUCUCGACUAAGUGGUGUGGCCACAUUUUUAUGCUGUAGAAUAUGCAUGUCUAUCUGCAAACAUGUUUUCAAGAAUUUAGGAUGUGUUCGUCCAUGUUCAUGCACUUCACACACAUUCUUCGCGAUCAGUACGGUAUAUCGAGUAGCACAAAUAUCGACGUGUGCGAGCAAGUAUGAAUGUUCUUGUACAUACUUGUACACGAAAAAGGAUAUCAGCAAGUGUAAACUAUGUUUGGUCACUCGCUGCAGACCAUAGCGCACUAUUUUAAGACGGUACUGCAUGCAUGCUUGGAAUUCACUGUUAUAAUGGUAAAACCAGAUCCGACAUACAACGGAAUUGCUGCGCACCAUUGGUCCGAUCCGGAGCGCUACCUUUUAUUCCAGGUUUGUGACACUCAUUCACACAACAUUUUUGUGGUUUUCAUUGCGAUGGUGACGUAAAUUAUGAACUUGACAAUGGCUAUUUGUGAUCGUGAAAUUGCAGGACUACAUUCGUGUAAUUGAUGGGACACAGGUCAGAGCUGUAUUGUCGAGUCGCAGAAGGGAAAUUUCUUAGGAAGAAAGGGUAUUUCAAUGCAGAACGUGUUGGCAGCCUACGAUUUUAACCUAUGUUUUACGUGCGUGUUGUCAGGAACCACAGGGAACAAGCAUGACAGUUGUAUAUUGACCCGAGCAGUGCAUAGUCCAGAAAUAAGUUUCCGCAACUAGCGAACAGAAAAUAUUACCUUGUGGACUCAGCGUUCGCACACAGGACUGGGUUUAUGGCAUUAUAUAAGGACUCCGACAUUAAAUAUCAUUUCCAAGAGUUCGGGAGCUCAACGAGAGAACAACAGCGUCAUUUUCGUAAUGCAUGUGAGUGAUUCAAUUUCCACCAUUGUUAAUGUCAAAAUGUUAUCAAGUGGGCUUUCGGUGUUUGGAAAUAGAGAUGGAAUAUUCUAGGUCGAAUGCUAGCUUAUAAUAUGAGAGUGCAAACUACUGUGGUAGUGGUCUCAAUGAAAAUUCAUAACUUACUUAGAAGAAACGAUCGACUCGAUGAGGAUUUUCGUAGAGUCGAAGAAGUGAACGAUGUGAAGUUGAGAUCUAACUUUCUAAUGAACAAGGUAAAAUUGUCGUUGAACUGGAUGUAAUAGGCCCGGAGGACAUGUCGUGGCAACAACUGCACGAUUACAUGGUAUAGACGCUAUAUUAGUAGUCGUACAUUGGGGACGAGAAGAAAUUUCUUGUUGUGUGUAUUUUCUUUUUUGUGUAACUUGUUUUCAUUAUGUUGAUGUGUCAAGUGUCGUUGAUGGGGACGUUAGUCGCUGUCAAUUAGAAGUUGUCCACCAACAAUUACGUACCAUGUAACAUGUUUGUUUCCGUAUUAAUAAAAUAAUCGUAUCCUGUUUAUAAAAUUGUCUAUCAAUUUGUGAAAGUGACAUGUGUUAAAGAUAUUGCACAAUGUGGCCAAAAUUGUUUACUAUCUUCAAAGGCAUUUGUGGAAUUGUUGAAAUUAGGUAAGGUUGAAUCCAAUGGUUGAUGGCAAAUUGCAGGAUGAAUGUAUUAGAAACAUUAAUUAUCUUCUUACUGGGGCCCACGAAUGGCAGCAAUAAUCUGGAGAAAAUAAGAUGAGAAUGGGGGCCAAACAAGCUCUAUAACAACAGAGAUGUGAAUCCUGGAAAGGUAUACCUGGGGAAUGAUCAUACACACAAUGUGAAAAAAAAAUAGGUGAUAGUGCUAUUAGAAUACAAAAUGGCAUUAUCAGACCCCUUAGAGGUGUUAGGUGUGUUCGGGCCUAGCAAAAAAUCUUAUUUCCUUAGGCACUCUAGAAGAAAAAGAUUAUGAGUUUAGAUCUCAUGUUGUUACUUCAAAGAUUUUUAAAUGGUCUCAAGUGGUUAUAAAAGGUCCCAAGAAAAAUGGAUUAUAUGUCCUUCAAGAUGAAGCCUUAAAUAGUAAAGAGUCAGCAUUAUCUUCGGUUUGUAAAGAUAGAUCGGACCUUUGUCAUAAGAGGAUGUGACACAUUGGAAACAAAGGGUUGAAAUAUCUGAAUGACCAGAAUUUACUUGGUGAGGAUAGUAUUACAUCUUUACGCUUUUGCGAGACCGAUGUUCUGGGAAAUUCACACAUGGUUAGCUUUGGGAUAGGUGAACACGAUAAUAAGAUAUCACUGGACUACAUUCAUUCAGAUUUAUGGGGUCCUGAAAAACAUCCCACACGUGGAAGGAAUAGAUUUUUUCAGUCCAUUAUUAAUGUCCACUCGAGGAAAGUUUGGGUGCAUCUCUUUAAGUCCAAAUCUGAAACUUUUAGUAAGUUUAAGUCAUCGCUUGCGUUAGUUGAAAAUCAAAUGGGAAAGGGUGUGAAACUCUUAUGAUGGACAAUAGUUUAGAAUUUUAAAACUUUGAAUUUGAUAGUUUUUGUAAGGUAAAGGGUAUAAAGAGGCACAAGAAUGUAAAACAUACCCCCCAACAAAAUGGGGUGACAGAGAGGGUGAAUCGAACUUCAUGGGAUAAAGUCAGAUGUAUGAUGAUUAGUUCAGGGUUGUCUAAAGGUUUUUAGGGUGAAGCCGUGUAUACUGCUGCCUAUUUGAUAAAUAGGUCACCUUUUAGUUCUAUUAACUACAAGACUCUCCAAGAGUUGUGGUCUGGAAAAAUCUCAGAUUUGUCACGCAUUAGAUUGUUUGGUUGUGUCGGUUGACGGCAAAUUGGACAUUAGGGCUACAAGUUUGUCAUGUUAGGUUAUACAAAAAGAGUGAAAGGAUAUAGACUGUGGGUUUUAGGUGUGAAAGGCAUUGAAAUUAUUAAUAGUAAAGAUGUGAAGCUCAAUGAACUUGAUAUAUCUUGCCUUAAAAAUACAGACAGACAAAACAAACAAACUAAGGAAGGAGAAUCUUUUACUGAAAAGAAGAUGGAAUUUGAAGUGAAGAAAUUGGAUGAUAAUCCUAAGGAGAGUGAAAUCCAACCUUAGGAAGAACCUGAUCAAGAAGCAAUGAUAGAAUAACUUGAACUUGAAAUUCCUGAAACUAUUUUCCCUAAUUAAGAAACAUCUGCAGGUACUAAUUUAAAUGAUUACCAAUUAGUAAGUGAUGGAGAGAAAAGACAAGUGAGGCCCAAUUUGAAAUACAUCUCUUCCAAUUUGAUAGAAUUUGUCCUAGUUUCAGGUGAAGUCUUGGAGUCAGUGGAACUGGCUUCAUUUAAGGAUGCUUUAAACUGCAAAAAUUCUGAAAAUUAGAAAAAUGCUAUAAGAAAGGAGAUCUAGUCUCUAAACAAAAAUGAGACUUGGAAAUUGAUUGAAAAAUUAGAAAAUCAAAAGGUAAUCAUUGUAAAUAGAUCUAAAAGUUGAAAGAAGAAAUAGGACCUUUAACAUAUAAAGCUGGUUGGUUGCGAAAGGGUUUACUCAAAGAGAGGGGAUAACCUAUAAUGAGAUGUUCUCACCAAUCAUUAAGUAUAAAACUAGUAGGUUAGUCUUAACCUUGGUUGUUCAAUAUGAUUAGGAGUUGGAACAACUACUUGUUAAGACGACUUUUCUUCACGGGGAGUUGGAUGAAUUGAUUUAUAUAUCUCAACCUCAAGGAUUCGAGGUGAGGGGAAAAUAUGAACUUGUGUGUUUGCUUAAAAAGUCCUUAUAUAGUCUUAAGCAAAGUUCUAGGCAAUGAUGUAAAAGAUUUGAUGCUUAUGUGCUUAAAAUUGGAAUAACUUUAAAAUAGCCUAUGAAGUUUAUUUAUUGUUAUAUGUGGAUGACAUGUUGCUUUGUAGCUUUAGUAAAGCUGAAAUCAUUAGGAUGAAAAACCUUUUAAAAUCGAAAUUUGACAUGAAAGACUUGGGAGAUGCAAGAAUAAUUCUUCGCAUAGUUAUUAAAAGGAAUAAAGCUGAUAAUAGGAUGACUAUUAAUCAAGAGUCCUAUUUGGACAAAGUCAUAAUCAAAUUUGGUGUGAAAUUUGUUAAGUCUGUCAAUAUGCCAUUACUAUGAAUUUAUCAUCUGCACAACGCCUUAAAACAGAAGAAGAAAUGCAUGAAAUGAGUAAUGUUCCCUAUGCUAAUGCCAUUAGGUCUAUGAUGUAUUCUAUGAUUACCAUGAGAUCAGACCCUUCAUAUGCAGUUAGUUUUUUGAGUAGGUUUAUGUCUAACACAAGUAAACCUCAUUGGACUGCACUUAAAUGGUUGUUAAGAUAUCUAGCUGAAACUUUAAAAAGAUUAUUAGUGUUUAAAUGAAAAAUGAAAAGUUAGAGCUUAAAUGAUAUGUAGAUUCUGACUUUGUGAGGGAUAAAGAUUAGGGGAAAUCUACCACUUCAUAUUUCUUCACUUUAGGCGAUAAUUAUAUCGCAUGGAAAUUACAGUUGCAACCUAUUGUUGCACUCUCCAGCACUGAAAUAGAAUAUGUUGCAUUAACUAAAACUGUAAAAGAAUGCAUGUGGCGAAAGGCCUUCUAUGUGAAUUAAACUUCUUGAAUGAUAAUGCUAUAAUUUUUACUAAUAUUCAAAGUUCAUUGAUGUUGUUUAAAAAUCCUAUUUAUCAUUAAUGCUCUAAACAUGUUGAGGUGAAGUAUAACUUCAUUAGGAAGAAGUUAGCUUUUGGUGAUUUUAUUUUGCUUAAAAUUGCAACUGAUGAUAUUACUGCAGAUGUUGGAACAAAAGUACUUCGGAUUGGUAAGUUCAACAAAUGUUUAUCAAUAUUGAGUAUUGAUAAUAACUAAUUAUUGUGUAGGUACUGAGUUGGAGUGAGGGAUGAUGAUGAAAUAAGACCAUAUAAAUGGAUAUCACUUGUAAUUAGGAAAUUCGGUGAUGGAUUACAUUGUGAUCCAAGGUAAAGAUUUGUGAGGUGGAUCACUUAAAUCCACUUGGCAUAUGAUUAUUGGGCAUGAGUGGUUGACAAUGAUUGUGUUAGUUUGAUAUAAUUGUGGAUUCAUCAUUGGAUUUAAUCUUGUAGUCACUUUCUAUCCCUUGCCAUGUCACUUGUCAUUAGUUUUGACUUUUGAAUUCAAAAUGGUUUUGGCUUUAUAAUUAUAUGUGUAUUCACUUGUUUUCAUUUAGAUUUGGAAAACAUAAAGAAAAAAUAUAGAAAGGAGCUAAGUGGGAGAGGUUUAUAUCUCCGGUGAAAUUAUUGGUUGCCUAUGGCAGUUCUCUUAAUAUAUAAAUUACCAUUCUCGUGGACAAUGUUGUAUGACUCAGUGUGGCACAAAUUUGAGCUCAACAUCAUAUGACACUCCAUUGGUGGUGUUGAAGAAGUUUUAGGUCGAUUGGUUUGAUUUUUUAGUGUGACGUAGUUGUAAUAAUCAUUUAUACACUACAUUUUAAAUUCAAUAGUAGCGGUAAGAAAGUACUUAGAUUUUCAUUACUAUAAGAAUGAAAUCAAUCUGGGAUUUGCCUAAUCAAGAUUGCCCUCGUGGAAGUUGGUAGCAAAGUAUUGCUUGAAGUGUUAAAAAUGAAAUCAAUGAGAGAUUCACCAAAUCGGCUUUAUUAUAUGUCAAAUGGUAAUAGUUUUGACUUCUACUAAAAACUACUACUAUAGGAAAAAGACAUUUUCUAUACCAAAUGGUGGAGGGCUAACAUCAGUUAUGGCCCACAAGUAUUCUUUCUUGCACAGAAAAUAGGCUUCUAUUAGCACAAAACUGUGUUUGUGACAUUUGCUAGAAGUCUCUUGAAUGUAUUUGCUUUUCUUAAGCAGAUUUCCUUAUGAAUAAAUAGUUUGAUCGUAUAAAAUUUUGUACAAAUUGUAUUAAGGCCCUAUUUGAUACUCAUUAUAUUAAAAGUUAAAGAAUUUUGAAUAGCAUUUUUGAAGAAUGUGCGGUCAAAAAGUAAGAAAACUUUAUUGGUUUGUAUGUAGAAUAUUUCAUUGUGUGAAUAUGUGGUGAAAAAUGAUGUUUGUGGUGAAAAUUGAUGUUGUAGCAAACAAUUUAAAUUUUUAAAAGUUGUCAAACAUGGGCUAAAUUCUUUGAUUCGUGGAGAAAAGGUUGGGUCACACUCUCAUUAAGAAACCUUAUAAGCUUACAACUUGGAUAGAAGAAAAGUAUUAUAAACAGAUGGACUAUCUUAGUACAAUUAGAGCACAAAAAAAAAAACAAAAAAAACAGAUACUAUUGGAUUUCAGCUAAUUACUUCUUAGACAGCAAAAAUGGACCCAAAUUAAUAGUUUUUCCAUGGCCUUAAAGGCUUCACAUCUUGGUUCUUUACCUUGGAAUUGGAGACCAGCAUAGAGAUUCAUGGAGUCCUCGAACGGAUAAGAUGUGUUAUUCUGCAAGCAGUGUAUAGGGGGACGGGAAGGUAUCUGUGAGUUGUUAACUGCUUGAUCCUACUAAAUUUCAAGGUCAACACAAUCAAGGCCACUUUGAGAAUUUUGAGGCUUAAGGUGACAAAAUACUAUGAAGCCCCUAAAUAUAAUUUUUUUACUAGCGUAGCAACCAUUUUAGCUCAAUCAUAGUCAAUUCACAUAGUUUUGUGUUGAGAAAUAUUAUGCCUAUUACACUUACUCACCAUUUGAUUCGUUUGAAAAUCAAUUCUCACAUUCUAAGACCUUCUGAAAAUCAGUUAAGUAUUUGAAUGAUGACUACAAUUUAUUGCCUCAAAUAUUACACAUUUAAAAGUAAUAAAAAAAUUUCAAAAUUAGCUAUCAAAUACAAAGAACAAAAAACCUAAAUAAUAAUAAAUAAAUAAAAAGUCAUUUAUGGGUAGUGAGAUAGCAUUUUGCGUAAAGAAAAAAAUGGGGUUAAAUCCACAAAUGGCCUACCAAUUUUAUACUAAGUGUCACAUUGGCCAUCCAAUUUGAAUUUGUUUUACCAUAGCUACCCAACUUCAAAGUUAGUGUUACAUUGGCCACUCAAUUUGAUUUUGUUUCAUUAUGACUAUCCAACUUCUUAAGAGUGAAUUAUCCAAAUAGUUAUUGAAAUUUAUAAAAAGUUUUUACGAGGUCACUAAACUUUAAAAAUCACCAAAUUUAUCACUAAACUUUGCACAAAGUUUUCAUGGGGCCACUGAACUUUAAAAAUCACCACAUUCAUCACUGAACCUUACAAAAGGUUUCCACGGGGUUACUGAACUUUGCAAAAGAUUUUCGAGGGUCACCAAGGAAAACCUUUUGCAAAUUUCAGUGAUGAGUUAGGUGAGUUUUAAAGUUCAAUGACCUUGUGAAACAUUUUACAAAGUUCAGUGAUGAAUUGGAUGAUUUUUAAAGUUCAGUUACCCCAUGGAAACCUUUUACAAAGUUCAGUGACCACUUGGAUAAUUCACUCAACUUCAUACUUAAUGUCACAUUGGCCACCAAAUUUGAUUAUACUAAGUAAAAUUACCAAGUGGAUUCACUGAAAUUAAGUAUGAAGUUGGGUGGUUACAGUGAAACAAAAUUAAAUUAGGUGGCUAAUGUUACAAUAAGUAUGCAGUUGGGUAGCCAUGGUGAAACAAAAUCAAAUUGGGUGGCCAAUGUGACACUAACUAUGAAGUUGGAUGAUCAUUGGUGAAUUUAACUGCAAAAAAGUGACAUCUACGUCGAUAACAAACAAACUGUGAAAAGCAAAAAAAUUAAGUGUAUGUUUGAUACACGUUAAUUUAUUUCAUGAUUUACUACAAAAUUAUUUUUAAUGACACAUUCACGCAAUAAAAUAUUUUACACAUAUAUCAAAAAAAAUUCUACUUUUUACCCACACAUUCUCCAAAAAAUCACAAUUCAAAACUAUUUUUCCUAUAAUAAUGGUUGUCAAACAGGCUCUAGGAAAAGAAAAUGAAUUUUAUUGCAAAACGAAUGUAUAAAUUCAUAAAGUAAAUGAGUGGGCAGGCGAAUAGAGCCAUGAAUCUCAGCUCCAACAAAAAUUUGAUAGGAUUAUUUUCCUUUUCAAUUAAGCUAUUUGUAUAUUAAUUUUGACACCUUGUUGAUUGAUAAAUGGGGUAAUGUGGCAAGAUUGUGAUGAUUGAUUUAAAUGUGUAAAAUGUAAAAGAUAAUGCGAGAUUGUACCAAGUGCAAAUUCGAUAAGUCUAGUUGUAAACUAGGAUCUACCUGUACGAUUAUUUCCUCUUAGGUUCGGUAAAACUAGCUAUUUGAUUUGACAGAGCAAUCAAUGAAGCAAUUAUUUUUCCAAAAACAAAAAAAAGGUAGUUCAAUUGUUCAAAUCAUUGUUAUCCUUGGCUUUUUUUUUCUUUUUUUUAAUGAUCAUGGGUAUUCAAGCCAGUUUAUGCACACCUCGACUAAUCUCACGGGACCUAAAGUUUACAGCCAGGUACUCAACUCAGUAGUUCUGAGGAGACUCGAACUGCUGACCAUUUGGGAGCAAACUCAAGAUCUUGAUCACUGAAUUACCCUUCAAGAUUGGCUUCUUACUCUGUAAAUAGUAAAUACAGUAGAAUUCAGGACAGAUAUAAAUUCUUUGAUCAGCAGAGAAAAUUUUAUAAGCUCACAAUCCUUCCAAAUAUAAGAGGACUAUAUUAAGAUUGGACUGAGGAGAUGAAGACUUUUCAAUAGUGAACUUUAAUCCAAUUACUACUUAGCACUUAUUUGGCCCCCAUUUUUUAAUAAUGAGAAUGGGUGGAAUAGCGUCUUUUUGAAAAAGAGUGGUUGAAAAAAUAAAGAAAUUUUUCAAUUUAUAUAUAAUAUUAUUUUAUGAAAAAUUGUGUGAUUGAAAAUAAAAAAGAGAAAAAUGAAAUAUAAUGGAAUGAAAAUUAAUGGGGAUCAAACGGGAGCUUAAACAAUAGCAAUUGGACCCAAAUUAUUUGUGUUUUCCACGGCUUCAAAUCUUGGUUCUUUAGCCUGGAAUUUGAGACCAGCAUAGAGCUUCAUGUAGUCCGAAAACACGAAUUUUGAGUACAAAUCUUUAUUCUCUUCGCUCUCUACCAAUGCCGAUGCUAGAUAAAUCACAGCAUCACUUCCAGAAUUGUAGAAUGAUGCAAGGGAAAUUCUAUUUUCAUCUGUGGGCGCAAUCACUCUGUGCAUCACACUCUUAUUCUUUCCAUUUGUAAUCACCUUCACACAAAGUCGGAAGGAAUUAAGCCUUAAUCUCAAUUAAAUGAGCAAUAAUAAGCAGAUACGCAAUAAAAAAUACGGGUUUUAGUAGCUUUUACUGUUGAGCAUACCUCGAGUUGGUCGCCAAUGUUGAUGACAAUGGAGUGGUGCUUAGGUGGGACAUCAACCCGUUCACCGUCUUUAAGAAGCUGGAGGCCACUGACCUUGCCACCCUGGAAAAGUAGGACGAUGCCACCGGCGUCGGUGUGUGCUCGAAGUCCUUUGAUGAGAUCCGGCUGGAGGCAUGGGAGAUAAUUGCUGACCUUGGUUCCGAAGGUAGGGCCUUUAGAGCCAUAGAAUACCUUUUUCAGAUAGCCUCUCUCUAGUCCAGGAUUUUCACAAAGCAAAUCAAGAAGAUGCUCAGCCAAUUUCUCUAGUUGUGCUGCAAAUUCCUUCAUAGUCUUCCUGUUAGCAUUCAUAAAAUAUUAAACUACGAUCAAAGAAUCCCAGAUGUAAAAUUUGCUUAUGAAAACUGAGUAAUUAACCCUAUUCAUCUUCAAGAUCAGGGACUUCUGCUAUGUUUGAAACAGGAAGAUGGCGGAGGAAGAAGGUACUUUCCCAGUCUAAAUCAUUGAUUUCAGAUUGAACAGCUUCAAGUCCUUUACUCGCCACCAUUUCCUUAAAUCUUUGUUCCAUGCAUUUUCUGUGGUGUUCCUUUGUCAUCCUCUCUACGUUGUCCAUGAAUUCGGGAGAAAUCCCAUGAUUAACCUGCUUAAUUACCAGAUCAACAACCGUAGUAAUUAUUAGUUCAAAUUUAAGAAUCACUUCGGUUCUAUGUAUGUUAAGUUGCAAAGUAACGGAACUAAUUAUAUUUGUACCUCAAAGAAACCCCAGUUUUCACAAGCAUCUUUGAUCUUCUCCAUUGUUGCAGCCCUUUCUUCUCCAUUGAGCUUCUUCAUACUAAUAACUGGAAACCAUGCCAUCUCUCUCUCUCUCUCUAGUUAUUCUUAUCUCCGUCUUGCUAUUUUGAGUUUAUGAAUCACCGUGUUGAGAGGAAAACCUGGAGGGUAAUAUAUUGUGGUUUCCAGGAUAUCGAGAAAUAGCAGAAGAUUUAUUACCCAAAAAAAAAUCCAAAUCCAAUGAGCAAGAUUUUCCAGACAAGACUGGCGUGGAACACGUACGUGAUCACAUCUUCAUGGACCCAUAACAACUUUAUUAUUAUCAUGAUCUUUGGCCUUUUUCAUCGAUAUGGGACCUAACUCAGGCUGGCCGCCACUUUUUCCCAUGCACGCUUGUAGUUUGUAGGGCUGCUUGAUGAAACUGCCUUUUAACAUUUUCCUCCUAGAACCUAUAGUAAUUCUUUAAGGUUUUUAAAUUAUUUUCAAUACACGUGUUUGAUAUUUUAAAUAAUAUUUAUGCAAAGAAAACUCUUUGAAUGAUACUUGAUUUGGAAAGAAUAGACGUUUCAAUUUGAUUUUGUCAUCUUUGGAAUUGCUAUUCGCUUGCUUCUUACGUUUUAGCCGUUUCUAUUAUUUUAAAGUUUUAAUUCACUAUAAACAUUACGUAUGCUUAUGGCUUAAUCAUAGUUUGUUAAGAUUUUAUUUUGAAAUCGUAGAUUGAUAGAGAAUGUAUGAUUAAAAAAAGAAAGAGAAAGAUGUAUUUUGAAAAUAAUGGAGAUCAAUCAAGGACUAGUAAAUCAUGAAACCCAUGAUUAAGAAUUGUUUUCUAAAGAAAUAUUGGUGUUAUUUGUUUUUUUUUUUUUUUAGGGAGGUAAUACAUUAUUAUUUAUGAUUUUUUAACCAACUAUAGAUGUAGCAACUAGCACGUUUUAUUGAAAAUAAAAAUAAAAAAUAAUACAUACCUGAGAGAGAGACAACUUGUAAUUAAAGAUGUGAAACGAAUAAUCGACUGAACUUUUUCCCGUCUCGAGGCAGGGAAUACAAUAUCAAAGCUAAAUAAAUAGUAUAUUUAUAGAAGACUACAUGACUUGAACUUAAAUAGCGAUAUAAAGCUGUCUGAUCAAGUCGGAUUAAGAUUUAUUAAGUUGCAAAUGCAUCUUGAAUGCCAAUUUUAUGUUGCUGUAAAAAAAAUAAAAAAUUUCUUGAAUCAUAAAAAAAUAAUAAUAAAUAUUAUUGUUAAAAUUUCAAUAAUUGUCAGUUUUAGAAUUGUUUCAGCCAGAGAAAAGUGUAAUUUUGCAUUCUUAUUACUGUCGACGUUAGGCAGCUAAUAAAUUAUUUUUCCAAAUUGACUCUUUAAUUCUUAAUUUAAAAGUAAAUGUUAAUUUAUGUAGAGAUAGAUGAAUGAGGAAAAAAUAAUAGUGAAUGUUAAUUUAUGUAGAGAUGGAUGGAAAAAAAAAAAAAAACUAAAUUUUUAGAUGAUAAUGAAUAGUAAUUGAACUUUUGGAGAAAAAAAUUUAAAAAGUUGGUACGUAAAGUGUUACAUACUGCAACAUAAAGGGUGUGAUGUGUUAUUUUCGAUUAUGAAUAUUUUCGUUUAUUUAACUAUUUUUUAUGGUAAAUUUGUAAGUGUCUUGUAGCCAAAGUUAUUUUUUUGUUAACAUAAUGUACAGUAUAAUAUGUAAAGUAUAAUUUUUUUAAAAUAUAGUGUGUUAUGUGUAAGUAUACUCUAUACGUUUAUUUAAGUGCAUAAAAGCUGUGUUUCUUACGGAAUGUGUAAAUAAAACAAUAAAUGGGUGUAGAUUAAAAAAAAUAUGUUGGUCGAAGUUGAGAUUUGCUUAGGGGUGGGCAAAAAAUGAAAAUUCGUCCGAACUUGAACCAUGUCCAAGCCUAGAUUUGCCAAAAACAUGCACAAAAUAGUAUUGCUCCGGUUUAGGGAUGGACUUCGAGUGGUUCAGUCCAAGCAUCUUGAGAAUCAGACUGAGCAACAUCUCAAUAAGAAUUGGAAAAUGAAAUAAUUUGUUGUACAAGAAAAAAGAAAUCGGUGUAGAAAGCAAGCAAUCAAAAGGCAAGUGAUUCAACCUCGUUUUGUGAUUUCAAGUAAGUUUUACUACUUGAAAUUCUAUUAUAAGCAUGCAAGCUUGAUUUACAUUGGCAUCAAAGCCUAAGUAGAUUGUGUUCUUUAUUUAAAAAAUGCUUAAAACAUUUUAGAAUAUCGAAAUGCACUAAUUUUGUUUUCUUCGAAAAGCUUCAACAUCAUUAAUGGAAAAUUUUAAUAUAAUCUAUAUAAAGUCAUGAAAUUUAUACCAUAUAUUCAUGAUAUUAUGUUGAACAUAUCUAGAAAAUUUUGCUUCAUUUGGAUUUAUAUUUUGGGAGAAAAAUCGAGCACUAGUUUAGAAAAUCGAGAUUUCAUUACAUGAUAACUUCUUGUACGUUAGGUUUCAUAUUGUCCAUUAACGCGGUUGGAUAGAUUUUCUCGAGAACUUCCCAAUGGUAUAAAGAACAUUAAUAUUGACAUAGAAUUGAAGAAGUUAUGACCUUCCAACAUGUAAAUCAAGCUUGCACGCUUAUAACCGAAUUCCAAAUAGUAAAACUUAUUUGAAAUCACAAAAUGAUGUUGAAUCACUUGCCUUUUGAUUGCAUGCUUUUCACAUCAUUUUGUACCUGCUUAUCGGUUAGAAACUCAAUCACCAAGAAAGAAGUUUGAUAUUCACAACCGAAGAACCCAAUUUGAGAUGUUAUACUUCCAAAAUCAAGCUACCAUCCUCAUGCUUUUUUCUCUCUAUUGUAAAAUUCAAAUUGCAUUGUCUUGUGCCUGAUUUUGUGGUGAGUGGGUGUUUUAUGAAAGUUAGAGGUGGUAGGGAGUUAUGGUUUCAAAUUCAAAACCUCAACUCCCUCAACUUCUCCUUCUAGAUGACUCCCACGCAAUUCGGGUCGGAUCCACCCACAUGGGCAAGCCUUUUUUUCAACAUAUUCCACUCACAUAUGAUGAACUUGACCUAAUCUUAAUAUAAUGUUAAUUAUAUUAUCUCAAUAUAUCCAAGAUCAUACAAAUAAAUGGAUCAUGUGACCAACGAGUUAAUUCACACAAUGCCAUACACUUGUUAAGAAUAUAUAACAAUUCUACUAGAUAUGUUUCUAUUUAUACCCUAGGCAUAUUUUGAGUAUUUCUAACCCCUUAAUUAAUCAAAAAAAUGCUCAAAUUUUUUAUUUAUAUUGUAUGGUGUCACAAAACUCAAAUAGUUAACACAAUUGUCCGAUCAAUGAAUACAAGGUGAAGUGUUAGAUAAAAUAGUCAUUCUUUCCUAUUUGAAUCCCUUCAUUUCAAGUCAUUUGCUUUUGUAAACAUGUCGCAUCAAAUCGAAUCAUCCAUAAUUAUUGGCAACAUGAUAAAGUAUAACAAUACCGAAUUAAAAUUUGGAGAAAUAGUCAAAAGUCAUAAGGGUAUAUAAGUAAGGUUAUGUGUGCCUCAGAGACUCACACAAUAAAGAAGCAGUAAUCGAUUCUUUCAUUUCUCAUUGGUCAUUAAUGCACACGUGUUAUGAAAUAUGUGUUAUGAUGUUUUCUUCCUUUCUUAAGGCAUAUAUCUAAUCUUAUAAAUUAAAUACACCGUACAUAUCAUAAUUCUGAUAUUCCUAGAUAUUUAACAUAAGUUAUUAUUUAUUCCUCUAGACAAUCCCAAUCGAGAACUCGAUCUAGAUUUUAAACUAGUUUAAUGGAUAGCAAAAGCUAUUUCGAUUAUUUGUUGCAAUAUCAUCUUGAUACCUCAUCAAAGCGACUGUAUCAUGUACACAGUAUGAUUGCCCUGUUUGAUCUCAUCACAUCCCAAUUUGCUUGAGGCGAUUGUUCGUGUGAGUAAACUAAUGACAACAUGUUUGAAAUACUUUAUAUGUGCAUAUUAAACAGUAAUCUAAUCAUCAUAACAAAAUAUUACUCUUAACAUAUGAACUCAAAAAUAUUGUUAAUUAACGGACAUAUAAAAAGUUUACAUAGUAUAUAAUUCAAAUUCUACACAAUCCCAUAGAAUUAACAAGAUUAACAAAUACAUCUAUAGGGAUAGAAUUAGUAAAUGGAUUAACUACCAUUUGAUGCGUAAAAAUAUAUUGCAAACUUACUUCUAUCUUUCCUAUGAUGACUCUUGCAAAAUUAUAUUUUAUAUCAAUGUAUUUGAUUCUACUGUAAGACUUGAGAUCCUUUGCAUAUGUAAUAGCUACCUGAUUAUCACAAUAAAUCAAAAUAGGUCCCAUGUAACCAUUAAGGACUCUCAGGUGCCGAAAGAAUCUCUUUAACCAAACAGUUUCUUAUACUACUGGAGCACAUGGUAUGAAUUUUACUUCCAUUGUGUACAAAGAAACGUAUGUCUGUUUCUUGCUACUCCAAGACAUGGCACAAUUAUUAAAUUACGCAAGAAUGCAUAUCGCGACGUUAAUUUGCGAUCAACAAGGUUUUCAUCUCAAUUAGCAUCUAUGUAUUCUUUUAAGCACAAAUCACUUCCUUGAUAGCACAGAGAAUAGCUAGCAAUAUCCUUCAAGUAUCUUAAUAUCAUCUGAACAGCUUUCCAAUGUUCUCUUCCUGAAAAAUCCUCUAAUUACAGAAAAAUCUGAAGUAACUGAAGGAGAAAUAUGCUCAACUUCAUUAAGUUAUACAAAAUACGUGUGUAGGUUAUAUACAAGAAUUCGCAUAGCUAAUCCCAUGAAAAUAGCUACUUUAAUUUAAAUUCAAACUAAUCUCUAUCAUAGCUAAUAUCCUUGGAACCUCUCAAUCUUUCUGUUAUGAUUUAUUUACACAUUUUAACACUCUCCCUCAAGUUGGAGCAUGAAUAUUGAUUGUCCCCAACUUGUUCAUGCGUGAAUAAAAGGACCCCUUCCAAGAGCUUUAGUAAAUAUGUCAACAACCUGUGUCUAAGAUGCAGUAAAUUUUGUAGCUAAUAGACCAAGUUUGAUCUUGUCUUGAACCACGUGAUAAUCCAUCUCAAUGUGUUUAGUUCUCUCGUGGAAAAUUGGAUUUGCAGCUAUGUGUAAAGCUGCCUUGUUGUCACAAUGCAAGUUUGUUGGUGCUUUGAUCAAUAUCCCGAGAUCUUGAACAGAUAUCUAAGCCAAGUUAGUUGACAUGUUAUUGUUGUCAUGGCUCGAUAUUCUUCCUCAGCAGAAGAUCUUGAAACGGUUGUUUGUUUAUUUGUUCUCCAAGAAAUAAGUGAGCUACCAAUGUAAAUGCAAUAUCCUGUAACUGAUCUUCUUGUAGUUGGACAUCCACCCCAGUCAGCAUCACAAUACGCGGUCAAUUUAAAGUCACUUUCUAAUGAAAAUAGUAAUCCUUGUCCAGGUAAACCUUUCAAAUAUCUAAGCACUCUCAUUGCUGCUUCAUAAUGUGGUUUUCUAGGUUGACCCAUGAACUGAGUAUUGAAUAUCAGGUCUGGAUAUUGUGAGGUAUAUGAGCUUCCCAAUCAAUCUUAUGUAUGCUAAUGGAUUUUUGAGUGGCUCCCCUUGUGAAGGUCUUAAUUUUAGAUUUUGCUCCAUUGGAGUAGUAACUAGUGCAGCUCCUAACAUCCAUGCUUCAUCAAGAAGGUCCAGUGUAUAUUUUCUCUGUGAAAUGAAUAUUCCUGAACUUGAUUUUGCCACUUCGAUGCCCAAAAAAUACUUGAACUUACCCAAAUCUUUGAUCUUGAAUUGUUGGUUGAGAAACUGCUUUAGUGCUUCGGUUGCUUCACUAUUGUUUCCAGUUAUUAUCAUGUCAUCCACAUAAAUUAAAAUAGCAGUAAACGAUUGGCCUUCAGACUUAGUAAAUAGAGAAUAAUCUGCCUUCGAUUGUUUGUAUCCUGCCUUACAGAUUGCACUUGAAAAUUUUGCAUACCAAUUUCUGGAAGCUUGUUUAAGCCAUAUAGAGACUUAUUUAGUCGACAAAAUAGGGGUUGGUUCUUUCCCUGUGGACUAAAGCCAAACGGUGGCCUCAUAUAAACUUCUUCAAAAAGGUCCCUAUGCAAAAAUGCAUUUUGGACAUCAAGUUGAUGAAGUGACCAUUGUUUCACAACAGCGAUAGCAAGUAGACAACAUACUGUGACAAGUUUGGCAACUGGAGCAAACGUGUCAUUGUAGCCAAGACCUUCAACUUGUGUGUAUCCCUUUGUUACUAAACGCGCUUUGUACAUCUCAAUGCUCCUAUCAGAAUUGUACUUUAUUUUGUAUACCCACUUACAUCCAAUACCCUUUUUCCCAGCAAGUAUUGUUGCUUUCCAGUGCUUGAAUUUCUUGCUUCAUUGCCUCUUCCCAACUUGGAUCACCUGCAGCUAGUUCAUAUGUACUUGGUUCCAAUGUUUUAGAAAUGGAGGAAACCAAUUGAAGGUGCGAAGAGGACAAUUUAUCAUAUGAAAUAUAAUUGGCAAGAGGAUAUCGCGUACCUUGCUUAUGACCUGGCAAGAUGAUGAAUUAGAAUGACGCUGUAGCAUAUUGACAUAAGGGUAUUGGAAGUCUUUAAGCCAUAUAGAGGGCUGGCGAAUUCUUGUUAACUAUCUGGGUAUAGCUUGCUGGAUUGGUGAUGGUGGGGUCUCGAGUAAAGUGGGGUUGGUAAAAGGUUCUUGUGUAUCACCACAUGUUGUAGGUAGUGUAGAUGGUCCAGUCGAUGAAGAGUUAUCUGACUUGUCUGUUGCUGGAAUUGGCAAAACGGGCAUAGUGGUCUUGGUGGUAGAUGUAGUAGAGCUAUAAGGAAAAUGUGUUUCAUGAAAAAUGACAUCUCGACUUGUGAACACUUUCUUAUUUUCUAAAUCCAUCACCUUGUAUGCUUUUUGACCUAGAGGAUAACCCAAGAAAAGACACUUUUUGGCUCUAGGAUCAAAUUUAUGUGCAGGAUUGAUAUUAGUGGCGUAACAAAGGCAUCCAAAGACUUUUAAGUGAGUGUAGUCAGGAAUAUGCUUGUAGAGAAGCUCAUAAGGUGUCCUUUUGGCAAGAAGAAGUGUGGGUGUUCUAUUGAGAAGAUACAUUGCUGUAAGGACACAUUCACCCCAAAAAUAUAAAGGUAAGUCAGCUUGAAAUCUUAGAGCUCUAGCAGUGUUUAAAAUGUGCCUAUGUUUGCGUUCGGCCACUCCAUUUUGUUGUGGAGUUAUGGCGCAACUAUGUUCAAAUAAAACUCUUUUUUUACAAAAGAAAUGAAUCAUUGAAGUGAAUUCUUUUCCAUUAUUUGACCGAAUUCUUUUAGCUUCCACAUUAAAUUGGGUAUGAACUAAAUAAAAGAAUGAUUUGAGUAUACCUUGAGUCUCUGACUUGAAACGCAUAAGAUAUACCCAUGUGUAUCUUGAAUAAUCAUCAACAAUUGUCAGGAAAUAGUAAGCAUCAGUAAGUGAUGGUACUCUAAAAGCACCCCAUAUAUCACAAUGAAUUAAUUCAAAGCAAGAUUGUGUUUUUAUUGAACUUAAGCCAAAAGAAAGUCUGGUUUGUUUUGCACGAUGGUAGAUAUCACAAACUUUAAUGGAAGCAAAAGAAACUCCUAAACUAGAUUCCAUGAGAUGUUUCUGGGGUGAUGAUGAUGGGUGUCCAAGUCUUUGAUGCCAAAGGCUAUUUGCAAAAGGCGUCUGACUGGCUUGGUUUAUUUGUGGCUUUGAUGUGAGGUAAUAUAGAGCAUUAUGCUGCCUCUCCAAACCAAUCAUCUUCUUCGUUUCCAGGUCCUGCAAAAUACAGAAAUUUGGGAAAAAGGUAAAUGAACAAUUCAAGUCCUCCGUCAUCUUACUUACAGAUAAAAGAUUUACGUGAAAGCUUGGAACAAGUAAGAUAUCUGGAAUUUUGAGUUUGGAGUCAAUUAUUAUUGUUCUAGCUUUUGUAACUUAGGCCUUUUGACCAUUUGGCAAUCCAACGUAUGGGUACUUUGGCUUCGACAUGGUUUGAAACAUGGAAGUGGUGGCUGCAAUGUGAUCGGUAGCAUCUGUAUCUAUGAUCCAUUGUUUCAACUCAUUUUUUUGAGAGCCAGUAAUCAAGCAAGAUGGGACAAACUGACCUAUGGCAUUUGCUUGAGGCUGAUCCAUGCCACUUUUACCUUUGAUAUUGAGCAAGUUCAAUAGCUGUUGAUAAUGCUCUUGUGUGAAGAAGGGCACCUCUUUCUGAACAUUAUUCACGUUUGGUUGUGACUUCUUUACUUCUCCAUUGUCUAACCGUUUGUUGUACUUGUGGCUGGUAAGGAAUCCAUGUAAAUGAUAGCACUUGUCCACCAUGUGAUUAGCACCAUUACAGUGUGAACAAUGAUGUUUUGAUCUUCCUUUCUGCUGCGUAUAAUUCCCUAAUUUUCUUACACUUGCCAGCAUUGCUUCCCUCGAAAUAGUGAUAUCUCUUUGUUUUUCUUCUUGCAAAACUAUUGCAUAAAUCUUUCCAAUAGAGGUAAUGGUUGCAUCAACAAUAUUUGACCACGAAUUGCUGAGUAGGUGUCAUUCAAUCCCAUUAAGAACUGCAUUACUUUAUUUAGUUGAUCUUGUUCAACAAGUUUUGAGCUUGCAGAAUAGGUACAUACUGGGACAUCAUUAUGGGAUGAGAGCUCAUCCCAUAAGCCCUUCAUCUUGGAGUAGUAGGCUGUGAUAGACAUGGUUUCUUGGUGUAAAAAAGCAAUCUCCCUUCUCAGCUAAAAGAUUCUUGGAGCAUUGUUUUGAGAGAAACGAUCUUUCGGAUCUUCCCAAACACUCGAAGCCAACUCUGUGUAGAUAACACUGUCUGACAAUGAUGGAUCAAUAGCAUUUAGGAUCCACGAUAACACCAUGUCAUUGCAUCUCUUCCAAGCUGCAUAUUUUUCAUCAUCUAUAGAGGGCUUUUCGAUGGAGCCAUCUAUGAAUCCCGUUUUGUUUUUGGCACUGAGAGCAAUGCUCAUUGACCUACCCCAGGUAGCAUAGUUGUCACCAUUCAAUGGUUUGGAACAAGACUCACACCUGGGUGAUCAAAAGAGUGCAAAUGAAACGGGUCUGAGGUGUUUCCAGUGGAGGUGUCUCCAAUGGAGUUCGAGGUUGUUGAUUUAUCUCCGCUCAUGAUGUAUGAACAAAGAGUGAAUACUGGUUGCUUCUAAUCAGAGAAAAUACCCAGGCAAUGCUUUGAUGCCAUGAAAAAUCUAGUGAUUACAGAAUAUUCUGAAGUAAUUGAAGGAGAAAUAUGCUCAACUUCAUUAAGUUAUACAAAAUACAUGUGUAGGUUAUAUACAAGAAUUCACAUAACUAAUUCCAUGAAAAUAGCUACUUUAAUUUAAAUUCAAACCAAUCUCUAUCAUAGCUAAUAUCCUUGGAACCUCUCAAUCUUUCUGUUAUGAUUUAUUUACACAUUUCAACAGUUCCAGAAUUAGAUUGAUAUCUACUGAUCAGACCAACGACAUAGCAAAUGUCGGUAUGAGUACACAUCAUAGCAUACAUCAAGGUCCCAAACGCACUGGAAUAUGAAACUCUAGACAUUCUUUUUUUUCCUCAGAAGUCUUGCGACAUAUGCCAAGACUUAGUGUUUUGGCUUUCAAUACAAAAAAUGUCAACGGAGUUGCAAUUCUCCAUUUUGAAACAUUAAAAAAUUUUCUUUAACUAUCAUAAUUUCUAAAACAUGUUUUUUUCCGUUAUACUAAUUUUUUUUCAAUUAUGAUUAACGAAUAAAAGUACAAAACAAAAUUUAUAAAUUGUCAGUGCACUAAACUUUGACAAGUAUACAUAUAAAUAUUUGUUAAAAUAUGUUAAUGAGUAUAUUGGUUUAGUAUUAAUUUACAUUUAUAUUAUGAAUCCAAACCAAGCUUACAUGCUUGACCAUUUCUUUACCUAAUCUAAUGUCCAUUUAGAAUCCAAUCACAUUACGCAUGAGCUCUAUCAAGCCUUAUAAGACAAAAAUACUCUUUUUUUUCUUUUUCAUUUUUUCCCCCUUUUGAAUAGUUAAAAUUUUGUUUAUAAGACAAUCGAAAUUAAUCUGACGUACCAAAUACAUUUAUAAGAAUAAUGCUAUUCCUCGGUUGGGUGUUCCACCAUGAUAACUUAUGAGCCAAUCAAACUUCUUCCACGGUCGAAAUUAUUCUCCCUUUUUUUUCUUUGGAUUUUGUUUCUUCUUUGUCUCUAUCCAUCUACUAAUUUACAAGCCAGGAGCUUGAGGAAGCAGCUUCAAAAAUUCUUUGAUCAAAUUCUGAAAAAUGAAAGAUAAAGAAAAAAUGUAUUCAUGAUAUAUUAUAGUCAAGUCAUUUUUCACUUUAUCUCCUCUACACUCCAUAAUUUUUUAUUUUGGGCCCGUUCAAUAUUAAUUAUAAGAAUUGAUUUUUUUUGACCGUUAGAAAUAAAAGUGGGUCCCACCUAUGAGUGAGAAAAUAAAAAAUGACGGUUGAAAUAGUGAAAUAACGGUAAAAAAAUUGCUACCAAACGAGGGUUUUAUAUAAUUUCGACAAGUGACUUGACCACUUGAGUGUAAAUGGUCUCGAAACCUUUUAUCUUGAAUGACGAUAUUUGCCUAUAACAAGGUGUUCAUACAUGCAACAUUUAGGUGAUAGCGGGAUGGUGACCCUAAGACGUUGAUAGCUUGAUUCUACCAAAUUUUGAAGUUGACACAAUCAAUACAGAACUCAAUCCCACUUCAAUCUUAACAUAAACAACGCUAUUAACAAAAAUUCAACUUUCCAUUGGCAAAAAAUUGACAUCCAAUCCGAUAACAAGCAAACUGUAAGAAGGGAGGAAAAAUGGUUCAAAAAGUAAAGUGAACAUUUUAUUCCAAAAUAAAUGUACCAAAAUUAAAAAUGAGUGAAUUGGCGAAGAGAGCUACGAAUUUCAGCGCCAACGAAGAUUUGAUUCCAUUAUUUUCUUACCGUAAAACUAGCUGUUUGAUUUGACGGAGCAAUUGCCAUUCAUGGCUUCUUGCUCUGUAAAUACAAUAAAAUUCAACGCAAAGACGAUUUCAUUGAUGAACCGAAAAUAUAGUAAAAUUCAACACAAAUAUUGGGCUGAUAGGAUAGAGAGUUUUCAACAGAUUCACUAGCUUUAGCUAUUAGCUCAUAAGUUUACAUGAACGACCAAGAAUUUUUAAGCUAAUCACUACUUAAACAAUAGCAAUUGGGCCCAAAUUAGGGGUGUUUUCCAUGGCCUUCAUGGCUUCAAAUCUUGGUUCUUUAGCCUGGAAUUUGAGGCCAGAAUAGAGUUUCAUGUAGUCCUCAAACACGAAUUUUGGGUACAACUCUUUAUUCUCUCCUCUCUCUGUCAAUUUCGAUGCUGGAUAGAUCACAGCAUCACUUCCAGGAUUGUAGAAUGAUGCAAGGGACAUUCUAUUUCCAUCUGUUUGUGCAAUCACUCUAUGCAUCACACUCUUGUACUUUCCAUUUGUAAUCACCUUUACACAAAGUCCGAAGGAGUUAAGCCUUAAUCCCAAUUACGAGAACAAUAAUAAGAAAACAACGGAAUAUAAAAACACGGGUUUUAGUAGCUUUUACUGUUGGGCAUACCUCGAGUUGGUCGCCAAGGUUGAUGACAAUGGAGUGGCGCAUAGGUGGCACAUCAACCCAUUCACCAUCUUUAAGAAGCUGGAGGCCACUUACCUUGUCAUCCUGGAAAAGUAGGAUGAUGCCACCGGCAUCAGUGUGUGCUCGAAGUCCUUUGAUGAGAUCCGGCUGGGGGCAUGGGGGAUAAUUGCUGACCUUGGUUCCAAAGUUAGGGCCUUUAGAGCCAUAGAAUGCCUUUUUCAGAUAGCCUUUCUCUAGUCCAAGAUUUUCACAAAGCAAAUCAAGAAGAUGCUCAGCCAAUUUCUCUAGUUUUGCAGCAAAUUCCUUCAUUGUCUUCCUGUUAGCAUUCAUAAAAUAUUCAACUAAGAUCAGAAAAAUCCCAGAUUAUAUAAAAGUUAGUCAUGAAAACUGAUUAAUUAACCUGUAUUCAUCUUCAAGAUCAGGGACUUCUGCUAUGUUUGAAUCAGGGAGAUGGCGGAGGAAGAAGGUACUUUCCCAGUCUAAAUCAUUGACAUCAGAUUGAACAGCUUCAAGUCCUUUACUCGCCAUCAUUUCCUUAAAUCUUUGUUCCAUGCAUUUUCUGUAGUGCUCCUUUGUCAGCCUCUCUACAGUGUCCAUGAAUUCGGGAGAAAUCCCAUGAUUCACCAGCUUAAUUACAAGAUCAUCAACCGUUAAUUUUUAGUACAAAUUUAAAAAUCCUUUUGGUUUUAUGUAUUAAUAACAGAACUAAUUAUAUAUUUAUACCUCAAAGAAACCCCAGUUUUCACAAGCAUCUUUCAUGUUCUCCAUUGUUGCAGCCCUUUCUUCUCCAUUGAGCUUCUCCAUGUUAAUAACUGGAAAACUUGCCAUCUUUCUCUCUCUCUCUAGUUAUUCUUAUCCUUCUCUUGCUGUUUUGAGUCUAUGAAUCACAGUGUUAAGGGGGGAACCUCGAGGGUAAUUUAUAGUGGUUUCCAGGAUGUGGUACCAGUACUGUACAAGAAAUAUAUGGCAGAAGAAUAAUUAAUUUAUUACCCCAAAGAAUCCAAAUCAAUAAGUAAGAUUAUCCUGACAAGACUGGUGGAACACGUUCGUGAUCACAUCUUCAUGGGCCCAUACCAACUUUAUUAUUAGCAUGGUCUUUCCAAACCUCCAUUUGUGAUAUGGGACCUAACUCAAGUUUUUCCCAUGCACGCUUGUAGUUCAUAGGGCUGCUUGAUGAAACUGCCUUUUAACUUCCUAGCCAGAACCUACAGUAAUUCCUUAAGUUUUUUUUAUUAUUUUUAAUACACGUGUUUGAUUUUUUAAAUAAUAUUUGUGCGCAGAAAACUAUUUGCACAAUACUUGACUUGGAAAGAAUGUUGAAGAGAAUUGACGUUUCAAACUGAAAAUUCACUUAGAAAAGUAAAAGGGUUAAGGAAAUUAUGUUUGAUUUUGUCAUCUAUGGAAUUGCUUUUUUCUUCCGUUUUAACCGUUCCUAUUAUUUUAAUGUUUUAAUUCACCAUAAAAAAAAUGCAUAUGGUUUAAACAUAUUAGUAAAUCAUGAAACCCGUGAUUAAGAUUUGUUAUCUACAGAAAUAAUGGUUUUUUUUUUUUUUUUUUGGCUCGGGGAGGUAAUACAUUGUUAUUUUUUAUUUUUUUAGCUAACUAUAGAUGUGGCAACUGGCACAUUUUAUUGACAAUAAAAAAUAAAAACAUAAUAAGUACCUAAGAGAGACAACGUCAAGUUAAAGAUGUAAAACAAAUAAUCGCGAUUGAACUUUUCCUGUCUCGAGGUAGGGAAUACAAAAUAAGAGCUAAAUAAAUAGUAUAUUGGUCGAAGACUACAUGAUUUGAACCUAAAAAGUGGAAAAAAAGAAAAAAGCAAGAAGAGCGUAUGAUCAAGUCGUAUUAAAAGUUAUUCAAGUUGCGAAUGCAUCUUGAAUGCCAAUUUUUUAUUGCGGUAAAUUUGUUGGAACAUAAAAAGUUUAUUGUUAAAAAUUAAAUAAUUAUUAGUUUUAGAAUUGUCUAGGCCGAGGGGUUUUUUUUUUUUUUUGCGUUAAUAUCACUGUCGACGUAUAGGCGGCUAAAAAAUUAUUUCCCCAUAUUGACUCUUUAAUUUUUAAUUUAAUAGUUAGAUUAAACCACUAACUUUGACCAAUCAAUUCAGAUAUUGUUUUUGAUUAUAAUUACAGUAGCCUCAAUUUUAUGAGAAAGUAGAUGUUUGAAUUUUGAGUUCAAUAUUUUUCUCUUAUUAAAUGUGAAUACUAGAAUUAAUAAUUUCAUCAAACCAAACCAAACUUUAAUCCUUGCAUGUUUGACCAAAUCAAUAUCUAAUCUAAUGUCCAUUUAGAAUUUACUCACAUUAUAAAUGAGCAUUCAUCAAACCUUAAUUGUUUGACAAGUAGUGUUUUGCUUCUUUUCAAGAUUGGGUUCUUGCCUCCAAACGAAAGCAAGCACGUAUUUAUUCUAUUUGCUAAGACAACAUGAACAAAAUUAAAGAACAAAAUAAACUGAAUUCUUAUUGUUAUACUUAGUAAUCGCUUCUUAUUUUUGAUUAAUUUUAAUUACUAGACAGAAUGAAUAUUAAAUAUCUCAAUAAUAAAAGUUUUGUUCACCCACCAUUAUUCCAAAACUUUAUAGGAAGUGGGUAUUAAUCUAGUGGGAAAAUGACAAUUCCUCUUUUUAUUUUGUAGUAAUCAAGAAGCAUACAUAUCCUCAUGUAUGUGUAUCUAGUAAUGGCAAAUUGGAAUAACAUAGUACAUAGAUAUUAACAAUGAGAUUGUGGAAAAUUCAAAGGACUACAGUUAGAAUUUUUGUGGCUAAAACAUAGUAAAUAAAAGAACUUGAAUAUCAUUUUUAUUUUAUUUCAUUUCAGUUUUUUUGUGGAGAAACCUCACAACGGUUAUUCCUGAAUUAUGAAAAUUUGAAUGAGCUUUUUGGUCAUAGGACUAUAGUUAGAAUCGCAAAGUAAAAAGUUCUUGUGAACCCAAAUUUUUAUUUUACUUCAUCUAUAUUUUUUUUUCUAACUUUGCUUAAUUACCAAAUAUUAACAUUAUUAUAGCUUAUUUUUAGAGAUGGCAAAAAAACUCGUUCAACCCAAUACCCAUGAGGCCUCGUCCCGAAUAGGGCGAGGAUUACCUGUCCAAUCGGGUAAAAGGGAAGGAUACGGGGAGAGGGUCAUUGCCCUGAAGCGAGUAUAGGGUUGGUAUGGGAAACAUUGUCCCCGCCCCAUUUCAAGUUAAUUUCAAAUUUAAAUUUUUAUCAAACAAAAAUAAUAGAUUUAUCAUCAUUUUUAAAGAGAACAUAAACUUUUUUCAACAAAGUAGGUAAAAAAGUAAUAAUAUUUACUAAUUAAGGACAUAACAAAGUAAAAGCAAAAAAUAAAAUAAAAAAUAAAUGGGGUAGGGGCCUCGCCCCACCACGUUCUGCUUUAAUUGGGUAUGGUAUGGGUAUGGAGUAAAAUAACAAAAAUAUCCGACGGGGCGGGGGUAGAAAUGGUCGACCCGUCCCAUAUCUGCCUCGUUGCCAUCCCCACUUAUUGUAUUAUUUUUUAUUGGCUCAAAACAAAGAGAAAAAAAUGAGAAGGAUAACAAUUUUUUUUUUUUUUUAAAUGUGAUGAUAGAGUCGAAUAUAACCCUUAUUCAACAAGAAUGCGACAUAUUUUGUUGUCGAAUAAUUUGGAAGUAGUUUUAGGUUCCUCGAAUUUGUAAUUUCAACUUUCUUCUUCACUUUCUAAUGCAGUCUCCAGUUUAGAAAAUGCCAUUCCUUAGUCAAAUUUGACGUGUUCAAAGGCCAGUCUCUGAUCCACCAAUAAAAUAUUCUCUAGUCAUUUUUUCUGGAUAAGUCUUGGUAUACAUAAUUUGGGUACAUAAGGGCGUUUACACUCCUCACAUGGGAUGUACCACACUUCUCACAUGGGAUGGGCCACACUUCUCACAUAAUUAAUUUCCCUUUUGUUCAUCCAAAUAAUUUUACAUUCCAAUUUUUAUGCAAGAAUUAAUUCAUUGAUCGAGACCAAGGAUGGUUAUCACAUGCCUUGUCUUAUUAUAUCACAAUCUCUCUUCAUCACUCACUAUCUCCUAAAUUCCAAUGCUUUAUGGUUAAAUUUUUCAACAUUCGGAAGGAAAAAAAACGAUCUAAUCUGCUCUUGAAUAGGAGAAUUUGGCAUUUGUUAAAAUGUGCUCUUCAAAAAAAAAAUGUUAAUUAAAUAUUUUUCCAAACUUAUUUAAUAAUUAACCAUGUAAACUUGUGCUUUGGCCUGGGGUGGAUCCAGAACGGAAGUUCAAUGGGGGUGAAACAAAAAAAACCUUAGGGCUGAAACAAAAAAAACCUUGGGAAAAAAAUCUGAAAGCCUAAAAAAUAAAAAAUAAAACUUGGAGAAAAAUUGAAGAUUUGAAAAUCGAGUGGGGGUAGCCAACCCCACUGGGCCUCAAGUAGGUUCACCCUUGAUUUUGGCAUGUAAGCGUGAUGGCUAAGUAUCUUAUAUGGCAAAGUUACGUGGUCUGAAGCAAAUGAAAAUACGGAUUCAACAAAAUCAACGUGUCAAGAUACCUAUAGUUUAUCAUUGGCAAGAUCUUAAAAAUGUUGAACACACUUUGAGUUAACGAGUAUCCCCAAAAGGACACGUAAUGGAACGAGGCUCAAGUUUGUAUUUUGUACAAGUUAAUCCGGCAUAGUCUCGACGUUGAUUAAAAAUUACAUCAUAUUGGGAUUUCAAGUUAAGAGUAGCAACGGUUAGGGUAGAGUUCCAUUAAUAAACCCCAUUAGUUCGUACGAAAAGUGUAUGGAAUUGAAUUUUCCAAGAGAUUUAAUAGAAGUGAGUUUAAGCUGAAAUUCUGAUGGAGAUAAGAGAAUGCAAUUGGUUAAGCCUUGUUAAAUAGAGGAAGUUGGUGGUGAAUCAUGAUUGGACUCUUUCAUAAUUUUCUUUUCGUAAAGAGGCUCUGAUAUCGUGAAAAGACUGAAUAUCAACUAAUGGAAAUUAAUACUAAUUACGCAGUCAUGGAUAAAAAUAAAAAUUAAAUAUUGCAUUCUAUUUAAUGUACAAAUAAGUUAUAACAAUUACUAAAAUAAAUUAUCAUGAUUUUCUUCAUCUCUAGCCAAGUCUAGUUAAACGGGACUAUACCACGUGAUGUUUAUGGAGUAAUUUUUGACUGUUGACUGGUAUAAAAGUCAAUAAUAUGGUAGCAAAAAAUUAACAGGCACCCAAAAAAUUCGAACUUAAUUCAGAUGAAAGGAAAUCGCGUUUUUUUUUUUUUUUAACCGGAAAAAGGAAGGAAUUCUACCAAAAUAUUGCAAGCGUUAACUAAUAUAUAAAAAUUAAAAGUAAUUAAUGGUUGGUGUAGAGAGAAGCGGGAAUCACGUCGGCAACAAAGACUAAAUUAGAUUAUUUUCCAGUUUAUCUUAGGUUUAGCAAAAUGGGAAUGCUAAACAUAAGAAAAAGAGAUCCUUGUAGGUGCAGUGUGUUGGGUUUUUUGAUACUCAAUAAUUCGGACAAUGAUUUAAAACAGUUGUUGGAUUAUUUAUCGACACCAUGGACUUGGCUCGACUCGGAGAUGAACUACACUUUUGGAUGGUUCGGGUUUGGGUUAGAUGAUUAUUUGGUUAGUUGGACCAUUUAGUGAUUAAUAUGGAGUUGAAUAUUGGCCCAUUAGUUUAGGUUAAUUGGUAGCCCGCUUAGUGAACCCUAAGCCCAAUUAGAGUGACCUAAACUAACCUAUAUAUAUGUAUUUAUCUCCCGGCCAUUUUUGUGGUGGUGUGUGUGUGUUGUAGCAAUGGAGAGGAGAGUUGAGAGAAGAGAGGCAACCGAGAGAGAGGGAAGCCAUGUGAGGUUGUGAGUAAGAUUCAAUCAGUGUUCUUCUUCCUCCCCAUACCUUUGUGGAUUGCUAACACCACCACCCUUCUCCUUUGUAGGGAUAGAGAGAAAGAGAGCAGUCCAAAGUGAAGGUGAAAGUCUCGGGUUGAGCCAAGGUAAACCGGUGUUCGUUUGAUUGUUUUCUGAGCUCGAAAUCAAGAUUUAUCGAGGGAUUUCCGCUACAAAUGGUAUCAGAGCUUGUGUUAUUGAUAAAUCUGUGAUUUUUGGGGCUAAAAAGGGGCUGGAAGUGGUCAGAAACGGGUCUGAAAAUCAGUUUUUCAAAUUUUUGCCGGAUCUGUUUUGGCGUUUUCUGGUGAAACCAAAAAGAGUUUGACGAAACGGACACCACCGGUGGACUGUGCAGGCGGAGAAGAAGUCGGAAGCGUGACAGGUUGCCCGCGCGUGGUCGGCCGACACGACGCAUGGGAAAGACGGCGAUGGUGCGUGAGGGCCCGUCCGUCUGAUUCCGGCGAAGCGGUCUUCAAACAGAAUCUUCCCCAUGACAAGAUGGACCCUGCAGUGUUUUCAAAUUUCAAUUUGGAGCAAUAUAGUGAAAGUUGGAUGAUUUUGCCCUUGGACGUUCAGGUGUCGGGUGCUGUUUUCGUGUUGCUGUUGACUUUAGGAUGAAGAGUGAUAGUUUUGAAGUGGUGAAUUCGCGUCUCUUGAUAUUUACGGACCUUUAGACGUGGUCCGCUCGGUAUCGUAUUCUUUGCUUUUUAUUAUUGCAGUUGAAAUAAAUGUGUAGAGUAAUUUAUUUUUUGCAUCAGAGGUCAUUGUGUGGGUGACAUUAAGUUUGGGGUUACCAUGAAGGGGUAACCAUUGCCUGUUGCUAGACCUAAGAAUUAUUUGUUAAUUAUUUGCCUUAAAUUCUUUGUUAAUUUGCUGUCAAUUUUUCUACAUUAUUAGAAUUGCAUGUGGCCUUAGAAAAGUUUACUGAACUAUUCUAUGUGAAUUAUGUUCAUACGUUACUUGUGGUCAUUAUUUGGCAUUGGUGGCAAAUGUAGGUCUAAGGUAAGUGUGAAAAAUAACAUAUAUUUUAACUGUGGUAAAAUUUAGAUAUAGUUGAAAGAGAUUGUCCUAAGAUGAUAAUAAAAGGAAAGAUGAGGAUAGAGAUAAGGCGAAUGUGACUUUAGGGUCGAGUAGUGAUCCUAGUGAGGUUUAUUGAGAGAAUAAACCUGGUUCUUGCAUUGCAUCUGUGUGUAAUCCUUUCUNNNNNNNNNNNNNNNNNNNNNNNNNNNNNNNNNNNNNNNNNNNNNNNNNNNNNNNNNNNNNNNNNNNNNNNNNNNNNNNNNNNNNNNNNNNNNNNNNNNNNNNNNNNNNNNNNNNNNNNNNNNNNNNNNNNNNNNNNNNNNNNNNNNNNNNNNNNNNNNNNNNNNNNNNNNNNNNNNNNNNNNNNNNNNNNNNNNNNNNNNNNNNNNNNNNNNNNNNNNNNNNNNNNNNNNNNNNNNNNNNNNNNNNNNNNNNNNNNNNNNNNNNNNNNNNNNNNNNNNNNNNNNNNNNNNNNNNNNNNNNNNNNNNNNNNNNNNNNNNNNNNNNNNNNNNNNNNNUGUGACAUUUGGAUCACGAGUGGAGAUGUGAUCAAAUGUGUAGAAUCCUUUAUCUGUGAAAGAGACCCUGUACAGGUGGAGUGUGAGAGAGGCACUCCUAUCACUUCUGUAAGGUGGAGUCCCAUUAUCCACGUAGGUUGGGAGAAGUGAUGUGGUGAUAGAGGAUUAUCCCGAGAGUUUAGGAUCUAUUGUGACUUACCAAUUAGACAUAACUUAAGUGAUCGGUUUAGUGAGCAUCGUGGGCGAUGAGAGGAGAUAUGUGUUCUCGAGGUGGGAGUAACACGGAAUGGGAUAGGAUAAGUAUUUUUUUUUAGGGUCAUUUAUGCAUGUGUUGCAUAUGUGGUUGACCGUGGUUUGAUUAACUAGGUGUUAAUCUGUGGUUCUGUGUGAACGUGAUUUUGAAAAGAUCUGUGUGUGUUAUCCUAUAUAUAUCUUCAUCGCAUGAUUNNNNNNNNNNNNNNNNNNNNNNNNNNNNNNNNNNNNNNNNNNNNNNNNNNNNNNNNNNNNNNNNNNNNNNNNNNNNNNNNNNNNNNNNNNUUGACCUUAGCCUUGGUGAGUACAUGGAGCAACUAUCGUAUGUGUUUCAAGUUGGAAACACGAGGUAAGGUCUGUUAUUCCAAUUUUAUUGGAUUACCUUGAUUGUGCAAGUAUAAACUUUGUGUUUUGGUUGCUUGCAGAUUAUUGGGCAUCAAUGUGGAGAUUGUUGGGUUUUUUGAUACCCAAUAAUCCGGGCGAUGAUUUAAAACAGUUGUCGAAUUAUUUAUCGACACUAUGGACUUGGCUCAACUCGGAGAUGAACUACACUUCUGGAUGGUUCGAUUUUGUGUUGGAUGAUUAUUUGGUUAGUUGGACCAUUUAGUGAUUAAUAUGGAGUUGAAUAUUGGCCCAUUAGUUUAGGUUAAUUGGUAGCCCGCUUAGUAAACCCUAGGCCCAAUUAGAGUGACCUAAACUAACCUAUAUAUAUGUAUUUAUCUCCUGGCCAUUUUUGUGGUGGUGUGUGUGUUGUAGCAAUGGAGAGGAGAGUUGAGAGAAGAGAGGCAACCGAGAGAGAGGGAAGCCAUGUGAGGUUGUGAGUAAGAUUCAACCAGUGUUCUUCUUCCUCCCCAUACCUUUGUGGAUUGCUAACACCACCACCCUUCUCCUUUGUGGGGAUAGAGAGAAAGAGAGCAGUCCAAAGUGAAGGUGAAAGUCUCGGGUUGAGCCAAGGUAAACCGGUGUUCGUUUGAUUGUUUUCUGAGCCCGGAAUCAAGAUUUAUCGAGAGAUUUCCGCUACACAGUGUAUAGGCAGCUUUUGUUCCCUGACUUGUUGAGGCACAUCCCGCAAUUUACCUCCUUCACAAAGUUCUAGGGACGAGGCGAUGAGGGCCCUCAAGAUUGGAGUUCAACCUUUUAAACAUAAGAAAAAGGGAAGUUCAAAUGAAUAAAUAUAUCAUUUGCUUCUUGUUAUCAAAACACAGAGUCCUUUUAGGGGUCUCUCAAUGAAAAAGAGAUUGGAAUAUUAAGUGAGCCGUGCUACCUGGAUCGUUAGGUCUGUCCCUUGUUUAAUUGGCCAAUAGGAGGCGCCACAUCACCACCUAUUUUGACAGGUACAUUUGUUUGAGUAGAAUUACUCAUAUUAAAUUGGACGAGCCCAACUACUUUGGUCGCCUAUUGUCGAGCUCAGCUCGAGAAGCAAAUAGACUUGUGCUCAAUUUGGAAUAAGUCGAGUGGGAGUUGGUUUCUCAAUUGAGGAGUGAUUCAGUUUGCGCCAUAAGCUCCGUGUAUCAGAGGCGGAGGUAGUGGGGGACAAUGCUGGGCUGUAGCCCAGCAAUGUCCUCCAACCCAUAUAAAUUUGUAAGAAAAAAAUUUAAAAUUUUGGCACAGAUAUUAGCAUUGGCACAGUUCUAAUUUAAAUCUCAACUCAUGUUCAAUACUCAAUUAUUCAAAGGGAAAAUUUCAUAACUAAGAGGAUAACUAUUACCCAUUUCAAAAGUAAGAAUAAAAGUUUCAAAGUUCAAAAAUCAGAUAUUUCAUUAAAUUUUAUUUAUUAUGUAAUUAAUUAUAUAUUUUAUUAAUUAAAUACAUUAUGGUCACAGAUUUAUACAAUUUGAUCACAAAUUAACGAUUAGUUAGUCACUCAUUAUUUCUUGGUUACAAAUCAAAAUUUUUAAUGCCACAAAUUAUUUUAAGGUCAUAAUUUAAAAUUUUCGUAGGUCACAAAUUUGUUCGUCGAUCACAAAUCAAAAAUUUAUAUGUCACAAUUUAUUUAUAGGUCACAGAUCACAAAUAUUAUAAAUCACAAAUUAUUAUAGUCACAAAUUAUCAAUUAUUGGUCAUAGAUUAGUAUUUUUUUGGUCAAACAUUAUUUUUUUGUCACAAUUUAUCUUUUUUAUUGGUCACAUAUUAUUUAUUGGUCACAUGUUAACCUAUUUAAUUGUCACAAUUAACCAAAUAAUUUGUGACCACUACUAACACUUGUGAGCACCACUUUACCACAGCCUCCAACACCACCACCACCACCACCAUAGCCGCAAGAACCACCGCCACCACCUAAUCUAGCUCAACUAUCGACCAAAUUUUCACUGCACACCGCUCCUCACAACACCAUACCACCACCGAAAAAUCCCCAAACUCAACGUCACUGUCACUGUCGCUGCCACAACACUGCACCACCACCAGAAAAUCCCCAAACUCGAUGUCUUCGCCUUGCGAUCACCACCACCACCACUGCCUAUUUCAACAUUCACCAACACAAUCAACUUUAAUCAACCAUUUCCUUCUCAUCUACAACCAGCACCACCAACAUCACCACUGUCUCAAAGCACGAGGCAAUCACCACCACCACAACUGCACAUAACCAACAAAACCUCAACCAAAAAUUUUCAGCGCCAGAUUUUCACCAAAUUUUUCAGUUGCCACCACCAAAUAACCAAUUAACCACCACUAAACAACCAAUUAACCUGAUUAGAGAAGUGUUUGGCUGUGGAAGGAAUGCGGUUGGACCGGAGAAGAGAUAGGAAGACGGAAAAGAUCUUCGAUCCGAUCUAUGAACACCGAGUCUUGAGUCGAUCGAUUUGAAAGAGCAGAUAAUAGGGAGUCCUGGCCACCGGAUCGGAUGGUGGAGACAGUAAGCUUGCCUACGACGUUGAGCUUGAUGCGGUCGGCUCCGAUGGAUUGGGUGGCAAAAGUAUUAUUGGGAAUCUCGUCCUCCAUAUACAGUUGUUACUGGGAGCUUAUUGCUUGGGAUCAGUUCACAAUCUGCCAUCGUGGGUGGCAGUGGUGUGAGGAAGAAGUGGUGGCGACGCCAUGAGUGGUUGUGGUGGAGGAAGGAGAGAAGAUGAAGAGAGGGGGAAAUCGUGGAAGGGGAGAUGGCUACGAAGAGAGGGAAAAAUGGUGGAAAUAAUUUUAGGAUUUGGGAUGAAAAUUGUCUAUUUAAUAUUUAAAUAUGAUAUUUCUGAUAUUUGAAAGGUGAAACUUGUCAUCUGAUUUUAGAACUCACAAUUUUAAAAGUAUGAUUUUCUGUAAUUUUCACUUAUUCAAAUUAUAUUAAAGACAUUACAAUUAUUAAUUACUCUUUUCAAGACAUUUAUGAAGUGUAAAUAUUUUAUUGUCAAACUAGAUAUUCUAUUUAAUACAUUUUUGACUAAAAUUUACUUAUAACUAUUAAGUAAGUUUUAUUAUAGAUAACUUGUAUUGAUUAACUGUAAAAAUAAAUUACUUAUUUUAAUAGUUAGAGACACUACAUAUUUUUCUAAAUUGCGUAUGAGAAAUUCACUGCUAAUUCAUAUUUAUAAAAAAAAAUACUUAAUUUGACCAUAAAGUAGAUAUUUAGAUGAAAAUAAAUAACUUACUAUAGAUUUGAUUGACAAUAAAAAAAAAUAUUUGUUAAAACUUAUUUAGUUAUAAAAUAAUCUAUAUUGACAAUAAAAAGAAUAAUUGUUAAAACUUUAAGUUGUUUGGAAAGAUUGGUUGUCAAAGUUACUAGAAGAGUAUUCAUUAAGUAAUUUUUUAAAUUCAUUGGUGGAUAUGUAUUUUUGCUUAAUUCUAUCAUGAUUCGGUUAGUUUAUAUAUUUUAAGGUAACCAUCAAUUUUCUAUUUGGUAAAAAAAAUACAAAAUUUAAGUGAAAUAUCUUAAUGUGAGACAUUUAAUUUUUUUUUUUAUUUCAUUGAAUAUUGCAUACCUUUUAAUGUGAAUGACAUAAAAAUAGACUUCGAAACUCGAUUUCUUGUUAAGUUCAUUAGAAAAAAAUUUAAAUUUCAGCUCAUCCUAACAUUCUUUUCUAGGUCCGUCCCUGACAUAUAUAUAUAUAUGUGUGUGUGUGUGUGUGUGUGUGUGCGCGCGCGCGCAGCAUACAACUCUCAAUUGUAUUGCGCUCUCCAAAUGUGCUUGUUUCGCCUUGGAAGGGAUACCAAUCCGACGGCUAUGUCUAUUAAGCUCAUAGGGAAUAAACCAGUAAAUAGGUUCUUAGAAUGAGCUCGAGAGCAACUCAUUCCACUUGACUUACCUCAAAAGGAAUUAAUGGUUGAGUAUAUAUUGCCCCUAUUAGAUCCCUACUUUUGUAAGAAAAUAUGUUUUAGAAUGUAAUUUUUUAGAAAAUGUGUGACUCAAAAAUAAAGAAAAUUUUUCAAUUUACUUGUAAAAUUAUUUAUAGAAGAAUAUAUAAUAAAAAAUAAGGAUUAAACAUAUCCUGUAUCAUGAAUUUCAAAAGAAAUUUUUUCGAAUUCUGAGGUCUAUUAAGCCCUUAUUUGGUCUCUAUUUUUUUCCAAAUUUUAGGGUUUGGAAUAGUAUUUUUUGAAGAAUGUGUGAUUGAAAAAAAAUGAAAAGUUUUCUAUUUAUGUGUAAUAUUAUUUUAUGAAAUACUGUGUGGUUAAAAAUAAAAUAGAAGAAACAAAUGAAACGAGGGCUAAAUUACAUCAUUACAAGAUGAAGAAGUUUCUAGGGCCUUGAAAUAUCUUGUGGUAUAGAAUGGCCCAUUCUACCAAUAAUUAUUUUCCUUGUUUCUCACGAGUGUUCUGACUCAUUCAUGACCACUUGAUUUUAAUUGGUUUAAAUUAAAAAAUUUUAAAAAAAUAAAAUUGAUAUACUAUUGUUAGUACCCAUUUUAGUUAGUGUAAUUUUCAAUUGAGGCCAGCAAUUAUUUUCAUCAUAUUAAAUUGACUGAUUAAAUGUUUUUCGAAGAUUUUCCAAGUUUAAAUGAAAAUGAGGUUAAACCAAUUGAAAUCACGUGAAACUUCACGAAACAGUGACUUCCAAGACAGAGCGGAGAAGAGAAGCAACCCGUAUUCACGGAAUCACAAUCAUAAUAAGAUAGUUAAAAAGAUUGUCACCUAACCGAGUUAAUUAAAUUAACAAUUAAGCUACUCGUACACGGUGACAAAUUUAGAAUUGGAGUUCAACUAAAGCGGACGUUACCGUUGACUAUUGACCGAUGAUAGUCAACAUCCAUAAUAUCGUGAAAUCGAUUAGAGGCAGUGGCGGAACUAGAUACACUACUAGAACUAGAUAUGAACUUUUGUUUUGGUUUAAAAAAUCGUUCCACUAUCUGUAAAAAGCCCCAAUUUGCAAUUCAAUUAAAAUUGGUUCAAAAACAAAGACCACGUACACCCUGAAAAACAGAGCCCCAAUAAUCAUUUUUCAAUUAAAAUUAAUUAAACAUACAUCAAUAUAUUAACAAAAUCAAUUAAAAUUGAUUCCAAUUUAUCAAAAAAAAAAAAAGUUCAAAUUACUUAUAAUCUACAAAAUUCUCCAAUAAUAAUUUAAGUAGGAACUAGGUAGGAAUUUUUUCUUGAAUUACUUAUUGCAAAUCACGUUUAUUACUGAUAAAACAUAAAUCAUAAAUGAUAAAUCAAAAUAUGAAUUAAGAGGUCGAUGUCGACGGCGACUUGCAGGAAGCAGUAGCAACAGCAAGUUGCAGGGGUUGAAUUCGAAAUCCCAAGGCAGCAAGACGGGGAAGGAUUUGCGUGCAAAUGGAAAAUGUAAUUGUCGAAUUGGCUAACAUGAAUAGUGGGUAAUGGAUUUGGAAAAUGCUUUUCUAUUGGAAUUUUGUUAUUUGUACACCGAUGUGAGAGGCCCACGUCCAAUAAAAAAGCGUGGACCUCUUCUUGUUAGGGGCACGUACAUUGGCAUGUGUACAUAUAGCAAAAUUCUUUCUAUAGAACCAAUGGUCCAACUCUAUGCUACAUGAAAAUAAAUUUAGGCUUAAUUUUUUAAUGAGAAUAAUACAUAAUUACUAGACCAUAAGAAUCACAUUUCACAAUAUAUAUAUAUACACACACACACACAUACACAUACACACACAUAGCAGAGUUACUGGAGUUGCUCUUCUUACAUCGCCUUUCUGUCAUCAACGACUUUGGCCUCCAUGUGCAGUAGAUUUCCGCCCAAAAUAUCCACCUCACCAUCGGCACAGUACCACACACUGCCGAACACACAACAAUAAUGCACCACACACAGAUUGCACCACCUAUUUCACUUUCAAAUAUCACCGAAUCUUGCGUGGUUCACUGGGAAAAUACCAAAAAGAAGACAACAUAAUGGAGGGAAAAUUGAAAUGGAAUCCAGGCUUGUGGGGUGGGGUGGAUUGGAGAUAGGUGAUUUUUGGGGAAAGCAUGAAAAGAGGAUAGCUUAAGCUUAAUGGAGGGAGAACUGAAAUCUGGGCUUCUGGGAUGGGUUGGAGUGGGCGAAGUUUUUUUCAGAAGAAACCUUUGUAGAAGAGAAAUUGACUGAACUAAUUGAUGCUUUUGGGGUGAGUGGAACGAGUGGUGAAUAAAUAUGAUAUUUAAACCAAGGAAGAUAUUUUCCUUAAAAACUUUUGGUCUUUUUUUUUUUUGGUUGCUUUUCCAACACAGCUGACAUAUGUUCAAGUAUUUAUUUUUUGCAUUAUUCAAUCAUAAUUGUAUGUGACUUGCUUAUCCAAAAUUGCUAUUGUAAUUAUAAUUAUCUUGCAAAAAU
This 98486-nucleotide long non-coding RNA is filed under the name Olea europaea (common olive). RNAcentral describes it as "long non-coding RNA (OEUR_LNC008009)". The record is from RNAcentral. Lineage: Eukaryota; Viridiplantae; Streptophyta; Magnoliopsida; Lamiales; Oleaceae.